AAUUCUUUAGGGAGAUGGCCAUAGAAAUGGUUGCUACUCAAGUCGAGAGAGAGUAGAAAUGAAAGAUUUCCAAGGUGUGGAGGGAUAGUACCCCUAAGAUUCAUGCUUGUAAGAUUCAAAGCUAUAACUCUUUUAUGGAGGAUGCCACAAGAAACACCAAUCCAAUUGCAAACAGAGGUUGAGACCGUCCAAUUGUUUGGCAAGACAUUUUGAGGACCGGCGAUGCGAUCCUUAAACUCGAGAAGUGCAAACUGGUCGAAGUUGAGAUUCCUGACUGUCAUAGCCAAGCAAAGUACGGAACAUGGUAUGAAUAAAGCUAAAAGAAGAUGAAAGCAAGUGUUGUAGUUCAUGAUUGCAAGACGGAAUAAGCCAAGAAAAUAAAAAAAAAGUAGGAAAAGGGAAGUUGAGUUGAUAAAAUAGUUUGGAUGAUGAAGAAAAGCCCAGACAGCAUGCUUUAAUAUGUUUCAACCCUCGCACACUUGAUAAACUUGAUAAAAAUAUUUUGAUCUAAUAAAUGUAAAAAACUUUUUAAACAAAAUAAGGUUGAAAUAAUCUAUUUGUCCUUAUACUUUGAUAAAAUUUGAGAUUUAGUCCUUAUACUUAAAAGGUUAAAAAUAAAGUCUUCUUGUUUUUAUUUAAAAAUCUUAGUCCUAACGUUAAUUUUUUUUGUCAAAAUUUGUCAACUUUACAUAUUAAUUAGGUUUCCCUUAUAUGUCGUGAUAUAUGACUAACACAAAAUAAGCAAGUUGAUAAAUUCUGACAAAAAAUACCAAAGAUGAUAAUAAUUGAAUUAAAAUUUUUAAAUUGAAUUUAUAACCUUUAACGUAUAAGGAAUGGAUAUCAAAUGUUUAUAGGAAUAAAGGGACUAACAGCAUAUUUUAACCAUAAAAAAAUAUGAGUGAUUAGAAUGAAUCUAAAAUUUUAUAGAAAUAAAAGAGACUAACAACAUAGUUAUAACUUUGAGAUCUCCUUCGAUCAUCCUUUUUCUACGUGGAAAAAGAAAAUUAAUUAGCAUCUAAAGUUUCAAGUAAUGAAACCUUGAAAAGAAAAGGUGAAAGUGAUUUAUCAAACAAUAAUAGUCUAACUUAUAAUAUAUUUAAUUACAUUUAGUAAUUUAUCAAUCAAAACUUAAUUAACAUCCAUCAAUACUUCAUACAUAAGUAAAUUUACCAUUUAACUCAGAUUUAACUUUGCAAGUAAACUUAAAGUUUUAUUUAAUUUUGUCACUAAAUUUGAUUUGUUCAAUAUAGAUUUUGGUGACUUAAAACAAAAUUAAUAAAAAAAAUUAUUUUUUCAGAUAUGUUUUUAAUAUUUAAUAAUAAGUUAAUUUAUAAAAUAUACUUUCAUUGGACACAGGCAUCCAAGGCGGUGAACCACUGAUCAAAUUAAUUCAGAGAUACCUAAAUUUGCUUUCAUCAAUUAAUUAAGAAAUUAAAUUUUUAAAAAAAAUUGUUGAGACCUCAUGAUUAUCUUUUAUAAUUUCAGUCUUAUCAACUAUUUUGAAAACAACAAAACGUCUUACACCAAAACCUAAAAAAUAAAAACGUCGACAUUAAAUUUGUUGGUAUGCAAUCAAUUUUAAGAUGGUUUUUGGAGUUAUAUAUCACUUUAGCAUUGACUUACUUUUCUACAGUUAGUCUUCUCCAACAAGUUAAAUAUUUCAAUUUUAACAACAUUGAAAGGUUUUGGCGUAGAGUCGAGCAAAACUCAAUAGAAACAGAUGAUAUAGGUUGAGUUGGCUCGGCCAAGUCGAGUCGACUUGUUCAAAUUAGUUAAAUUAGUAAAUUUUAGGGUGCAGUUAGAAUUUUUUAUUUUGAGAUGCUAAGAUGAAAAACUUUGAGUUGCUAAAACAAAAAUUUUGUAUUUAAAAAGGCAUAAAUUAAAUUAUUAAGUUUUUCAAGUUUCCAUUUAAUCAAAGGUUAAAAAGGACUAAAUUGAAGCUUUUUAUUUUUAAGAAAGGCUGAAUGACAAAUUGCUCAAAGCCCAUGCCCCUAGCUAUACGCCCCUGUUAAAAUCAAUUUUAAAAUUAGUUAUAAUAGUUGAAGCGAAUUGAUUAUUGAGUAAUGAAACACAUCAUUCAACAAAAUAAACAAGUUGACAAAUUUUGACAAAAAAUAUCAAAGGUGAUAAUAAUUAAAUUAAAAAUUUAAAUUGAAAAAAUAAGGAAUUGAAUUUAUAACUUUUAAAGUAUAAAGAAUGAAUUUAUAACUAACAUAUUUUAACCACAUAAUAAAAGUAGUUAUGGAGAGUAUCAUGUAAAAUAAUGACCUGAAUGAAAUAAGAAUAGAAAAGAAAGAGUAGCCAUUUUAUGAAAUUUAUAAUUCCAACUGUGAAUAAAAUAUAAAUUUUAUGAAUGUGGACAAGACAUUUUAUUUAACUUUUUUUAAAGUCAUUUUGUUUGUUUCCUAACCACCAUGAAAUUACUUGUCACAAUUCAUCUUUUUAAAUGAGAAACAUUUUCCACAAUUUGCUAUCACUUUAACAUACACUAACUUUUCUAUGAUUAGUCUUUGGUUUGCUUUGGGUGCAAUCUUCCAACUAGCCUUAUCAGUGGUUUGACUUUCCAACAUUUAGUGUAUCACGAGUUUUGUUUUCUUUAAAAAAUAUUUUUGUGGAUAUUAGGAGAUAAUGACAAUUAUUUUACUGUGAAAUUUUAAUAAAACUGAAAGAUUAGUAAUUUAUUUUAAGAGAUCACAAUUAAACAUUAGGUUUCUAAUUUUUUAAUUUUAAAUUUUUUUGACAAUUGCAUAAUUAAUAAGGUACCAAUUUUGAGCAUUGUAGGAAUGCUAUAACCUUCCCUACGCAUAAUCGCCUCUUGAGCAUGAUGGAUCCUAGACCUUAUCCUCUAUUCUCGUAUCACAAAUUGCUUUGAGUGUGAGUUCGAACAAUCACAUAUUAAGCACAAAACCAGAAAUGAAUUAUUACUUUCAAUGGCAAAGUAAUUCUCUCUCAAUAGAAACCAAUAAAAUUGUAAUUCCAAGAAAAUAAAAUUUAGUUUUUGAAAAUAUAUUCUCACUGCUUUCUAGCAGAAUAACAAUAUGUGAAACUCAUGUCAAUGUUAAUAGCUCUACCAGUACUAUCUAUUUAUAGGGAGAGACAUGAGAAUCCUGGUUGAAUUAGUAAAACACAAGUAAUAUUUAUUUCAUAGAAAACAAUAUUCUACUCUAAGUAGAUCAAGUUUGGAUGACGCAUGGAUCGAAGCUCAAUCUAGGAGAAAAAAAUAAAGGAAUUUUCUCUGUAACGAAAAUCUGAGAUUGUACUAUUUUCGAAGUUAUAAAUAAAAUUAUACGCCAAAUUUCAAGUCAAUUUUCAACUCAAAUUUUAUAUAUACAAAUUUCUAAUACACUUGGUGGGACAUUCUUUGACUUUUAUCUAUUCUCUCAAAAAGUUAAAGUUCAAAGUUGCAUUAAACUCAAAGAAGAUAAUCACUAGUAAACCAGCUCACAAGCCUGCUCAAGCUAAUCCUACAACUCUUUCCACUUCAUCAUCAAACACCAAUGUUCUUGCUUAUCCUUAUGGAAUUAAACAAAAGACAAAAGCUCUUUAAGAGUUAUUUGAAAAGACAAAAGAUUCAGAUGUGUUGAGAUGGAAAGUGACAAUACAAUGUUGAUUGAAACUAUUCGUAAUGGGUUGGCUACAAUAACUAGUGUUGCUGAAGUAAGACAGAUUCACCAUUGGUGUUCCAAAAAUUGGGAAGUCAAACUUCGACAUAUUUAGCAGAAUGCCAAUAAAGUUGUUGAUUGCAUAGCUAAGGCAAAUGGAGGCGUAAUUGAGCAGCUGGUUAUCUUGGAAGAUCCUCCGAAUUAUGUGAGAUGCUAGCUUGAAGAAGAUAUUAGACAAUCACUGGUGACUGAUGAUAAUUUUCAUUUAGACUGAUGAGCGCUUAAUUUUCUAAGCUUAUGUUCAACAAAAAAAAAAAAUUAAAUGUCUAAAUUGUAAUAGAGUUAACAUUAAGUGUUUAAAAAAUAUCUUAAAAAUUAUUUUUUCCAAUUGCAGUUCAAUUCCACAAAUAUCGAUGAUGAACCCGGACAUAAAAGUUACAAAAAAAAAACACAUCUCUUAUCAAACCAGCAAUCCAUGUCUAAACUUAAAUUAACAAAAUUCGCCACGCAACCCGGUACACUAUUAUAUAUAUAUACUAGAUUUAUUCUAGAUGCACAUGUUUUAUUAUAUUUAAAAAUUAAAAUAUAUGGUUGACUAAGUUUUAGUUGAGUUAGUAUUGGUAUUAUUGUCAUUGUUGGAAAAUGUGAGUUUAACCGUGCUCAAAUGUGUUUUAUCCUCCAAUUCAAGGGUUAGGAAAAGGUUAUUAAUAAUUAAAUUAUACCAACUUUUAUGAUAUUAAAAAAAGGAUUUAUAAAUAAUAUAAGGAAAAGAAAAAAAAAAAAGAGAAACAUAUUCAUAUUGAUGGGCUCUUUCAAUAUUAGACUUUUUCUUUCUAUCACAAGUAAAAAUAUCAAAGGUGAUAAUAAUUAAAUUAAAAAAUUUAAAUUAAAAAAAUGGGGAUUGAAUUUGUAACUUUUAAAGUAUAAAGAAUGAAUUUAUAACUAACAACAUUUUUUAACCACAUAAUAAAAGUAGUUAUGGUAAAAUAAUGACCUGAAUAACUUUAAACGUCUCAUCCUUGCAAAAAUGAAAUAAUAGAAAAGAAAUAAGUGUUGGGUGUAGUGACAAUGUACAUUAUACUUCUAAGGGGAGAUCAGGGUUUUAGACAAGGGAAGAAUUUUAAACCUACUUUUUUUCUCUAGAACUCAACACAAACCUCAAAUUUAUCUUUUUAAAAGAAUUUUAAAAUAUCUAUAUAAAAGGUGAUUUUUUUACCAAUCACACUUAACAAAAUUUUAAAAUUUCUUUUUUUGAAAUUUAAAGUGAUCUAAAAACAUAUUUUUAAGUGUUUUAGACCAUCCAGUGCUGAUUUCUUUAUUAAUUUGAUUUGUUCAAUAUAGAUUUUGGUGACUUAAAACAAAAUUAAUAAAAAAUUAUUUUUUCAGAUAUCUUUUUAAUGUUUAAUAAUUAACUUACAUAAAAUAUGUGUCUAAGGCGGUGAACCACUGAUCAAAUUAAUUUAGAGAUACCUAAAUUUGCUUUCAUCAAUUAAGAAAUUAAAAAAAAAAUUGUUGAGACCUCAUGAUUAUCUUUUAUAAUUUCAGGCUGAUCAACUAUUUUGAAAACAACAAAAACGUCUUACACCAAAAACUAAAAAAUAAAAACGUCGACAUUAAAUUUGUUGGUAUGCAAUCAACUUUAAGAUGGUUUUUGGAGUUAUAUAUCACAUUAGCAUAAUUGACUCACUUUUCUACAGUUAGUCUUCUCCAACAAGUUAAACAUUUCAAUUUUAACAACAUUGACAGUCUUUAGGGUAGGGUCGAGCAAAACUCAAUAGAAACAGAUGAUAUAGGUUGAGUUGGCUCGGCCAAGUAAUUUAUUUUUAAAACAAGUAAUUUAUUUUAAGAGAUCACAAUUAAACAUUAGAUUUCCAAUUUUUUUAAUUUUAAAUUUUUCUGACAAUUGCAUAAUUAAUAAGGUACAAAUUUUGAGCGUUGUAGGAAUGCUAUAACCUUCCCUACGCAUGAUGGAUCCUAGACCUUCUCCUCUAUUCUCAUACUACAAAUUGCUUCGAGUGUGGGUUCGAACAAUCACAAAUUAAACACAAAACCAUAAUUAUUAUUUUCAAUAGAAAAGUAAUUCUCUCUCAAUAGAAACCAAUAGAAUUGUAAUUCCUAGAAAAAUAAAAUUUAUUUUUUGAAAAUAUCUUCUCACUACUCUCUAGCAGAAUAACAAUAUGUGAAACUUAUGUCUUGUUUUAAUAGCUCUAUCGGUACUAUCGAUUUAUAGGGAGAGACACGAGAAUCCUGGUUGAAUUAGUAAAACACAAAUAAUAUUUAUUUCAUAGAAAAAAAUAUUCUACCCUAAGUAGAUCAAGUUUGGAUGACGCAUGGAUCGAAGCUCAAUCUUGGAGAAAAAAAAUAAAGGAAUUUUCUUUGUAAAGAAAAUAUGAGAUUGUACUUUUUUCGAUGUUAUAAAUAAAAUUAUACGCCAAAUUUUCAAGUCAAUUUUCAACUCAAAUUUUGUAUGUACAAAUUUCUAAUACACUUGGUGGGACAUUCUUUGACUUUUAUAUAUUCUCUCAAAAAGUUAAAGUUCAAAGUUGCAUUAAACCCAAAGAAGAUAAUCAUUUGUAAACCAGCUCACAAGCCUGCUUAAGCUAAUCCUACAACUCGUUCCACUUCAUCAUCAAACACCAAUGUUCUUGCUUAUCCUUAUGGAAUUAAACAAAAGACAAAAGCUCUUUAAGAGUUAUUUGAACAGACUUCUUUAACGGUAAAUUACAAUCCACUCUAUGAUGCUUCUUCGCCCAACUCAUGAAUUAAAAGAAGUUUCUACUCAUGGAUCAAGUGUAGCCCGCCAGUUAUCAUUAAGGAGAAAACAGAGUCAAUCAAGUGAAAAUUAUAUUCCAACAUCUCCCCAGAACCAAAUUUCAGAGUGAUGAAUGUCAUGACAACUGACACUACAUUCUUAGAAGAAUAAGUAGAUCUCUAGCAAAAACGAUGGAGAGUCUUACUACAAGCAUAAAAGGAAUGGAUGAUCAAACUGAACAUCUUAGUGGAAGUAACCAAACCUUUUCCAGCGAAACUCAACAUCCUCUUCACAAAGUUGUUGGAAUCAAAAUUGUUGAAGGACUUUAAAGUGUUUCUUUAGAUCAACUCAAGGAGCUUAUUAAAGAAACCAUUAAAGAUCAAGUCAAAAGUGUUGCUUCGCCUUCAUAUACAUACUCGAAGUCAUACAUUUGGAGGAUUUAUCAUUUGAAUAUGCCUGAACAUUAUCCACCUCUAAUACGGCUGUCUGAAUAUAUUCCGAGAAAACACAACAAGAGAAGGGUGAUAGUCUAAUAGAGGAGUACACGACUUUGCUUCAUUGCCCGAGGAUUCAAGUUGACAAAGCUUAUUCAAAAGUCGUCAACGUCUUGACCCUUUUUAAAGAAUCUAACGAGAAUUACGAGGAUAAGUGAGCAGUGAGUCGUAGCCUGGCUCAAGCAAAAAGGAGCUAGUAGAGGCACCUAUUGGAAAAUUCAUGAUAUUUAUCUUAACAUCCGGAUGAAGAAAAGGAUCGAUGUCUUCGCCUAGAGUAUGAGGGCAAAGCUGUAUAUAUAUUCGCUUUAUGUAAAGAGAAUUGUUUUCUAGUAAAGUUGUUCUAACAUAAUUGAAUCAGACUUAACGUCGUAUUCAUUCCAUUCAUCUGCAUUACAUUUCAUUGCAUGCAAAAUUUCACAAAAGGAUACUAAUUAAUCAAAAUUGUUACAGUUACCCUGGAAACUAACGAAAAUCCACCAACUAAAUAUCGCUACGGUAUCCGCUGCAAAACCAAAGAAAUGGAUCAAAGAUUAGAAAGAUUAGAACAAAUGCAAAAAGGUAUGCAAGAUCAGUUGCAAGCGCAACUACAAGAACAAUUAACGAAAGUACAACAGGAGAUGAGGGAUCAGAUACUAGAAUCUCAAAGAAGCAUGAUGAGCCAAUUAACGCAGUUACUAGCCGGAGGGCUUAAAAAAGGGAAAAGCUAAGUGGUCAACAUUGGGGAUGAUAAUGAAGACCUUGCCUAUCCCUCAAGUUUUACCCCGAUAAGUGUCCAGGCCCAACUAGACGCGCGUCUACAAAGGGCACCCGUUACUAUUAGACCCCAACAAUAUCAAACCGGUACCUCGGCACCAGUGAACUACCCAACAGGCUUAGGUUCCAAUCUGGGGGACAAUCCAACCAAUCCUGUAGUUCCUAAUUUAGACGAAAUGGUAGAAAUAAAAAAAAGCAAAGGUGGAACUGCCAAAAAAACUUGAAGAUCGGUAUAGGUGGUUAGAAGAAAAACUCAGAGCAAUGAAAAAUGAUGAUUACCAUUAUAGGGUUGACGCCAAGGAUCUGAGUUUUGUUCCAGAUCUAGUACUCCCACCAAAAUUCAAGACUUCAAAAUUUAAAAAGUAUAAUGAGACUAGUUGUCCUAAAGCUCACAUCACGAUGUUCUGCCGAAGAAUGACAGGAUACGUUAAUAAUGAUCAAUUGUUAAUUCAUUACUUCCAAGAUAGUUUGAUUGGGCCUACUGCCAAAUGGUACAACCAACUGAGCCGUGCUAACAUCCACUCAUGGAAGGACUUGGCACAAACUUUCAUGAAGUAAUACAGCCAUGUAACAGACAUGACACCUGACAGAAUUACACUGCAGAAUAUGGAAAAGAACCAAAGUGAGAGCUUCAGGCAAUAUGCCCAAAGAUGGAGAGAGGUAGCGACAUAAGUCUAGCCACCUUUUCUGGAGAAAGAAACCACGAUGCUUCUCAUCAACACUCUGAAAGCCCCAUUCAUUAACCAUAUGUUGGGAAGGGCUACCAUGAGCUUCUCAGAUAUAGUAAUGUCUGGCGAGUUUAUUGAAAACGCGAUGAGGAGUGGAAAGAUAGACGCGGGAGAAAGCGCCAAAAGAUCAACCCCGAAAAAAAUGAAAAUGAAGCGAAUAAUGUAAGAAAAGGGUAUUCCAAAUCGGUCAUUGUAGGUGAGCCGAGGGCCGUGACUACUAACUAUCAAGCCCUCUUCAGGCAAGAGUCUAACUCGAGGCAAAGCACUGAAAGACUCCAGUUUACACCCAUCCCAAUGACAUAUAGGGAGCUGUAUCGGAAUCUAUUUGAUGCACAUGUGGUAUCCCUAUUCUAUAUGAAACCCAUACAACCUCUAUUUUCGAAAUGGUAUGACGCAAAUGCUCAACGAGAAUACCACGCGGGAAUAAUAGGACACUCAAUUGAAAACUGCACUACAUUUAAAAAGUUAGUUGAAAGGUUUAUUAAGAUGGGCAUCGUGAAGUUUGACGAUCCAUCAUGACCUAAUUUGACAGGAAAUUCGUUACCUAGUCGUCAAGACCCAAGGGUAAACGCAAUAAUUGAGAAUGGAGGAAAGAGAACCAAAACCAACGUUGCAGAAGUAAAAACCCACUGAAAUGGGUUUUGAAACAAAUGAUAGACAUGGAAUUAAUAAUUCAGAAUUUAGAGGAGAUACCAAAAGAGAUGAGGAGCUACUGUGAGUUUCACGCUGAAGAGGGCCAUGAAAUCCAAGAGUGCGCUAAAUUCAAAGUUUUGGUGCAGAGCCUAAUGGAUAAUAAAGAGUUGGAAUUCCUUUAAGAAGUCAAAGGCCUGGAAGGAAUGUUAGGGAAUCUAAACAUUGACGCCGUAUCCAAAAAGGGAGCUGGGGAAGAGAAUUUAUCAGGCAUUUGCCUUUACACACCUGGGAGUGUUUUGACUAAAGGGACUGAGGAAGAGAUCCCUGGAUUUUUUAGACCUAAUUCGGAGUAAUGUCCAAAACACACUUGCUCUAAGCCUAGGAGAAAUAAGAAUCCUUUUGUGAGAUAGGCUUAUGUCCAACAUCUUUAUUUCAAUAAAAUGCAUCCUUGUUUAUCACUUCGAGCAAAUAUUCUUUUAUUGUUUCCAUUUCAUUCAUAAUCAUACCAUAUAAAUAAAUAUUCUCAGAUUCUUUUGUUCUUUGGAUCUUCCUUCAUCCCUAUAACAGGUCUCCAGAUAUCUAUGAUAUGAGUGACUCUGCUAUUGACUCAGAACCUCCUUUUGAGCAAAAUAUGUGUCCAGAGGAACCACAGGACUUUGAAGAUAACCGGGACUAUAACUUAUCUCCUAAUUUGUUAAGGAUGGUAGAACAAGAUGAGAAACAGAUCCUACCUUAUAAAGAAUCAAUAGAAUCCAUGGCCUUUCUCUAUAUAGGGCAUGGAUGUCAUUGAGUUGAUCUUGCCAAAAGCUUCUGGCAGUCAUCAAUUCAUCUUUAUGGUUGUCGAUUACUUCACUAACUGGGUGCAAGCUGCUUCAUAUGCUAAUGUCAAAAAGUCGACAGUCAGCAAAUUCUCAAAAAAAUCAUAUGUCGGUAUGGAAUGCCAAAAAGGAUCACAUCUGACAAUGCACUAACAACAGGGCGAUAAUAGAAGUUUGCAGUCUGUUCAAGAUUAACAUCAUAUCACCCUAAAAUGAAUGGUGUAGUGAGGGCAAAAAAACCUCUACCGGGGCAAUGCCUUUCUCUUUGGCUUAUCGUGGUUUUGCCCAUUGAAUUUGAGAUUCCUUCUCUUGGAGUUUUUUUGGAUCCAAUCCCGACUAAAGAGCAAGGUUCAAAGUUAUCUGUCAUGGUCAAAUGUACCAAAAACAAAUGAUACAAGCUCACCAAAAAGGUUCGCCCCAAAAAAUUCCAUGAGGGUGACCUGGUAUCGAAGAAGAUCCUUCUCAUACAAAAGGACUUUAGAAGAAAGCAGAUGCCAAAUCGGGAAAGACCUUAUCUGGAAGACCUUAUCUGGAAAAGCAUUGAUUUUGACCAGGAAUGAUAACAAGGGAUUGUCUAAUCCUAUGAGUUCAGAUUCAAUCAAAAAUAUUUCAUGAAAAUUAAUAAAAAAAUAGAAAAGAAAAGAAAAAUUAAAAAAAAGAAAGGCCAAGGUGAAAACCCGCAAAAGGUACCUUGAGACUAAAGGGAUUUUGAGUUGAAAACCCAAAAAAGGGCGGUUUAAAUUUUGAUCAAAGUUAAGGCAUGUGGUAGUCUUGUCCUCUCCGAAUUAACGAAAAGGAGGGAUGCUACAUCUUGGGGCAUCAACAAAGUCUUCUAGGACUUCUAAGCACGUAUCAAGUUCAAAGGGUCCUCAAGAAGUUUUGUAUAAAGAAGCUUAUAAUACCCAAUUUUCGCCCGGGCCCAUGCAGAUUAAAUAAACAAAAAAUAAAAACCAAAUAAAAUAAAAUAACAGUCCAAAAGUAAAAAAAAACACAGAAACAUUAGCCCAAUAAAAUCCAACCCAGCUAACCUAACCUAAAUUACCUAGAUACAUUAAGCCCAAUAAGUUAUAAGCCCAAAAUCAGUUACCCAAACCCAAACCCAAACCCAAAUAACCCAACACCAGCCCAAAUCAAAGCUGAAACCCUAGCAGUUUCUGGAACAGUCUAGGCACCGCAUCUCCCUCACGCAAUAUAUGUGCGCCUUUGACUCCUCUCACGUAUGUCGCACUAGAUUCACGCGCGCCUUCUCCAGCCUAUACCUGCAACAACCCCAAAACGAACAGAAACAAAUAGCAAGAAAAAAAUAAAAAUAGAGGAAACUAGAAUAACAGAGAAAAUAGAAAAUAUUAAAUAAUUUUUCUAUUUUUUUGGCUAUAUAAAGCCAUUCAAGACGUUUUAAAACGGAUCCGAUUUUUGAAAAAAAUCAAUAAAAAAAGAAUGAGCAUAUAGCAGAGAUUCGAAGGUGAUUUCAGUUUUUUUUUAUUUUUUUUCCUUUUUUCAUUAUUCAUGUGCUAAAAUGAAAGGAAAGAUGAAUAAAAGAAGGAUGAGCUUACCUGGUGGCCGAUCUUCCUUCUACUCCGUCGCAAUCGGAGUUGGAUGGAAGUUAAAGGCAUGAAACGGCGCACAGAGGGGAGGAGAUUAGUUUUUUAUUAGGGUUGAUUUGUGAAUAAUGAAUGGCUGCUAAUUUUAGGUCUCAGUUUACCUAAUAUGUGACGAAAGAAACGUCGUCGUUUAGGGCCUAUUUCAGUGGCCCUAAAACGACGCCAUUCAGCUGCCAUCAACCCGCACAUUAACCCGAUCCGGUUCCAGAUCUGUGUGUUUUAUAGCGCGUAGGAAAUUUGCGCGAUUGGUCCACCUCUUUUCUAAUGUAUUUAAAUCAAUUUUUUCAUUCCUUUCAAUUUUCCCCCAUAUUUUGCUUUUGUUUCAUUUUGACCCAAGUUGUACACAGCGUUUUGCUGGGAUGGGAAUUAUUUCCCACUUGGUCCCCGAAGUUAGUCGCGCAUUGCAUUCGGCCCCUCUGCUUUAUUGUAUUUUCUUUUUUUUCUUUUCAUUCUACUUUUAGUUUAAUUUAAUCCCUACUAUCUUAAUGUGCUUGAUUUCAUUUAAUUUAUUUAAUUAUUUAAUAUUACAUUAUUUUUUAUACAUUAAUUUUUUUAAUCUAAUAUUAUAUAAUGACUAAACUCAAUAUUUUUUAUCUUAUAUUAUUUUACGUUUUAUGUGUAUUAUUGUUUGAAGUUUUUUUUUCAAAUUUUAGAUUUUUUUUAAAUUUAUAAUGUAUUAUUAUUAAUAGUAUAAAUUUAUUACAUAUCAUUUUUUAGAUUUAUUAUGUAUUGUUGUUUUAAAAUUCAUUAUACAUUGUUAUUUUAAAUUUAUUGUGUAUCAUUACUUAAGUUAAUUGUUUUUAUUUUCUUUUAUGCAAAUUUGAUAUUUAUGGAUAUUUUCUUGAUUUUUUUAUAUUUCUCUUAAUUCAUUUUUUAUAUUUUUUUGUAUUUUUAUAUAAAGAUAUUUUAUAGAAUAUUAUUUUGUAUAUAUACAAUUUAUUUAUUUUAUAUAUAAUUUAUGCUAUAUGUAAACUUUUGUAUAUAUUAUUUAUUUUAAAGAUUUUGUAUGUAUACUUUAUUGAUUUACUAUUUUCUUUCUUUCAUGCCAUUUUUUAGUUAUUUCAAAACUUAUACAUUGGAUUUGCAUUUGUGUUAAUUUGCUUGCUUUAUAGGAUUUACUAGCUUUUAAAAAUGAAUGCUAGUAUUUGCAUAAUGUAUAAUAUGAGAUGGUUGCCCUUAUAUAUGUUGUAUUGUUUAUUUGUAUUUUAUUGAUUUUUCGUUGCUCAUUAGCUUAUAUUUAGCUUACGAAUUUUUCUUUCGCAAUGUACAUUGCCAUCCCAUUGCGUUUUAUUCAUCAAAAAGAUUAUAUUCUAUUUAAAUAUUAAAAUUGUUUUACUCAAAAGCUUUCAGGAUAAUACAAUACUCAAAAUUUGGGGUCUUCGAAAGAAUUGAACCCUAACGUAUUGGGUUCCAAUUUUUCUCGUUGAAUCUAAAUAACCGGAAAUAUUCUUUAAUCAAAACACAUAAAUAAAAAGCUCAUUCUCGGGAAUUCGAUACGUGUGUCCUAAUGCAUUGGAUAUAACAUGUUGUUUUCUCGAGAUGAGGAUUUUUCUAAAUAAAAGCAAUAUUUAGUGUUUGGGAAUUUUGAGAAAUUGAACCCUAACUUACUGGAUUCUGAUUUUUUCGUUUAACCCAAAUAACCAAAUAUUCUUCUCAAAAUGCAUAAGUUUCAAAAGUUAAAAGAUAAACUUAAUUUUGAAGAUUAAACUGUUGCACCCUAACUCACUGAGUGUGACAAUUUAUUCCUUCAAAAUAAGAGUGUCUUAUCAUCCAUUGCAGCUUAUUCAAAUUUUCCUUUCAAAGGAUAGUAUUUUAAAAUAUUUUCAAAUUUUCAACACUAAGAUGUUAAUCAAUCAAUUCGAUACCAAUUUUGGGCGUUACAAGGUUGCUAACCCUUCCUCGUGCUUAACCGACUCCCAAACCUAUUUUCUCAAAUUUCAUAGACCAAAAUUGUUAUUGUAAUAAAUCAAACUGUUUUAUUAAAAUCUCAAGGUGAUCCGAUCACACCUCGAAAAAAGAUUGGUGGUGACUCCAUGUUCAUUUUUAAAAGUCGAUCCCCAUUUUCAAAUAAAAGUGGUUUUGAUAGCUUAGCGACUCCACUUGGGAAACUUGAGAGUCAAGCCGUAAAAUUGAUUGUUUUUUGUCUUAUUGUUGAAAAUUGAAAUUUUGAUUUGAAAAAUUACGAUCCUAAUUACAUUUAUUUGUGGUAUGAUUGCUGUAAAUUGAGUUUUAUAUCUUGGCAUCAUGUUGCAUCAAGAAUGCUUAGUCUUACCUUUUAAGUGGGAGUGAGAAACUAGUCCUUCGUGAGGUUUUCACCUCCGUGCAGGAUAGCGGAUCACUUUCAGGAUACAUUCGUACCUAUGUCUUCAUGAGAUUUUCAUCUCUGUGCAGCCAUAGGGAAAUGUAUUCCCUUGAACCGAACUCGGUCCGCAUGAGCCUAUAAUGGGUGAGGAUCGAGGAAUCUGCUGGUUCGGGUACCUUUGCCCUAGAAGCCAAACCACAUAUAGUGAACCUUAGGAACUUGCCCUAGAUAGAACUAUGCCAAACCCCUAGAGGUCACCCGAGUAGGUACUCUAUUUAUUCUCUUGUUUACUUUUACUUUGUACUAACUGGUUUUUGUUUUGUUUUUAUUAUGAUUGCAUUACAUUUGCAUCUUAGAAAAGAGGUGUUGAUUCAAGUUUGAUUACUAAAUUAGAGAGCUUGUCAUGGAAAUCGAAUUUUUUGAUAAAGUGGAAGAUAAUACGGUUGCCUGAAUAUAUUCCGAGAAACACAAGAAGAGUGAUGGAGGAAUACAUGACUUUACUUCGUGGCCUGAGGUUUCAAGCUGAUUAUCCAAGAGCCUUCGACAUUUUAACUUCCUUAAAGAAGCUGAUGAGCAUUACGAGGAUAGGCAAACGAUGGAUUGCGACCAUGAUCAAGAAAAAGGAGUUAGUAGCGGCAUCCAUUGGAAAUUCGCGAGAUUUAUCUUAACAUCCAGAUGAAGAAAGAUCGAUGUUGUCUUUUGGAGUAUGAAGGCGGGGCCGUACAUGCAUCCGUUUUAUGUAAAAAAGUUUGUUUUCUAGUAAAGUUUUCUAAAUGUAAUUGAAUCAGAAUCAACAUCUCUUUAGGCAUUCAUUUCAUGCAUUUGCAUUACAUGAUAUCAUAUGCAUUAAAAUCCACUAAAAGAGUCUAAUUGAUUAAAAUUAUUUCAGUUAAUUUGGAAAACCAACACCCUUACGGUACCCAGGCACAGACUAGAGAAAUGGACCAAAGGUUGGAGAGAUUAGAGCAUAUGCAAAUACAAAUGCUAGAGCAAUUGACCAAAUUUCAACAGGAUAUGAAAGAUCAGAUGCUAGAAUUUCAAAGAAAUAUGAUGAGCCAGUUAACCCGGUUGCUAGCUGGAGAGUUAGAAAGAGGGAAGGACUCAGUCGUCCACUUUGGGGUUGGUAAUGAGGAUCUUGCCUAUUCCUUAGGUUUUACCCCGAUAGGUGUCCAGGUCCAGCCAGAUGAGCAUCCACAAGGGGCACUCCUUAAUAUCAGAUCCCAACAAUAUCAGACUGGUACAUCAACACCAGUGAAUUGCCUGACAGGCCCAAGAUCCAAUCUGAGGAACAAUUUAGCUAAUCCUGUUGCUCUGGAUAGUCCAGCAGAAAUAAAACAAGCGAGUGUAGAGUACCGAGAUACUAUAAAGGCCUCAAGGAAGAAUGGGAAUAAGGGGGAUAAUUCAGACAGAUAUAACAAGGGUCACUCAAAACUAAUCACUGUGGGCCGGCCAAAGAUAGAAACCACUAGCCAUCCGAGCCCUUUAAAGCGAGAAUCUUGCACGAAGACAUAUACAGAAAGGCCUCAGUUCACGCCUAUACCGAUGUCAUAUAGCGAGCUAUAUUAGAGCCUAUUUAAUGCACAUGUCAUUGCCCCUUUCUACUCAAAAUUUACAACCUCCAUAAAUGGUACGACACGAAUGCACAGUGGGACUACCAUGCAGGAAUUACAAGGCAUUCCAUACUUAUACAUUGGAUUACGAAUAUUAUUUUUAUAUAUUUUUUAUAUAUAUUUUUUGUAUUUUUAUAUAAAGAUAUUUAAUAGAAUAUUAUUUUGUAUAUAUACAAUUUAUUUAUUUUAUAUAUAAUUUAUGCUAUAUGUAAAUUUUUGUAUAUAUUAUUUAUUUUAAAGAUUUCGUAUGUAUACUUUAUUGAUUUACUAUUUUCUUUCUUUCAUGCCAUUUUUUAGUUAUUUCAAAACUUAUAAAUUGGAUUUGCGUUUGUGUUAAUUUGCUUGCUUUUUAAGUUUUAGUAGCUUUUAAAAAUGAAUGUUAGUAUUUGCAUAAUGUAUAAUAUGAGAUGGUUGCCCUUAUAUAUGUUGUAUUGUUUAUUUGUAUUUUAUUGAUUCUUCAUUGCUCAUUAGCUUAUAUUUAGCUUACGAAUUUUUCUUUCGCAAUGUACAUUGUCAUCCCAUUGCAUUUUAUUCGUCAAAAAGAUUAUAUUCUAUUUAAAUAUUAAAAUCGUUUUACUCAAAAGCUUUCAGGAUAAUACAAUACUCAAAAUUUGGGGUCUUCGAAAGAAUUGAACCCUAAUGUAUUGGGUUCCAAUUUCCUCAUUAAAUCUAAAUAACCGGGAAUAUUCUUUAAUCAAAACACAUAAAUAAAAAGCUCAUUCUCGGAAAUUCGAUAUGUGUGUCCUAACGCAUUGGAUAUAACAUGUUUUUUUCUCGAGAUGAAGAUUUUUCUAAAUAAAAGCAAUAUUUGGUGUUUGGGAAUUUCGAGAAAUUGAACCCUAACUUACUGAAUUCUGAUUUUUUUGUUUAACCCAAAUAACCAAAUAUUCUUCUCAAAAUGCAUAAGUUUCAAAAGUUAAAAGAUAAACUUAAUUUUGAAGAUUAAACUGUUGCACCCUAACUCACUAAGUGUGACAAUUUAUUCCUUCAAAAUAAGAGUGUCUUAUCAUCCAUUGCAGUUUAUUCAAAUGUUCUUUUCAAAGGAUCGUAUUUUAAAAUCUUUUCAAAUUUUCAACACUAAGAUGUUAAUCAAUCAAUUCGGUACCAAUUUUGGGCAUUACGAGGGUGCUAACCCUUCCUCGUGUGUAACCGACUCCCGAACCUAUUUUGUCAAAUUUCGUAGACAAAAAUCGUUAUUUUAAUAAAUCAAAAUGUUUUAUUAAAAUCUCAAGGUGAUCUGAUCACACCUUGAUAAAAGAUUGGUGGCAACUCCAUUUUCAUUUUUAAAAGUCGAUCCCCGUUUUCAAAUGAAAGUGGUUUCGACAAAGCUUAUGCUACGAUAUCUGGGGCACCUAUUUUCAUCUUAUUCAUUUCAUAUCUUAGCAAAAUUUGAUAUCUUGAUUAAUUUAUUCAUUUCGAGCUUUGCUCUCAAUAAAAUUUCAUCUUGUCUAUUGUGAUAAUCUUUUUCAAGCAUUUUUCAUUAAAAUAAUGAUUAAUGGACUAACAAUACUUAAGGAAAAGGAGUUCUGAAUAUUACUCCAAAUGCUUCUAAAUAGUACGAGGACCUGAAAUAGAACUAUUAUUUAGAACUAACCAAACCUAAGGGUUGGAAACAUUUGAGAAAGAAUAGCCUAAAUUAUGGCUAUUUCUUUGAGUUUUCUAUAAAAAAUACCAGCUGAGUAAGAAGGUAGCGUAUACGUCAGUGAUAAAACCUUGAUGAAGAACGAGCAAUGUCAACCCAAGCAUUAAAAGGAGAUCAUUCUCAAAAAAAGAAAAAGAAAAAAAAUGACAUUCUGUAUCCAUGCAAAUAUUAUUUAGGAGUAUUUGAUUCAUUCUGAUUAUGACAUCCUAAUCACUUGGCAUAAAUAGGCCCGUGAAAUGGACUCUACAAGUCAUGUCACCCAAAGAAUGGUGUAACAGGUUAAUGAAGCCGCUAAUCCUAUACCCCUGAAGUUGCAAUGGGAUGGAUUGAAGAUCAUAUUAAACCUUAUCUCCCUGAAGUUGCAAUGGAACGGGUUGAAGUUACUAGUCUUAUCUCCCUGAAGUUGUAGUGGAGUAGACUGAAGAUAGAGAAUCUUAUUUCCCUGAAGUUGUAGUGGAACGAAUUGAAGUUAUAAAUUACAGAUCUUAUCUCUCUAAAAUUGCAGUAGAGCAGAUCAUAGCAAACCUUAUCUCCUUGAAGUUGUAGUGGAGCAGACUGAAGAUAGCGAAUCUUAUUUCCCUGAAGUUGUAGUGGAACGGAUUGAAGCUAUAAAUUGCAGAACUUAUCUAUAUGAAGUUGCAGUAGAGCAGAUCAUAUUUUAUCUCCUUGAAGUUGCAGUGGAACAGGUUAAAAAUAAGCCAAUCUUAUCUCUUUAAAGUUGCAGUGGAGCAUAUUGAAGAUAGGCUACAAAUCUUAUCUCUCUGAAGUUGCAGUGGAGCAGAUUAAAGCCACAAACCUUAUCUCCCUGAAGUUGCAGUGGAGCAGAUUAAAGCCACAAACCUUAUCUCCCUGAAGUUGUAGUGGAGCAGAUUAAAGCCACAAACCUUAUCUCCCUGAAGUUGCAGUGGAACAAGUUAAAAAUAACCAAUCUUAUCUCCCUGAAGUUGUAGUGGAGAAGAUUGAAGACAUGCUACAAAUCUUAUCUCCUUAAAGUUGCAGUGGAGUAGAUUAAAGCCACAAACCUUAUCUCCCUAGAGUUGCAGUGAAACAGGUUGAAGAUAGCAAUCUUAUCUCCCUGAAGUUGCAGUGGAGUAGAUUGAAGCCAUUAAUCCUAUCUCCCUGAAAUUGCAGUGGAGUGGAUUAAAACGAUGAAUCCUAUACCCUAUACCUCUGAGGUUGCAAUAGGUCGGAUAAAAUCUACCAUAGCAAGUCUUAUCUCCCUAAAGUUACAGUUAAGCAGACUCAAACUGCGAGUCUCAUCUCCCUGAAGUGGCAGUGGGUUAGAACAAGGUUACUUGAAGAAGAUGAGCACCAAGAGAUCGAGAUUCGACAAGACCAAACAAAAUUGGUCUUUCUUAAAAGUCUUUGCUCCGUUCUCAUUACACGACAACGAGCAAAGAUGGGCAGCUAUAGCAGGCCCAAUUUGCCCAAGCCCAGAACCAAAUAAAUAAAACCAAAAAAUAAAAGAGUCCAAGUCCAAAUUAUUACAAACACAAAUUAAAAACCCUAGUGGCCCAACAAACCCAAAGCCUAAACAUCUUUUCAGAAAAAAAGAAACCCUAGGCUUGCCCUUCAACCGCCGCUCCUCCCACGCACGCCACCACUGCCACACGCCAUCCUCCACGCGCCUAGUACCUGCAAACAAGAUAAAAAAGCACAACAGACACAGAGAAAAAAAUAGUAGCAAAAAGAGUUGUAUUUUUUGGCUAUAAAAGCCAUGAUUCAUCAAUGUAUUUUUUACAGACAUAAAAUCAAUACAAAAAACGAGCAAUCAGAAACAAAAUUUGAAAAAAAGGUGGUUCUUUUGUUUACUUAUUUUUCUUCUUUUCUACUGAUAUUUCUACUAGUUUUUAAGGAAAAUAAAAAAGAAAGGAGUCGAAUCUUACCUUUUUCUCAUAUUUUCACCGCCGAAAAUGGCUGAGGUCUAUCCAUUCUAAUGAAAAUCGAUAAUUUUUUGGGCUCAUGGAGUAGAAGAGCCAAAAAUGGCCUUUUUGGAUUUUUUGGCCACCGUGGACGGCGAUGCCGUCGCCGGUGACUGGUGUCCGGCACGAUGGCCGACGACCGGGACCAUGGCCGGACUUGAAGGGCUUUAAGAGAAAAAGAAGGGAUUUCAAAAUUUCAUUUAAAAACUCAAGCAGAAUGAAGGAUUUAAAUUUUUUUUUGUUUAUAUAGCAAGGCCAAACGACGUCGUUUUGGCCAGUGAGCAUAGGUUCCAAAACGGCGUCGUUUUGGCCUAACCUGAUUUUUGACCUGCCCCUGUUAGAGGAUCCGCGUGUUUUUUUGCAAAAUGGGUUAUUUACACGCUGGUCCCUUCCGUUUUUAUGGCCUAUUGCGAUUUGGUCCCAUUUUUUUCUAUUUUAAAUUUCCCCUCAUAAUUUUAUUUUUAUUUCAUUCAGGUCCUUUACAGAAUGGCGCGAUUAGAGGACCUGGGAUAAUUUCCCAGUUAGUCCUGUUUCUUUUGCGCGCAUUCCAGUUGGGGCCCUAUUUGCCACUUCUAUUUUAAUUUAUUAUGAUUUAUGCCCUUAAUUUUGUUUUGAUUUCAAUUUGAACCUAAUUUGUUUAGAUUCAUUAUCUAUUUAUUACCAUUAUUUGUUUGCAUUUUUUUAUAUACCAUAAUUUAAUAAUAAUAAAAAACAUUAACAUUUAUAUAUUUGUUUGAUUCUUUCCUUGUUUAUUUAUAUAAUAUUUGAAUUCAAACCUUAUUCAUAUUUGACUUAUCAAUUUAUCAUUUUUUUAAACAUUUAAAUUUAAUAUUAUUUUAUCUAUUUGUUCAUUUUUUUUACUUUUAAAAUAAUUAAAUUUAAUAUUAUGUAUUAUUUCAAAUUUUUUAACAUAUGUAUUUAUUUGCACAAUUUCAACCCUUAAUCAAAUUUUCAUUUAUCUUAUAUCUUUUUCGUGUCAUCAUUUUGUUAUUACUCCAAUCAUGUCAUGAGCCGUGUUUAAACAUUUUUCUUUACACUAGAAUCCAAAAAAAUAAAUAUGUAUAGUUUUAAAUAUUACAUGUGUAUUUAUUCAAAGACUUUUGGGAAUAAAGGUAAUAUUUCGUGUUUUGAGCUUCGAGAAAUUGUGCCCUAACUCACGGGGUUUCAAUUCUCUCGUUGAACUCAAAUAACCGAUUAUCCUUUAAAAUUAAAAUAACAAAAUUUAAAAUAAAAAAAGACAAGCUCAUUCUCAAAGGUUCAAGGUGUUGUGUCCUAACUUACGGGAUGUAAUAUUUUGCUACUUCGGGACGAGAAAGUCUUAAACGCGCGUUUUGACUUAUCCAAGCUAUUUUAACUAAAAAUAACAUUAAUAAAAAAGGAUCGUAUUUUCAAUUCUUUCCAAGUUUUCAACUUUCGACAUUAAGACAUUGAUUAAUCAAUUAGGUACCAAUUUUGGGCGUUACGAGGGUGCUAAUCCUUCCUUGUACGUAAUCGACUCCUGAACUCAUUGUUCUGAAUCUCGUAGACCAAAAUUGUUAUUUUAAUAAAUUAAAUCAUUACAAGGUGACCGAUCACACCUCAUAAAACUGAUAGGUGGCGACUCCCGUUUUAGUUUUUGUUUUUAAAUGAAAAGUCGACCCCUCUUUUUAAAAAAAAAUGGUUUCGAUGCACACCACACAUUUUCAAAAUAAAUCAUAUUAAAAUUAAUCCUAAUUGCAUGCCUUUUUAAACAUACCAUAAAAAAUGAAGUAAAAAAAUUCAUGUUUAGGUCACCUGCGAACCCACCCACAAAGAAACCUAGCAGCUCACAUCAACCUGGUAAGCACCAGCUCGAGACCUACUCGCGACCCCAGCUCAUUGCUAGCCCUACGAACCACUAGUUUGCUACUAUCCUGCGAUCCCAAAAGAUUGACGAACCUAGACACACAACUCCCCUUUUGUUUUAACAAACUACUCAGGUGGAUGGCUCACUCGCGAACUCCUCUAUUGUAUUAAAUGCUUGCAAUCACUCCUAAUAUAUUGUGCUUGAGUUGUAACAGAGCCAAUCGUCAACGUGCCAUAAUGAUCUAUUGAUGCUGAAAUUGAAGUUUUUGUUAUAUUGAUAGAGCUUGUCCUUCAACGCAUACAACGUGUUUGUUAUUUUUUUCCUUCAAAUUGUAUGAUCUUAUUCAUUAUAUGAAUUAAUGAAUUUCCCUUUUAAAAAGAUAUAUUUUUAAAAAUUAAAUACUUUAUAAAAUAUUUAAAACUAUUUAAAAAAUUGUAAGCCUUAAAACAAUCUACAAAAUAUAUUUUUCUCUAAAAAAAAUCAAUAAAAGUAUGUUUGAAAUUUUAUAUGAAAUCUUCUUCACAUUACUCCACAUAAUCCAUUAAAAAAAACUUAAAAAGUAUAUUUUAUUAAUUACUAUAUAUUCUUUUAUUUUUAGAAUAAUAAAUUGUUUAAAAUAUGCUACUAGUCCCUAUAAUUCACAAGUUAAAAGUAUUUGGGAUAUCUAGUGCAUCAAAUUCCUCCUUUUAUUAUUAAAUGUUUUAUUUUAGUUACUCUAAUUAAAUAUAUCCAAAAUGUAAUAGAGUUAACAUUUAUUAUAUAAAAAUAUUUUAAAUAUUUUUUCAAUUGCAGUUUAAUUCUAGUAGAAAUAUUUCAUUUAUAAAAUCAUAAAACUUUAAAAAUAUUAACUCUGUUAAAUAAAAAAUGAUGUUUUUUAAACAGUAAAUGUUGACUUUAUUAACACAAAUGGGUCUUUAGGGUAAAACUUCAGUAAUUGACGAGCUCUUCCACAAACUGUGGAUGAUAUGGGGAUAAGAACUUCAAUUAUUCUGGAGUUAAAGUGUAAAUUUACCACUAUAUUAUAAGUAAAUAUUGAAAUUUAUCUCUAUAUUUUAAUUGAUACUUGUCAUUACACUUUGAAAAUAUAAGUAAAUUUACCAUUUAACUCAUAUGAGAUUGAACUUUGCAAGUAAACUUAAAAUUUUAUUUAAUUUUGUCACUAAAUUUGAUUUAUUUAAUUAAAUUUACAACUCAACAUAGAUUUUGGUGACUUAAAACAAAAUUAAUAAAAAAAACUAUUCUUUCAGAUAAUUUUUUAGUGUUUAAUAAUAAGUUGAUUUAUAAAAUAUACUUUCAUUGGACACAAGCAUCCAAGGCGGUGAACAAACCACUAGUCAAAUUGAUUUGGAGAUAUAUUUUUUUCUAAGUCAAGUGAAUUUAUGAGUUUUGCUUUUUUUUUUAAAAUAUUUUUAAUAUUUUCGUGCAUAUCAAGAGAUGCCAAAAAUUAUUUCACUAAGGAAUUAAUUAGUGUUUUAUUUUAAGGGUUCACAAUUAAGCAUUAGAUUUUUCAUUUUUAAAUUUAGAAUUUUUUGACAAUUGCGUAAUUAACAAGUACUACUUUUGGGUGUUGUAGGGUUAUUACAAUCUUCCCUGCACAUAACGGAGUCUUAAACCUACUUUUUUCUCUAGAACUCAAUGCAAACCUCAAAUUUAUCUUUUUAAAAGAAUUUUAAAUGCUUGCAAUCACUCCUGAUAUAUUAUACUUGAGUUGUGACAAUGUCAAUUGCCAAUGUGCCAUAAUGUUCUAUUGAUGCUGAAACUAAAGUUUGUUAUAUUAAUAGAGCUUGUCCUUCAACGCGUAUAAUGGGUGUUUGUUAUUUUUCUUUUUCAAAUUGUAUGAUCUCAUUCAUUAAAUCAAUUAAUGAAUUUCCCUUUAAAAAAUAUAAUUUUAAAAAUUAAAUACUUUAUAAAAUAUUUUAAACUAUUUACAAAAUUGUAAGCAUUAAAACAAUCAACAAGAUAUAUUUUUCUCUAAAAAAUAAAUAAAAAUAUGUUUGAAAUUUUAUAUGAAAUUUAAAAUUUUUUAACAAUAAUAUAUUUUAAAAUUAUUUACACCUUUUUUUAUAUAUUUUUCCUAACAUAUCAUUAUUUUUCCUAAUAUAUUAUAAAGUUUCUAAUUGUAUAGCUAAGGCAGAUGGAGACAUAAUUGUGGAAGUUUGACGAAUAAAAAUUUUAAUUUUAGAGGUUUAAAUUAUAAUUUUUUGAAAGUUUAAAAUAAAUUUAUAUUUUUUAUUAACAAAAUAUAAAAGAUAAAAAAACAUUUUUAGAGAAGCCAAGAAACCUUUGGGAUCAUACGGGUGAUUUUGAUGACGUUAAUGGUUAUUUUGGUGGAAAGGGUGAAAAAGAAACAAAUGACUCAUAUAUAUAAUAUAAUUAUGAAAUUCAAGCCAUAUAUUGGAUGUUUCAUACAUAAAAAUUUCAUGGGAGGUCCAAAGGUAAUUAAAUGACUUGUAGGCUUGCUGAAUUUCUUUGAAAGGCCCAAAGGCAAUUUAAAAUUCACAAAAUAAUCUCUAAAUACUGUAAAGACAAAUCAAAUCCACAGCAGCAUUUGCAAAUAUUACUUUGAUUUUGCAUGCAAUAUUGGCAAAACCCCCUCUUACAUUAGAAAAACAACAUAAUCCACGUAACAUUGAUAGCCCAAUACAAAUUUCAUCAAGAAAAAAGUCUCUUUGUUUUGUAGAACGUGAUAGUAAAGAUGUGGAGUUUCGUUCUUCUUAUUGGCCUCCUUUAGUUUUCCUUGAUCAACAGCCACAAGCCAAAAACACAAUUAGAUUAGAUUAUGAAUGAUACUUUCAACUAUGACAAUAUUAAAUACAAAACACUCCAAAUAACUCUAAAUAAAUGUAAAGCAGCAAAUUACCUGACGAGGCAAGCUAGCUCAAUNNNNNNNNNNNNNNNNNNNNNNNNNNNNNNNNNNNNNNNNNNNNNNNNNNNNNNNNNNNNNNNNNNNNNNNNNNNNNNNNNNNNNNNNNNNNNNNNNNNNNNNNNNNNNNNNNNNNNNNNNNNNNNNNNNNNNNNNNNNNNNNNNNNNNNNNNNNNNNNNNNNNNNNNNNNNNNNNNNNNNNNNNNNNNNNNNNNNNNNNNNNNNNNNNNNNNNNNNNNNNNNNNNNNNNNNNNNNNNNNNNNNNNNNNNNNNNNNNNNNNNNNNNNNNNNNNNNNNNNNNNNNNNNNNNNNNNNNNNNNNNNNNNNNNNNNNNNNNNNNNNNNNNNNNNNNNNNNNNNNNNNNNNNNNNNNNNNNNNNNNNNNNNNNNNNNNNNNNNNNNNNNNNNNNNNNNNNNNNNNNNNNNNNNNNNNNNNNNNNNNNNNNNNNNNNNNNNNNNNNNNNNNNNNNNNNNNNNNNNNNNNNNNNNNNNNNNNNNNNNNNNNNNNNNNNNNNNNNNNNNNNNNNNNNNNNNNNNNNNNNNNNNNNNNNNNNNNNNNNNNNNNNNNNNNNNNNNNNNNNNNNNNNNNNNNNNNNNNNNNNNNNNNNNNNNNNNNNNNNNNNNNNNNNNNNNNNNNNNNNNNNNNNNNNNNNNNNNNNNNNNNNNNNNNNNNNNNNNNNNNNNNNNNNNNNNNNNNNNNNNNNNNNNNNNNNNNNNNNNNNNNNNNNNNNNNNNNNNNNNNNNNNNNNNNNNNNNNNNNNNNNNNNNNNNNNNNNNNNNNNNNNNNNNNNNNNNNNNNNNNNNNNNNNNNNNNNNNNNNNNNNNNNNNNNNNNNNNNNNNNNNNNNNNNNNNNNNNNNNNNNNNNNNNNNNNNNNNNNNNNNNNNNNNNNNNNNNNNNNNNNNNNNNNNNNNNNNNNNNNNNNNNNNNNNNNNNNNNNNNNNNNNNNNNNNNNNNNNNNNNNNNNNNNNNNNNNNNNNNNNNNNNNNNNNNNNNNNNNNNNNNNNNNNNNNNNNNNNNNNNNNNNNNNNNNNNNNNNNNNNNNNNNNNNNNNNNNNNNNNNNNNNNNNNNNNNNNNNNNNNNNNNNNNNNNNNNNNNNNNNNNNNNNNNNNNNNNNNNNNNNNNNNNNNNNNNNNNNNNNNNNNNNNNNNNNNNNNNNNNNNNNNNNNNNNNNNNNNNNNNNNNNNNNNNNNNNNNNNNNNNNNNNNNNNNNNNNNNNNNNNNNNNNNNNNNNNNNNNNNNNNNNNNNNNNNNNNNNNNNNNNNNNNNNNNNNNNNNNNNNNNNNNNNNNNNNNNNNNNNNNNNNNNNNNNNNNNNNNNNNNNCUAUACAUAAUAGUUAAGACUAUUAGUACGACGACAAUACCAAUUGUUGGUAAACCAUACCUAAAAGCAUGCAAUAUAAUCAUUUGGGAGUUUUUGUGGAUGUCGUUUUUGCAGGGUGGGACUAGCAAUCUAGGUGGACCACAAAGUGCAUAAUUCUUCAUGAAUGAUGUGCUAGAAAAUUUUGAAAAACAUCCUUCGCUGGGAAUUUCCCCUUCAAGUCUAUUGAAAGACACAUUAAAAUACUUUAGAUAUAAAAGCUUUUCCAAAGAUUUGGGAAUGACUCCAGAGAGAUUGUUAUUGGAUAAAUCCAAGAAUUCCAAACUAAUCAACCCAUCAAAUGAUUCAGGGAUAUGACCAUGUAGUAUAUUAUUUGAUAAAUCGAAUGAAACCAAAGUGUGAAGACCCCCAAAUGUGGAUAAGUUAUCGCCCAUGAGAAGAUUCCUUGAUAAAUUUAGUCUCAGUAGACUCCUAAAAUUUCCAACAUCAAUAGCAUGCGAAUUGUGAAGAUGGUUUGAUGAUAAAUCUAUUUCUAAGAUAUUUUUAAGAUUCCACAAAGUUGAGGGUAUUGUGGAACUCAAUUUAUUGGAAUCUAUGUGAAGAUAUCUCAAAGAAGUAAUAUUACCCAAACAAGAGGGUAUGGAUCCAUGCAGCUUAUUCAACCUUAAAAAUAAGUUGUAUAAUCUCUCCAAAUCACAAAGGCUUUCUGAGAUGGGCCCUCCUAAUUUAUUAGAGGAAAGACCUAGACUUUGGAGAUUUCGCAGUUCUAAAACCAACAUAUUGGUUAAGUUACCUAUUUCAAUAGGAAUAAUGCCUUGAAGCUUACACCCAUCGGCAAAAAAGUAUUGAAGGGAUUUUGAAAGGUUCCCAAUAUAAGUAGGAAGAAUGCCACUCAAUGGAUUUCCUGAAACUGAUAUGGUUUUCAAAUUCUUACAAUUCGUAAAAGAAGAAAGAAAGCUCCACUCAUGAUCAGUAGCAGAUCCUGUGAUCAAAUUAUUGUCAGAGAUUUGAAGCACUUCAAGGUGUUGUAAGCUGCCAAGCAUUUUAGGGAUUGGGCCAGAGAAUAAGUUUUGUGACAAGUCUAGUAUCUUAAGCAUGGAAGCAUUGGAGAUAGAGUUGGGAAUGUUUCCGCUAAGUUUAUUUGUCCACAAUAAAAGAAUCUGAAGCUUUGGAGCAUUGGUGAUGGGUGGUAAAUUACCUAUAAAAUAGCAUCUUUUAGUAUACAUAUUCAUUGAAUACCAAAUUCACAAAAUAUAUAAUACAUUAAUAAUAAGAAGUUUUGAGUAGUAAUUAGUCCUUGUGAUUUGUAUAGACAAAACAUAUAAUACACUAAUAAUUUUUUAAAAUAUUGUAAAACUUGAAAUAAAAUAAAAAUAAAAGUUUGGCAUGAGAAUGUGGCAUCUAAUCAAUCUUAAAAAUGAGACUGACACUGAAUAAUAAUUAGUUAUGAUUUGGGAAACAAAAAUGUUAAAGCCAUUAUUUAUCUUUAUUAAAUUAUAGUGUAAAAUUUAAAGAUUAUUAUUUGCUCAAAAUUGUUGUAUUUUUCGUAUAUUUGAAAUUUAAUCUUUAUAUUUUUUAUUUUCUGUGAUUUAGUCUCUCUACUUUUUGAAUUGAAAAUUUUAGGUUGAUUCAUUAACACUGUUAAAAAAGUUUUUGUGUUAGUAUGGCAUUUUGAAAAAUAAAAUAAACUUGAUAUCUAUGUUUUUAAUUAUUCCAAAUAUUGUUUUACUAUUUCAAGAUAAAUUAUUUGUGUCUAGACCAAUAUCUUAAGAACUAUUGUUGCAUGUUUAAUUAUUCUAAAGAAUUGUUAAUUGAGUCUUAGCUUGAUUGGCAUGUGUAUUGUUAUCAAUGUAGGAGAAUGUGGGUUCAAGUAUACUGAAGUGUAUUAUCCUCUUAUUUAUAAAUUGGGGAGUUGAUAAAGUAUUAAAUUUUGAUAUAUUUUAAAAUAUUAAAAAUUUAUUAAAAUAAAUUUUAUAAAAAUUGAUUGUACCACAAUAUAAAAUUUUAAUAUAAAAUUUUUAAUUUUUUUAAAAAAUAUUAGCGACUAUAUACUUUAUUUCAAGUUACACAAUUUUUACUAGUUUUUAACUUUUUAAAAAAAAAUUUUAACGUCUUUUAUAAUUUCUAAUAAUUUUUUAUAAUUUUUUACAAUAUUUAAAAAUUUCUACCAAUUUUUAAUAAUUUUAUUAUUUAUUACAAAUUUAAAAUUAACAAAUUUUUAUUUUUUAAACAAUUAUAUAUUUAUAAUGUAGUUAUUUUUUAUAUAAUUUUACUUGAAAUUUUAAAGAUUUUUUUGGUUUUUUUCUAGAUGAUGAUGCCAUCAUGAUGUCAUCAUAUACCACAUGGCAAUUUAUGAUUAGUUGGAUAUCUCAAGCUAUUUUUUAAUGUCCAAUGGACUAAACCAAGAACACCUAAUAAUGUUAGAGACUACACUAGCAAUGUUUGAUAAUAUUAGGUACUAAAGUGGGCAAAAAAAAAUAUUAAGGACCAAAGUAAAAAAAAAAAAGAAAAGAAAAAAAAAUGCUGUAGGGAAUAAACUGUGCAUUAAACCAUUAAAAAUAUAUCAAUAAUAUAUAUAAAUGCAUGGAUUUUUUGAAACUUUUGAACUGAUAAUUAUAUAGUCUUUGUUGUUUACUAUAUUAUUGAAUUUAUUAUUUUAAAUAUAUAUUCUUUUACUUUUAAGAUUUAUAUAAGAAUUUUGGUUUUCCUAAAAUAUUUGGUUAAGUAAAUUCACUUCAUAAGAAAAUUUAGCAUCCUUAUAAAUAACAAUUUUGAUUAUAUUAAAAAAAUUAUUUUAAAAAUAUAUAAUAAUAAAUUAAAAUUUAUAUUGAAUUACUUUAUACUUCAAUUAUUAUUAGAAACUUUAUCAUACACGUACGUGUAUAAGAAUCACGUAUUUAGAACAUCAAUUUGUGUUUUAAAAUAACUUAUGAUAAAUAAUGAAAUGUAUAAUUUGAAACUAUUUAAUAAUAACACAUGGCAUAUCUACCAUAUUAAAAUAAAAUAGAUUAAAUUGUAAGUAAAAUAUAGUUUAAACAUAUGAAUACAUCGAAUUAAGAAUACUAAAUGAAUACAGUUAUUUAUGAUGAUGUUGUUGUCAAUUCCUAAGUUGGUGUCGAGUUAAUUUGUGACAUCAUAUAUUUAAGUGAUAAAUUUAAGGUUUUAUGUAUUGAUGUGGAUUCAAAUAUCACCAUAACUUAUUUAAAAUAAAAAACUAAAUUACCCCAAAUAAUAUAACUUAUUUUAAAUAAAAAAAUGAUUAUAUUCAACACUAAAUCAAUUUUUAGAUUUUGUACAAAUGAUUUAAUGAUGAUAAAAACAUUAUUACCACUAUUUUUGAAUUAACAAAAAAUUAGUGAUAUAUUUUAAUUUUAAUUUUUUUAUUUUUUAUUGUAUACUAAAUAUGGUACAUAUACUUUAAUUAUAACUUGAAAUUUUAUUAUAUAAAUUAAUAUAUUUUAAUUAUAUUCAACCAUUUGAAUAACAAAAUAAAAAAAAACUAAUUAGAAUAAUUUAAAAAAAAUUAUUUAAAAGCUAGUUAAAAAUCACGUGGUGCAACAGGUGAUAUGAGAAUCUAUGUAUAUAAAUGUAUAUGUAUAUAUAUCGUUCUUUCAUUUUUUAAAAUAAAUAUAUUUUCCACAUUGGUUUCUUUUGUUAUACAGACAAAUGAUUUCUAAUGAUUUUUUAAAAAAAAUGUACUUAUAUAAAAUAGAUUAGUUUAUGAAAUAAAAAAUAAUUUAUUUUUUAAAGUUUAAUGGAAAUUAAAAAUUAAAAAUAAAUCAAUUCAUAUAGAUCUUAUUAUUUAUUAUCAAAUUAAAAUGAUAAAAGUAUAUGACCAAAAUAGAAGAAACAAAUUCAACACAAUGUUUUUGGAGUUUGGAAAAAAUUAAAGUGAAAAACAUACCUUCUAAUUUGUUGUCAUAUAGACCUAUUACUUCGACCAUAGUUGAAUUAAAAAUACUUGAUGGAAUCUGACCUGCACACAUAGUCAAAAAUUAAAGUGAAAAACAUACCUUCUAAUCUGUUCAACUAAAAAUACUUUAAGCAUAUUUUUUAAGGUUGUUGCAUUUGCCCAUGCCAAAUGGAAUGUUACCGGAUAAUUCAUUCCGACUUAGGUAAAGCCCUUCAAGCUUGGGAAGAUGUUGACACAUAUCAUUAGGCAAACUACCUGAUAGGCUAUUGUUGGAGAGAUCAAUAGUCUUGAAAGAAGAAAUGUUAAAGAUCAAAGUCGGAAUCUGACCUGUAAGGCCUUUAAUUGCUUGAAUAUCAAGCAUUUCCAAACUAAAAAGAUUACCGAUUUCUUUAGGAAUUUGACCUUCAGACAUAGUCGAAACAUCAAGGUGUUAAAUUACCUAUUUUGUUAGUGUAAAUCAAAGAGGAUUUUUAUUUUUUUUUCGUUAUGAAAUAAUAAGGAUAUGUUAGAUUCUAAUCAUAUUUAAAUAUAUAUUAGUUCUUGAAAGAAAGAGUUCUUAUUUUUGGUAUUUAUAAUGCAAAUAUUUUUUUAAAAAAUUUAAAAAAAGGGGGGGCAAAUGUGUUUAAACUAAAGACAUCAAGGAAAAGGCAUACCUUCUAGGUUAUUUAACCCCAAGUAUAAUUGUUUAAGUUGUGUCAAAUUCCCAAUGCUUUUUGGAAUGAUCCCACUAAAUUGAUUAAUAGACAAUUCCAAAAUUUGAAGGUUGCAGCAUUUGUCUAUACUUGAUGGAAUAGAACUUGAUAAUUCGUUUCUACUGAAGUAAAGCUCUUUCAGCUUGGGAAGAUGGACACACAGAUCAUCGGGCAAGCCACCAGAAAGACAAUUAUGACGAAAAUGAAUCCUUUUCAAAGAAGAAAUGUUAAAGAUGGAAGAUGGAACCUGGCCAGAUAAUUGAUUGAAUCCCAAGUUCAAGAUCUCUAGAUUGGACAUGUUGACAAGUGUUUGAGGGAUUGUGCCUGUGAAGUUAUUAUUUCUCAUUUCCAACCUUUGAACUCUGUGCAAGUUCCCAAGCCAUGGUGGAAUUUCCCCAUUAAGACGGUUGUAGCUUAAUCGAAUGAUCCUCAAACGAUGCAAUUGGCCCAGUUCUUUAGGCAGAUGGCCAUAGAAAUUGUUGUUGCUCAAAUCGAGAGAAAAUAGAAAUGAAAGAUUUCCAAGGUGUGGAGGGAUAGUACCCCUAAGAUUCAUGUUUGUAAGAUUCAAAGCUACAACUCUCUCAUGGAUGAUGCCACAAGAAACACCAACCCACUUACAAACAGAGGUAGAGUUCGUCCAAUUGUUUGCCAACACAUUUUGAGGAUCGACAAUGCGAUCUUUCAACUCAAAGAGUGCAAACUGAUCGGAGUUGAGAUUCCGGACUGUCAUAGCCAAGGAAACAAUAGAGCACUGUAUGAAUAAAAGUGAAAGAAGAUGAAAGCAAGUGUUGUAGUUCAUGAUUGCAAGACGAAAUAAGCCAGGAAAAGAAAAAGUAGGAAAAGGGAAGUUGAAUUGAUGAAGAAAUACCCAGCGAACAUGCUUAAAUAGGCUUCAACCCUCGCACACUUCUCAUACAUAAAGUUCACUGCCAUUACAACAAGAAAACUCAUAUCUCCAUUCAUACCUAUCCAUACUUUAUUUGACUAACUUUUCCCUAACAAGUGUUCAGUAAGGAGACAAAUCAGUUUGGAGCUAUUCACUGAGUUCUCCAACCUUGGUUUCAAACUCCUAGCCCAUCAAUUCACUUUAAUUGAAACAAUAUACACGAGUCUUUCGGCUUAUAUUUUUAACUUACUACUUCUCUUUUUAAUUUAUUUUUUUGUUACUUCUCAUAAUAUUUUUUGAGAAAUCCAAAUAUUCCAGUCUGAAAUUUCUUCAUUGCCACGUCUAUCUCCUGGGUAAGUUCGUGGUUAGGCAGCCCACUUUGGGGGCAGGAUUGUAAUUUUAGUUCUAUCCGACUCAUUUUACUAUUUAGAAAUAUAAAAGUAAUAUUAUAUUAAUUUUUAUAUUUUUAUAAUUUUAAUUUUAAUUUUUAAACAAUAAAACGUGUCAUUUGUAUUUGCCUAGGCUAAACUGAAUCAGGAGUGAAAAUUUUUUUAAUCAUAAUUUACUUAUUUUAAUUAAUUAAAUUUUAAUCUGCUAUAACAAGUAGUUGCAUAAAAAAAUGUCAUUCCUUUAGAAAAAUGAGAACUUAUGAAGCAUUCAAUAAGAGUUGUUGGAAUACAUGGUAACAAAACUAUAAUUCGAUAUAAAACUAUAUAAAUAAAGUAAGAUUUGUGAUACCUAAAUUGUUAUCUUUUCUGUAAAUAUAUGGAGAUUUUUUAUUAGGAAAUAAUUUUAUAUAUCAACAUUUGUUAUUUUCUUUUGAUAGAAAUUUAAUUAUGUUAUCUGUAGAAAAAAAAUAUUUACGGAAAUAUCAUUAGUAGAAAAUCAUAAAUUUGUGUGUGGCAAAAAAUUUUCACCACCAAGAAAGGGACAAAUUAAACAACUUGAAAGUCAUUGGUUGUUUAAAAUAUUAGAUAAUAAUUUUAGUGAAGAAUCAUUAAAAUUAUGACAAAAUAACCCUAGAUAUUGUAGUAUUAAAUUAGAAAAUCUCAAUAAUAUUAUUAUAGUAAAACCUAUGAUCUAUCUAAACAAGAUAUAGAAGAAUUUGAUAUACAAAUUAAGGGCAGAAAUCAUGUGGAAAUAAUAAAAAACAAGAAAAAGCUAGUAUGGUCAUUAAUUAUAAAAGAUUAAAUCAAAAUAUUAUUUUUUAUAGUUACUUGAAUUAAUCAGGAUAGACAAACAAAAUAUUUUAGUAAAUUUGAUUGUAAAUCAGGAUUCUAGCAAAUCAUGCUAACAGAAAAGUCUAAACCUUUAACGGCUUUUAUCCAAUGGACAUUACCAAUGGAAAGUGAUGUUAUUUGAAUUAUGUAAUGCACCAAAAAUCUUCCAAAGACGAAUGGAUUUUAUAUUUAAUAAAUAUAAAAAAGUCUGUGUAGUUUAUAUAGAUGAUAUUUUGAUAUUUUCAGAUACACUAGAAUUACAUAAGAAAUAUUUAAAUAUUAUUUCUUAAGAAUUUAUAAAAUAUAGAAUCAUAUUAAACCCUAAAAGUAUAGAGUUAGAAAAAAGAGAGAGAGAGUUUUUAUAACAGUGGAAAUAAAAAAUUGUCCUCAAAAGAUUGAAGAAAAAAAGAACUUCCAGCAAUUUGUAAUAUAUUCCUCCCAAAUUUUCAGUUUCAAUUUUAUUACAGAAUUUCUUUGCCGACAAUAAGAAAAGAGCAUAUUCACAUUUUCGUCGCAAUUUCAACACCCUAUCUCUUGCCCACUUUCCUUUUUCGGCCAAUUUCAAACGUAGCUGUUUUUCGAUUUUUCCUCUUUAUUUCAUUAAUAAAAUGUCAAUCUAUUUGUUUUUUUAAUAUAUAAUUUUUUUAAUAUUUUUUUAAUUAUAAUAUAAGAGCUGUUGUUUAUUUAUAGUUUUAUUACAUUAUUUAAUCUCUUUUUUCUAUCAAGUUUUUUAAAUUAUAAUAUAAGAUUUAUUUUAUCAAAUUGUGGCUUAUCGAGUAUUCAUCUAUUUUAAUAAUAACUUGAGUUCCAAUCAUUAUUAUACCAGAAAGAGUUCCAUUUAUUCUUUAUCGUAAAUUUUAUAAAAAAAUAUAUUUUAUUAUAAUACUAUACGUGUUAGGAAUAAUAUUUUAUUUUGGAUGCCCAUAAUUUUCAAAGUUGUAACCUCUAAUGUAGUAACCUCAAUGAAAUUAUGAGGCUUUUAUAUUGUAAUCAAGCCUCUAUUUAUUCUUUGUAACUUAUAAACAAAGGCAUAUUUUCUAUUAUAUUGAUAUUUUCUAUAGAGGUAUAUACACAAGGAAUCAAAUAAAAAGUUAUUUACCUUUCUAUUAUAUUGAUAUUUUCUAUUUAAUUUGUUCUUUUCUUUCACUAUUCCAUAAUAUAUUAUCAGUACGAUUUUAAUUGAGAGUAACAGUUAUUAGAUUGUGUCAAAAUUUUGUUGGACUCCAAGUAUUGGAACUUAAUUGUUUAGGUUAAGAAUCAUUAGAAUCAGUGGCUAUUUGAGAUAUGCUUGAGGAUGAUCUCAUUCUCUUCAUCACAAAGGUGGAGGUUAGAAAAUCUUUAUGUUUAAACAUUUAUAGCUUCAAAGUUAUUUUAACCUCUUAUUGUGACCUUAUAAUAUUUUGUAAUUUUUUGUCUUAUGGUAUAUAAAAAAAUAUCUAACCAUAGUGAUUGAUUAGUAAUUUGAAUUUGUUAUUUGUUAUGUUUAAUAUAUAUUUUAUUUAUAUUUAUUCAUUUUAUUUUUAUAUGAGUAAAUGAAGUGUUUGAAGAUUCGAAAUUUUUAUCAUCCACGUUGAAAGUAAGUGCAAAUGUGUAUAUUAUUUAAAAUAAAUUACACAUUCAUUAAUGUUAUAUGAUAAAAUCAUUACAUGUUUUGAAGAACUAAUAUUGCAUCAAACUGUAAAAUGCUAAACCCUAAAAAGCUCUUGAAGAACUAAUAUUUUUCCUCCUUGUGAUGCAAAAUCUUCUAAAAUAUGAUAUUAUUUUUCAAAUCGAGAAGAUAUAUGUUGCAGGAAAUCUUUAUGUGUUUUACAUUAAAACCAUGAAUAGAAAUGACAUGAUAUAUGUAAUAGGCCCAAUUUGCCCGACCCGCUAUUAAAAUAAACCAAAUGAAAAAACAAAUGAAAUAACAGUCCAUUAGUCCAUAGUUACAAACCCAAGUUACAGUGGCCCAGUCACCUAAAAGACCCAACUAAAACCCAAACCCACUAAGCCUAAUGCCCAUCAGCCAACCCUAGCUCGACGGCCCAACACCAAAGAGGUUGCAGAAACCCUAGCAGCAAACAAUCUCUGGCGCCGCAGCCUUUGGCCCUCUCCUCGUAUGUGCUGGUCUCUCCACGUCACCACCCCUCCGUACGCCGUACCUGCAAGGAGGACAAACAAACAAGCAGCGAGACAUAUAGCAACAAAAAAAAUGGAGCAUAUAGCAGAUUGACAGCAAAUACUAGGGGAAAAUAGGAAGAAAAUGUAAAAUUUAGAAAAAAAUUUAUUCUUUUUCUCAGAUCGGCUAUAAAGAGGACCGAUUGAACUAUGUAUUUUUUUACGCAUUCAAAAUAUUGAAAGGUGACUUCCGAGUUUCUUUUACAUUUUUCAUUUUGCUAGUAUCAGUUUUCUUUUUUCUUUCUCUUAUUUUUUGUGUUCAAUAGCCAUUAGUUAAGAGAUAAAACAAUAAGAGAAAGAGAGGGACGGAUGUACCUGGUAGCGCGAUCUUAGCCCUCUUCGCCGUCAUCGGAGAACGGGCUAGGUUCGAAAGCCGUCUGAAUGCCCUCAAUGCGCAGAACGGUCUAGGGCUUUUGCUUUAGUUAAGGUUUUGUUUUGAUGUAGGUGAUAGUUUUUUAGGGUUUAUUUUAGUUUUAAAUGCAGGAUUUAAAAUGUCGCCGUUCAGAGCCCAUACAAUGGCACUGAAACGGCGUCGUUUGAUGGUCCGACCCAGGCGAUGACCCGAUCCGGGUAGGAUCCGUGUCCUCUAGUUGGUUGGUCUAUUUGUCUAAUAGGUCCCUCGGAGUUCAAUGGGAUUAUGAUUCGAUUUUCUUUAUUUGUUUGUAAUUUGUACUUUACAUUUAAUUCUGUAUUCAUUUAGAUCCGAAUUUAAAUGGCGUCGUUUCUGUGGUUGACUUGGAUUGUUAUGAUGUUUGUGUUUAAUUGCUAGUUUAGUCCUUCAAUGUUGAAACAGGUUUUGAUUUAAUACAAAUUCAGUUUUCUUUUUAAAAUUCCACAAUAUUUUUAAUUAAUUAAAUCCUACUUUCGUAUAUUAUAAUAUUUAAUAUUAUUUGUAACAUUUAUUUUAUAUAGUGUUUAAAUUUAUUAUUAUAGUUUAAAAUGUAAUAAAUUAUUAUUAUUUUGUUUAUUUUUUAAUUCAUUAUACACCAAUAUUUUGAGUCAAUUGUAUUUUAAUUUUGUCCUAAUUUAUUAUCAUUCUAAUUUUAUUUAAGUCUCGAUUUAAAAUUUGUUGAUUAUUGUUCGAAAUUUCAAAAAAUGUUUUGCAUAUUUAAUCCUGAUUUCAAAAGUCUUUUAAUAAAUCAAGUUUUAUAAUAAUUCAUAUUUUUAAUAUCAUUUUAAUAUUGGCUAAUAUUAUCAUAAUUGUUGUUAUCAUUUUUAAAAUUAUUUUUCUCAUGUCUAAUGUUGUCUUCAAAAGUUUUCUUUAGAUAAAUUAAUUCAUAUUUUAAUUCAUCAUUUUUAACCUUAUUUUAAUAUUUAGCUUAUUAUUGUAUUUUAAAUUUAUUUUUAAAUCUUCAUAUUAAUUAUUAUUUUUAUUUUAUUUUAUCGUUUAAAUCAACGUAUCCUUAGGAAUUUGAUUAUUGAUUUAUUAGAUGUUUAAUUAUUAAUAUGGAUGAAUUAUAUGUUUGGUUGCUCUUUAAUGUAAAUUUAGAUUACUAUUUAUCUUUUGCAUUACAUAUUGCUAUUUAAUUAUAUUGUUUGUAAGAAUUCCAUUUCAUUAAAACAUUAUAAUCGUUUUAUUUCAAAAUUCCUAAAAAAAAUUGGUGUUUAAUAAUGCUCGAGAGAAUUGUGCCCUAACUUACUGGGCUUCAAUUCUUCUCGAUGAAUUUAUAUCAUCAAGUAUCCAUUUUAUUUAAGCCAUACAAUUUUAAAAUAAAGCAUUUAAGAUUUCAAAAUAUUGGAUCCUAACUUACUGGAUAUGAUAUUUUGUUAUCUCGAUUUUAAAAUAAAGGCAAUAUUUGGUAUUUAGGAAUUUUAAGAAAAUUGAACCCUAACUUACUGGGUUUCGAUUUCUCGAUUGACCCAAAUAACCAAAUAUCCUUCUCAAAACGUAUGAAUUUUUAAAAUUAAAAAAGACGAAUCUAACUUCGAAGAUUGAAUCGUUGCACUCUAACUCACUGAGUGUGACGGUUUAUUUCUUUAAAGUGGGUAGGUCUUAUGUUCCACUUCGAUUAUUAAAUUUUCUUUUCAAAGGAUCGUAUUUUAAAAUCUUUUCAAAUUUUUGACACUAAGACAUUAAACAAUCGAUUCGGUACCAAUUUUGGGCGUAACGAGGGUGCUAACCCUUCCUAGUGCGUAACCGACUCCUGAACCUGUUUUUUUCAAACUUCGCAGACCAAAAUCAUUUUUAUGGUGAGCCGAUCACACUCCUUUAAAAGAUCGGUGGCGACUCCCAAUUUGCGUUUUUAAUUCGACAACUAAAAUUUUUGUUGUUUCCAAAACGGUGGGUUCGACAAUAUACUCGUGUAUUUGUAUUAUAAAUAUUCCUUGAAGGAAUACACUUCACUUGUAUGAUUGACAUAUGAGAUAGUGACAAGAAGUUCAUAGUGUUGGUAUGGUCUGCUAGAUCAUCUCAAGUCAAUAAUGAUGCAAAAUCAUUUGAAGAGAAUUUAUAUGAUUUUAUUGAAGAAUGAGAAGUUAUUUUCAUUUUGAUAAUUGUCAUCAAUACUAGUUCUUUGAAAAAAAUAUUGAACUAACAUCAACUAAAGUUAGAGGUUGGUUGCAUUUUUUGAUGAUAUCCAAAUAAUAUAUGAGCUCAUGUAUCACAUGUAUGCAACCCAAAGUUUACAGUAUUAUUUCUUGAAAUAAUUUGAUUCUACACAAUCUCUAUAGUAUGCAAUUUGUGCUAACAACAUUGAUGCAUUAUAUCCUAAGCUUGAUUUUCAUAGUUUUAGCUGAGAUAAUAUUAAGUUAUCUAUGCCUAUAUAUGUUAUACUUAAUGGUUAGCAAAAUUAUGCCUCCAUUUAAUUGCUUAACCAUUAAUAUAAGAAGAGCUUUAAAAUAAGCAUGUAAUUUUAUUUGCAUAGAGCCAACAUGUAAGAAAUGUACAAGCCCAAUUUCGUCCGGGACCAACCAAAUAAAACCCAAAAAAAAAAAGAAUAAUAAUUAACAGUCCAAGAAAUUUAAUAAUAACUUGAGUUCGAAUCAUUAUCAUACCAGAAAGAGCUCCAUUUAUUCUUUAUCGUAAAUUUUAUAAAAAAAAUUAUAUUUUAUUAUAAUACUAUAUGUGUUAGAAUAAUAUUUUAUUGUGGAUGCCCAUAAUUCUCAAAGUUGUAACCUCUAAUGUAGUAACCUCAAUGAAAUUAUGAAGCUUUUAUAUUGUAAUCAAGCCUCUAUAUAUUCUUUGUAGAAAAUAUUAAGUUGAUUUUACUUUAUUAAAAAAUUUAAAAUAAAUUAUCUUGUUUUUUUUAAAUGAGUUAACCAAAUUAACAUAUUUAUUUUUAUCCAAAAUUGUCCAAAAUAAUAUAAAAUAUUAUAUUAAUAAAAUUAAAACUAUGAAAUAAUAUUUUUUAAAGAUUAUUAUUUACUUUUAUCAAACAAUACAAUUAUAUUCAGUACUUAUAUUUACUAGUUUACCAAACAGUUUUCCAAUAUGAGUUCAACACUUAUCAAAUUCAGUAUUAAAAAUUCAGUGCUUAAUUUUUUAGCACUUAACUUUUCAAUUCAUCAAGCACGUCUAAUUCAAUUUAUAUAAUUCUCUAUUUGUAUCUCUAUGAAUUUAUAAAAUCCUUCUCGCAUUUAGUUGUUGGGAUCUUUAUAUGAAGAUAGAUGCUUUUAUUUUUUUAUUGGUUCAUUUUUAAUAAUUGUAUUGAUUUAUUUAAUUUAAUUUUUGAUUAAUAUAUAUAUGAUUAUUGUGGAAUGGAAGUAAAAGUAUUUACUUCUCAUAAACUUUGAAAUAUUCACCCUGUCUACAUAUUAAUUAUUGUAAAAUUUUAAUUGAAAUUAUGUCAUAAAAGGUGGAGGUUAGAAAAUCUUUAUGUUUAAACAUGUAUAGCUUCAAAGUUAUUUUAACCUCUUAGUGUGACCUUAUAAUAUUUUGUAAUUUUUUGUGUUAUGGUAUAUAAAAAAAAUCUAACCAUAGUGAUUGAUUAGUAAUAUAAAUUUGUUAAUAUAUAUUUUAUUUAUAUUUAUUCAUUUUAUUUUUAUAUGAGUAAAUGAAGUGUUUGAAGAUUCGAAAUUUUUAUCAUCCAUGUUGAAAAUAAGUGCAAAAGCGUAUAUUAUUUAAAAUAAAUUACGCAUUCAUUAAUGUUAUGUGAUAAAAUCAUUACAUGUUUUGAAGAACUAAUAUUGCAUCAAACUGUAAAAAGCUCUUGAAAAGCUAAUAUUUUACCUCCUUGUGAUGCAAAAUCUUGUAAACCAUGAUAUUAUUUUUCAAAUCAAGAAGAUAUAUGUUGAAGGAAAUAUUUAUGUGUUUUACAUUAAAAACAUGGAUAGAAAUGACGUGAGAUACUCGUGUAUUUGCAUUAUAAAUAUUCCUUGAAGGAAUACACUGCACUUGUAUGAUUGACAUAUGAGAUAAUAGCAAGAAGUUCAUAGUGUUAGUAUGGCCGGCUAGACCAUCUCAAGUUAAUAAUGAUGCAAAAUAAUUUGAAGAGAAUUUAUGUGAUUUUAUUGAAGAAUGAGAAGUUAUUUUCAUUUUGAUAAUUGUCAUCAUUACUAGUUCUUUGGAAAAAAAAUAUUGAACUAACAUCAAAUAAAGUUAGAGGUUGGUUCAUGGUUGUAUUUUUUUAUGAUAUCCAAAUAAUAUAUGAGCUCAUGUAUCACAUGUAUGCAACCCAAAGUUUACAGUAUUAUUUCUUGAAAUAAUUUGAUUCUACACAAUCUCUAUAGUAUGCAAUUUGUGCUAACAACGCUGGUGCAUUAUAUCCUAAGCUUGAUUUUCGUAGAUUUAGCUGAGAUAAUAUUAAGUUGUCUAUGCCUAUAUAUGUUAUACUUAAUGGUUAGCAAAACUAUGCCUCCAUUUAAUUGCUUAACCAUUAAUAUAAGAAUAGUUUUAAAAUAAGCAUGUGAUUUUAUUUGCAUAGAGUCAACAUGUAAGAAACAUUUGUCCCAUGAGAAUUAGCUUUCAUUUAUAAGCCAAUAGGUUUCAUUUAUGACUAUUUGAAUGUAAAAUAUCUAUUUUAUAUUCCACCAUAAUGCACUAAGAUGGACCAUCAAGUAUGAAGUUGAGAAAAAUUAGAAUUUUUAUUUGAUGGUAAAAGUUGAAAAGAGAUAUAUAUUUAUAAUUUUGAAAAAAAUAUUCAUGUUACAAAUUUUCUCAGUAUUAGGGGGAGACAAGUUGGACAAAUAAGUAUAAUUAUGUCAUCACUUUUUGUGAUCCCUUACUAAUCUUAUGUGCACAAAGUUUGAAAGAAAAAGGUAUUUGCUAGACAUGUUUAGUGAUGAUAUUUAGAGAUUGUAUAUACUAGAUGAUACAUAUACCAGCUAAAAUGUUCCAAAUAAUUAUGAGUCCUAGAAGGACAAAGUGAUAAAAAUAAUUUUUGGGCACACUAGAAGGAUGAAAAACUAGUUGGUUCUAUAAAUAAAAAAAAUCUUAAAAGAAAAGAGUAAGAAAUGAAGAUGGUCAUACGUUAAAGGAGACGAGUACUCAUGAAGAGACCCAAGGUAUAACUUUUAAUAAAACCCCAAAAGAGGUUCAAUACAUGAAAUUAUGAAAAUAAUAAGUGUAAUAACCAGAUUUUUCCCGGGCCCAAUGCCAAACAAAUAAAACCCAAACCAAAUAAAUAAAAUAAGAGUCCAAAUUACAAUCCAUCAGGGCCCAAUUCAGACCAGCCCACUAUUCAAUCAGACCAGCCCAACAAAAAAUAAACGCUAGUAGCCCACAACCCAACUAAGCCUAAAACAUUUUCAGCAAAAGACGAAACCCUAGCUGCCAUGCUAGCCGCCGCUCCUGCCCUAGCCUCUGCCCACUGUCGCACACCACCUUUGCCACCACCGUCAACCUCUGACACCUGCAAAACAGCAAACAACACGCAACAACAAAGAAGAAGACAACAAGCAAAAAACAAAUCGCAAAGGGACAAAAAUAAUGAUAACAAAUAGCCUUAGUUCGGCUAUAAAAACAAAAAAAAAAUGAAAACUUUGUACUUCUUCGGCAAGAUUAAUACCAAAAAAAAAAGAGAAAAGAUUUGAACUUUUUAAGGUGAUAUUUCAUUUUUUUACGCUUUAGAUCUAUUUUUUUUAUUUCACCUUCAUCUACGAAAAUUAAAAAAGAAAAGAAAAGAAAAAGACUUUGAUUUCAAAGUGAUAUUUCAUUUUUUUUUGUUUUAGAUCUAGUGUUUUUUAUUUAUUUUUUAUCUACGAAAAUAAAAAAGGAAAAGAGAAACGUACCUGAUUCGCCUCGUGGCUCCGUCGACGGAAGUCCCAUCGUCGUCGUCGGAAUCAGGCUUAAAAGGGGAAGGUUUUUAUUUUUCUUUGCUUUUUUUUUUGGAUUUUUCGUCUCAAGAAAGGGACUAAGGGAGGAGAAAUGGCCAAAAUGGUCUUUUUCCGAUGAACUCCGGCAACCGUAUGCAGCGGUUAACGGCGCCGGCGCUCGGUGGCUGCGAUGGAGCCAUGGUGGUGUCCCAUGGCCGGAUCUGGAGAGGAAGGCUUUGAGAGGGAGAGAGUUUCUAACAGUUUUUUUUUUAUAUUUUCUAAGGCAGAAAUGAAUUUUUGAAAAAAAAAGUUGGGUUUUAUAAGUGCAUGAAACGGCGCUGUUUUGCACAAGUGCACAUCGACGUCGAAACAACGUCAUUUACCCCUUUACCCGCGCGCCCGAGUCCGACCCGAUGAAGGUCCGUGUGUUUUCAUGCCUGAUGGGUUAUUUCCCUUCUGCUUUUGGGCUUCUUCUCAAUCUGGUCCUAAUCCUACUUUUUUCCUCCUUUUAAAUUGUACCAUUUAAUUUAAUUUCAUUUUCAAUUCGGUCCCUAGGUUGACCAUAGGAAAUGACGAGCACAAAGUUAAGGGAUAUUUUCCCUUUCAAUCCCCAAUAUUUUUAGCGCGAUUCCCUAACCUUUAAUUCCUACCUUUUACACAUAUUAUUUCAUUUUAUUCGUUUAUUUAUUCACUUAUCAUUUUUACCCUCUUUUUAUACUUAAAAAUAUAUAUUAUUUACACUAUUACUUGCAUAUUUUUUACUAUUAAAUUAUUAUUUUUAAUGUAUUAUUAUUCCCAUUAUUUUACCUUUUUAUUUAUUUUGAUACUUUCAUGUCACAUUUAUUUAUUUUAAUAUUUCCAUUAUUUAUUUUAUUUUAUUCUUAUGUUUUUUAGUAUUUUUUUUAUUUCUUUUAUUGUUCACGGUUUUUUUUUUCAUGUUAUAGAUAUUUAUCUUUCUAAUCAUGCAUUUUUCCUUUUUUUAUUUUGUUUUAGGUUACCUUAUUUAUUAUUAUUAUUAUUGUGAUAAUACUAUUAUAAUUAUAUUACCAUUAUUAUAGAAUUCCUUUAUUUGUAUAUUCCAUUAUAACUAUUAUUAUUAUUAGUCUUUAACUAACUUCUAUUUUUAUUAUUAUUUUUUAGAAUAGUAGUCAACAUGGUUAUCCUUAUUAUUAUUUGGUGUUGUUAUUAUGAUUUUAUCAUUAUUAUUGUUGUAUUUCAUUUUUUGUUCACUCUUUAAAUAUUUUGUUCAUAUAGUUAUUUUGCAUUAUUGCAAUAUUGUUGCAUUAACGCAUUAUGUUUCUUAUAUAAUAAUUAUUUCGCUUUCGCGCAAUGUUCGAAUCAAUUAAACAUGAAUCUUAUCAAUUCUUACAUUAAUUCUUACUUAAGUUCAAAAAGAAAAUUUUCAAAAUAAGGUAAUAUUUUGCGUUUUAGAAAUUCGAGAAAUCGUACCCUAACUUACGGGGUUUCAAUUUUCUCGUUAAACUUAAAUAGCAAAAUAUUCUUUUAAAUUUCAAAAUGCAUGCAAUUUCAAUAAAAAUCAAAGGCAAGCUUAUUCUCUAAGGUUCCAAAUAUCGCGUCCUAACUUAUAGGAUGUGACAUUUCGUUACCUCGAGACGAGUAGGUCUUCAACUCUCUUUUUGAUUUAUUCGGGCGUUUUUAAUAACAUUAAUAAAAAGGGAUUCUAUUUUAAAUUUCCGUUCAAGUUUUCAACCUUCGAAAUUAAGACAUUAAUUAAUCAACUAGGUACCAACUUUGGGCGGAUCUAGGGUUCUAAUCCUUCCUUGUGCGUAACCGACUCCCGAACCCGUUUUCUGGAUUUUGUAGACCAAAUAUUAUCAUUUUAGUAAAUUUAAAUUUUUAUUAAAAUGAUUAGAUUACAAGGUGACUGGAUCACACCUCAUCAAAAAGGAUUGGUGGCGACUCCCAUUUGCGUUUUCAUUUUUUAAAAAAAUCAAAGUCAACCCAUUUUUAAAAAAAAUGGUUUCGACAAUAAGAUAUCUUGAUUAGUUAUGUCAUAACUAAAGAUGAUGGAGUUGAUAAAAGGAAAUUGUAGUUAACAACGAAUAAUCUACGUAGAAUAUUUCAAUAUUAUGGAAAAAUGAGUAUUUACCAACCUUCUUUUAGUCAAAUUAUGCAAGCCUAAAAUUUUUAGCUUAAUUUGAGUUUGUUGACUAUGUCUAAUUCAAGUUUUAUUAUUAAGGACUAAAUUGUAACUUAAACAAAUUAGAAUACCAAUUUAAAGAGACAAAAAUUCAAAACCCAAAAACCCACACGGGCUUGUGGGUAAGUGACACGGGCGUGUGGAGACUGGACCUAUCACACACGGGAGAGUGGGAUUGAGAAAUAUGAAAUAAAUUAAUCCACUUAAUUUUCCAACAACCAUGCUAUACUACCAAACCAAAUAGCGCUUGAAGCUUUGAAUAGGGACGAAUCUUAAAAAAAUUAGAAGAAUUAGAAUUAAAUUAUAAAAUUUUGAAAAGUUAUCAUGUUUUAAUUUAUUAUUUUUAAAAGGGUCUUAAUAGAAUUUUUUUUUCCCAUUUUGGUUGGGCCAAUACCCCUAUUUGCCUCUUUAAAUUUGCUUCAAUCCUAAACCCAAUGUUCGAUUUGUUGUGGAAGUUUGACGCAUAAAAAUUUCUUUUUUAGAGGUUUAAAUUAUAAAUUUUUGAAAGUUUAAAAUAAAUUUAUAUUUUUUAUUAACAAAAUAUAAAAGAUAAAAAAACAUUUUUAGACAAGCCAAGAAACCUUUGGGAUCAUACGGGUGAUUUUGAUGAUGUUAAUGGUUAUUUUGGUGGAAAGGGUGAAAAAGAAACAAAUGAUUCAUUAUAUAUAAUAUAAUUAUGAAAUUCAAGCCAUAUAUUGGAUGUUUCAUACAUAAAAAUUUCAUGGGACGUCCAAAGGUAAUUAAAUGACUUGUAGGCUUGCUGAAUUUCUUUGAAAGGCCCAAAGGCAAUUUAACAUUCACAAAAUAAUAUCUAAAUACUGUAAAGGCAAAUCAAAUCCACAGCAGCAUUUGCAAAUAUUACUUUGAUUUUGCAUGCAAUAUUGGCAAAACCCCCUCUUACAUUAGAAAAACAACAUAAUCCACGUAACAUUGAUAGCCCAAUACAAAUUUCAUCAAGAAAAAAGUCUCUUUGUUUUGUAGAACGUGAUAGUAAAGAUGUGGAGUUUCGUUCUUCUUAUUGGCCUCCUUUAGUUUUCCUUGAUCAACAGCCACAAGCCAAAAACACAAUUAGAUUAGAUUAUGAAUGAUACUUUCAACUAUGACAAUAUUAAAUACAAAACACUCCAAAUAACUCUAAAUAAAUGGAAAGCAGCAAAUUACCUGACGAGGCAAGCUAGCUCAAUUAAGAUCAUUGUGUUAUACUUGUCUCUAAAUUGAAAAUUUUAGAAGGAAAUAAAGAGAAAGAAAAUACUUGAAAACGGAUAAAACUUCUAUGUCAUUUAAAAUAAAAAAAAUUCUAUUUAAGCCAUUUAAAAUUUUUUAGAUUUUUAAAAUUUUAAAAUGAUUAAGUGUACUCAUUACUCACCAUCUCUGUUAAAAAUGUUGGAUGUUGUUUAGCAACCUUUGUUUGAUUUUCUUCAGCUCAACCACAACAUCUUUCAUAUCUUUUCUUUCUUCUGGUAACUCAGCUGAACAAUUCAAAGCCAACUCCAUGAUAGAUGAAAUACAAUUUGCUUUAACAACCAUGUACUCAUCCUCUCUUCUUAAUAAAUCAACAUCUGCAAUUUCUAUCGCUCCUUUAGGCAAUGAACUUUCCAUCCAAUGCCUUAUACUCUCUUCUUCAACAAAAACAUUAUCAGUUGGCUUUUUCUUUGUGAAAGUUUCUAUAAGGACGAUCCCAUAACUAUAGAUGUCAGAUUUUAUAGAAACAAUUCCUGCUGAUCCAAAUUCUGCAUUUCAAGUAUAAUUAGAACAUCAUUCAUCCUCAAUUAUUUCUAAAAUGCUUAUUCAAAUAUAUAUCCACAUCCACAUGAAACAAAAAUAUAAAAUGCAAUUUAGGAAAAUAAUCAUACAAAAAUAAAAAAUAAUUCACCUGGUGCCAUAUACCCGAUAGUUGCAAGAGUCAUGGUUUGCUUCAUUACUUCACCUUCUCCCAACAAUUUGGCAACGCCAAAAUCUCCAACAUGUGCAACCAUGUCUUCAUCUAGUAAAAUAUUGCUUGGUUUUAUGUCACAAUGAAUUAUAGGUGUUGGAUGUCCAUUGUGGAGGUGUUCUAUAGCUACCGCAACAUCUAUCAUUAUGUCGACCCUUUGUAUGAUAUCAAGGAAACAAUUUUCAGAAUGUAACCAUUUCUCAAGGUUUCCAUUAGACAUGUAAUCAAGCACCAAGGCUUUGAAGUCAACACUUGAGCAGCAAGUAAUGACCUUCACAAUAUUACGAUGAACUAUAUUAAGCAUAGCAUCACAUUCAAUGUCAAAACUCCUAAAUGCUCCCUCUGUUUGCAAAUUGAAAACUUUUAUUGCAACUUCCAUUCCAUCUGAAAGCCUCCCUUUAUAUACAUAUCCAAAACUCCCUGAACCAAGCAUAUUGCUUUCCUCAAAUCCAUUAGUUGCUCGUGAAAGUUCAGCAUGUGAAAUUCUUCUCGGUGUCUUCAAAGACAACAAAUCAUCUUUAAUUGGUAAAGCUGUACUCCUCCUUUGGCAUCUUCUAUACAUAAUAGUUAAGACUAUUAGUACUACGACAAUACCAAUUGUUGGUAAACCAUACCUAAAAGCAUGCAAUAUAAUCAUUUGGGAGUUUUUGUGGAUGUAGUUUUUACAAGGUGGGACUAGCAGUCUAGGUGGACCACAAAGUGCAUAAUUCUUCAUGAAUGAUGUGCUAGAAAAUUUUGAAAAACAUCCUUCGCUGGGAAUUUCCCCUUCAAGUCUAUUAAAAGACACAUUAAAAUACUUUAGAUAUAAAAGCUUUUCCAAAGAUUUGGGAAUGACUCCAGAGAGAUUGUUAUUGCAUAAAUCCAAGAAUUCCAAACUAAUCAACCCAUCAAAUGAUUCAGGGAUAUAACCAUGUAGUAUAUUAUUUGAUAAAUCUAAUGAAACCAAAGUUUGAAGACCCCCAAAUGAGGAUAAGAUAUCGCCCGUGAGAAGAUUCCUUGAUAAAUUUAGUUUCAGUAGACUCCUCAAAUUUCCAACAUCAAUAGCAUGUGAAUUGUGAAGAUGGUUUGAUGAUAAAUCUAUUUCUAAGAUAUCUUUAAGAUUCCACAAAGUUGAGGGUAUUGCGGAACUCAAUUUGUUGGAAUCUAAGUAAAGAUAUCCCAAAGAAGUAAUAUUACCCAAACAAGAGGGUAUAGAUCCAUGCAGCUUAUUCAACCCUAAAAACAAGUUGUAUAAUCUCUCCAAAUCACAAAGGCUUUCUGAGAUGGGCCCUCCUAAUUUAUUAGAGGAAAGACCUAGACUUUGGAGAUUGCGCAGUCCUCCUAUUGAUGUUGGAAUGAAUCCACUUAAUUUAUUAUAGCCAAGUUCUAAAACCAACAUUUUGCUUAAGUUACCUAUUUCCAUAGGAAUAGUGCCUUGAAGCUCACAAUCUUCGGCAUAAAAGUAUUGAAGGGAUUUUGAAAGGUUCCCAAUAUAAGUAGGAAGAACGCCACUCAAUGGAUUUUCUGAAACUCCUAUGGUUUUCAAAUUCUUACAAUUCGUCAAAGAAGAAAGAAAGCUCCACUCAUGAUCAGUAGCAGAUCCUGUGAUCAAAUUAUUGUUUACGAUUCUGAACCAUUCAAGCUGUCUUAAGUUGCCAAGCGUUUUAGGGAUUGGGCCAGAGAAUAAGUUAUCUCCCAAGUCUAGUUUCGUAAGCAUGGAAGCAUUGGAGAUAGAGUAGGGAAUGUUUCCGCUAAGUUUAUUUCCCCCCAAAAAAAGAAACUCAAGCUUUGGAGCAUUGGUAAUGGGUGGUAAAUUACCUGUAAAAUAGCAUCUUUUAGUAUACAUAUUAAUUGAAUACCAAAUUCAUAAAAUAUAUAAUACAUUAAAAUAAAAACUGUAAAACUUCAAAUCAAUUAAGAAUAAAAUUUUGGCAUGGAAAAAUGUGAUGAAAUCAAUUAGAAAGUUGAGACAUAAUAAGAAGUUUUGAGUAGUAAUUACUCAUGAUUUCUAUAGACAAAACAUAUAAUACACUGAUAAUUUUUUUAAAAUAUUGUAAAACCUGAAAUAAAAUAAAAAAUAAAAGUUUGGCACGAGAAUGUAGCAUCUAAUCAUUCUUAAAAAUAAGACUAACAUUGAAUAAUAAUUAGUUAUGAUUUGAGAAACAAAAAUGUUAAAGAUGUAAACUGGUAUGAUUUUUAUCCAUUGGGUUAAUUAUUUAUUUUUAUUAAAUUAUAGUGUAAAAUUUAAAGAUUAUUAUUUGCUCAAAAUUUUUGUAUUUUUCGUAUAUUUGAAAUUUAAUCUUUAUAUUUUUUAUUUUCUCUGAUUUAGUCUCUCUACUUUUUGAAUUGAAAAUUUUAAGUUUAUUUAUUAACACUGUUAAAAGGUUUUUGUGUUAGUAUGGCAUUUUAAAAAAUAAAAUAAACUUGAUAUCUAUGUUUUUAAUUAUUCCAAAUACUGUUUUACUAUUCCAAGAUAAAUUUUUUGUGUCUAGACCAAUAUCUUAAGAACUAUUGUUGCAUGUUUAAUUAUUUUAAAGAAUUGUUGAUUGAGUCUUAGUUGAAGUGCACUAUUCUCCUAUUUAUGAAUUGGGGAGUUGGUAAAGUACUAAAUUUUGAUAUAUUUUAAAAUAUUAAAAAAUUUAUUAAAAUAUUUUUUAUAAAAAUUGAUUGUACCACAUUAUACAAUUUUAAUAUCAAAUUUUUAAAUUUUUUUAAAAUAUUAGCGAAUAUAUACUUUAUUUCAAGUUACACAAUUUUUNNNNNNNNNNNNNNNNNNNNNNNNNNNNNNNNNNNNNNNNNNNNNNNNNNNNNNNNNNNNNNNNNNNNNNNNNNNNNNNNNNNNNNNNNNNNNNNNNNNNNNNNNNNNNNNNNNNNNNNNNNNNNNNNNNNNNNNNNNNNNNNNNNNNNNNNNNNNNNNNNNNNNNNNNNNNNNNNNNNNNNNNNNNNNNNNNNNNNNNNNNNNNNNNNNNNNNNNNNNNNNNNNNNNNNNNNNNNNNNNNNNNNNNNNNNNNNNNNNNNNNNNNNNNNNNNNNNNNNNNNNNNNNNNNNNNNNNNNNNNNNNNNNNNNNNNNNNNNNNNNNNNNNNNNNNNNNNNNNNNNNNNNNNNNNNNNNNNNNNNNNNNNNNNNNNNNNNNNNNNNNNNNNNNNNNNNNNNNNNNNNNNNNNNNNNNNNNNNNNNNNNNNNNNNNNNNNNNNNNNNNNNNNNNNNNNNNNNNNNNNNNNNNNNNNNNNNNNNNNNNNNNNNNNNNNNNNNNNNNNNNNNNNNNNNNNNNNNNNNNNNNNNNNNNNNNNNNNNNNNNNNNNNNNNNNNNNNNNNNNNNNNNNNNNNNNNNNNNNNNNNNNNNNNNNNNNNNNNNNNNNNNNNNNNNNNNNNNNNNNNNNNNNNNNNNNNNNNNNNNNNNNNNNNNNNNNNNNNNNNNNNNNNNNNNNNNNNNNNNNNNNNNNNNNNNNNNNNNNNNNNNNNNNNNNNNNNNNNNNNNNNNNNNNNNNNNNNNNNNNNNNNNNNNNNNNNNNNNNNNNNNNNNNNNNNNNNNNNNNNNNNNNNNNNNNNNNNNNNNNNNNNNNNNNNNNNNNNNNNNNNNNNNNNNNNNNNNNNNNNNNNNNNNNNNNNNNNNNNNNNNNNNNNNNNNNNNNNNNNNNNNNNNNNNNNNNNNNNNNNNNNNNNNNNNNNNNNNNNNNNNNNNNNNNNNNNNNNNNNNNNNNNNNNNNNNNNNNNNNNNNNNNNNNNNNNNNNNNNNNNNNNNNNNNNNNNNNNNNNNNNNNNNNNNNNNNNNNNNNNNNNNNNNNNNNNNNNNNNNNNNNNNNNNNNNNNNNNNNNNNNNNNNNNNNNNNNNNNNNNNNNNNNNNNNNNNNNNNNNNNNNNNNNNNNNNNNNNNNNNNNNNNNNNNNNNNNNNNNNNNNNNNNNNNNNNNNNNNNNNNNNNNNNNNNNNNNNNNNNNNNNNNNNNNNNNNNNNNNNNNNNNNNNNNNNNNNNNNNNNNNNNNNNNNNNNNNNNNNNNNNNNNNNNNNNNNNNNNNNNNNNNNNNNNNNNNNNNNNNNNNNNNNNNNNNNNNNNNNNNNNNNNNNNNNNNNNNNNNNNNNNNNNNNNNNNNNNNNNNNNNNNNNNNNNNNNNNNNNNNNNNNNNNNNNNNNNNNNNNNNNNNNNNNNNNNNNNNNNNNNNNNNNNNNNNNNNNNNNNNNNNNNNNNNNNNNNNNNNNNNNNNNNNNNNNNNNNNNNNNNNNNNNNNNNNNNNNNNNNNNNNNNNNNNNNNNNNNNNNNNNNNNNNNNNNNNNNNNNNNNNNNNNNNNNNNNNNNNNNNNNNNNNNNNNNNNNNNNNNNNNNNNNNNNNNNNNNNNNNNNNNNNNNNNNNNNNNNNNNNNNNNNNNNNNNNNNNNNNNNNNNNNNNNNNNNNNNNNNNNNNNNNNNNNNNNNNNNNNNNNNNNNNNNNNNNNNNNNNNNNNNNNNNNNNNNNNNNNNNNNNNNNNNNNNNNNNNNNNNNNNNNNNNNNNNNNNNNNNNNNNNNNNNNNNNNNNNNNNNNNNNNNNNNNNNNNNNNNNNNNNNNNNNNNNNNNNNNNNNNNNNNNNNNNNNNNNNNNNNNNNNNNNNNNNNNNNNNNNNNNNNNNNNNNNNNNNNNNNNNNNNNNNNNNNNNNNNNNNNNNNNNNNNNNNNNNNNNNNNNNNNNNNNNNNNNNNNNNNNNNNNNNNNNNNNNNNNNNNNNNNNNNNNNNNNNNNNNNNNNNNNNNNNNNNNNNNNNNNNNNNNNNNNNNNNNNNNNNNNNNNNNNNNNNNNNNNNNNNNNNNNNNNNNNNNNNNNNNNNNNNNNNNNNNNNNNNNNNNNNNNNNNNNNNNNNNNNNNNNNNNNNNNNNNNNNNNNNNNNNNNNNNNNNNNNNNNNNNNNNNNNNNNNNNNNNNNNNNNNNNNNNNNNNNNNNNNNNNNNNNNNNNNNNNNNNNNNNNNNNNNNNNNNNNNNNNNNNNNNNNNNNNNNNNNNNNNNNNNNNNNNNNNNNNNNNNNNNNNNNNNNNNNNNNNNNNNNNNNNNNNNNNNNNNNNNNNNNNNNNNNNNNNNNNNNNNNNNNNNNNNNNNNNNNNNNNNNNNNNNNNNNNNNNNNNNNNNNNNNNNNNNNNNNNNNNNNNNNNNNNNNNNNNNNAGUCUAGGUGGACCACAAAGUGCAUAAUUCUUCAUGAAUGAUGUGCUAGAAAAUUUUGAAAAACAUCCUUCGCUGGGAAUUUCCCCUUCAAGUCUAUUAAAAGACACAUUAAAAUACUUUAGAUAUAAAAGCUUUUCCAAAGAUUUGGGAAUGACUCCAGAGAGAUUGUUAUUGCAUAAAUCCAAGAAUUCCAAACUAAUCAACCCAUCAAAUGAUUCAGGGAUAUAACCAUGUAGUAUAUUAUUUGAUAAAUCUAAUGAAACCAAAGUUUGAAGACCCCCAAAUGAGGAUAAGAUAUCGCCCGUGAGAAGAUUCCUUGAUAAAUUUAGUUUCAGUAGACUCCUCAAAUUUCCAACAUCAAUAGCAUGUGAAUUGUGAAGAUGGUUUGAUGAUAAAUCUAUUUCUAAGAUAUCUUUAAGAUUCCACAAAGUUGAGGGUAUUGCGGAACUCAAUUUGUUGGAAUCUAAGUAAAGAUAUCCCAAAGAAGUAAUAUUACCCAAACAAGAGGGUAUGGAUCCAUGCAGCUUAUUCAACCCUAAAUACAUCUCGUAUAGUCUCUCCAAACCACAGAGGCUUUCUGAGAUAGGCCCUCCAAAUUUAUUAGAGGAAAGAAAUAGACCUUGGAGAUUUCUCAUUCCUCCUAUUGAUGCUGGAAUCAAUCCACUUAAUUUAUUAUAGCCAAGUUGUAAAAGCAAUAGGUUGGUUAAGUUACCUAUUUCCAUAGCAAUAAUGCCUUGAAGCUCACAAUUAGAGGCAUAAAAGUAUUGAAGGGAUUUUGAAAGGUUCCCGAUAUAAGUAGGAAGAACGCCACUCAAUGGAUUUCCUGAAACAUCUAUUGUGCUCAAAUUCCUACAAUUCGUCAAAGAAGAAAGAAAGCUCCACUCAUGAUCGGUAGAAGAUCCUGUGAUCAAAUUAUUGUUUUUGAUUCGGAACCAUUCAAGGUGUCUUAAGUUGCCAAGCGUUUUAGGGAUUGGGCCAGAGAAUAAGUUAUGCGCCAAGUCUAGUUCCUUAAGCAUGGAAGCAUUGAAGAUAGAGUUGGGAAUGUUUCCGCUAAGUUUUUUUCUCCACAAUAAAAGAAUCUCAAGCUUUGGAGGAUUGGUGAUGGGUGGUAAAUUACCUGUAAAAUAGCAUCUUUUAGUAUACAUAUUCAUUGAAUACCAAAUUCACAAAAUAUAUAAUAUAUUAAUAAUAAGAAGUUUUGAGUACUAAUUAGUCCUUGUGAUUUGUAUAGACAAAAUAUAUAAUACACUAAUAAUUUUUUAAAAUAUUGUAAAACUUGAAAUAAAAUAAAAAUAAAAGUUUGGCAUGAGAAUGUGGCAUCUAAUCAAUCUUAAAAAUGAGACUGAGACUGAAUAAUAAUUAGUUAUGAUUUGGGAAACUAAAAUGUUAAAGCCAUUAUUUAUCUUUAUUAAAUUAUAGUGUACAAUUUAAAGAUUAUUAUUUGCUCAUAAUUUUUGUAUUUUUCGUAUGUUUGAAAUUUAAUCUUUAUAUUUUUUUAUUUUCUGUGAUUUAGUCUCUCUACUUUUUGAAUUGAAAAUUUUAGGUUCAUUUAUUAACACUGUUAAAAAAGUUUUUGUGUUAGUAUGGCAUUUUGAAAAAUAAAAUAAACUUGAUAUCUAUGUUUUUAAUUAUUCCAAAUAUUGUUUUACUAUUUCGAGAUAAAUUAUUCAAAAGAAUUGUUAUUGAGCCUUAGCUUGAUUGGCAUGUGUAUUGUUACCAAUGUAGGAGACUGUGGGCUCAAGUAUGCUGAAGUGCAUUAUCCUCUUAUUUAUAAAUUGGGGAGUUGGUAAAGUAUUAAAUUUUGAUAUAUUUUAAAAUAUAUCUAUAAUAUAUAUAAAUGAAUGGAUUUUGAGAAACUUUUGAACUGAUAAUUAUAUAGUCUUUGUUGUUUACUAUAUUAUUGAAUUUGUUAUUUAAAUUUUAUUUAUUUUUUACUUUUAAGAUUUAUAUAAGAAUUUUGGUUUUCCUAAAAUAUUUGGUUAAGUAAAUUCACUUCAUAACAAAAUUUAGCAUCCUUAUAAAUACCAUUUUUUAUUCUAUUAAAAAAUUAAUUUAAAAAAUAUAUAAUAAUAAAUUAAAAUUUAUAUUGAAUUACUUUAUACUUCAAUUAUUAUUAGAAACUUUAUCAUACACAUAUGUGUAUGAGAAUCACGUAUUUAGAACAUAAAUUUGUGUUUUAAAAUAACUUAUGAUAAAUAAUGAAAUGUAUUAUUUAAAACUAUUUACUAAUAUCUACCAUAUUAAAAUAAAAAUAGAUUAAAUUGUAAGUAAAACAUAAUUUAAAUAUAUGAAUACAUCGAAUUAAGAAUACUAAAUGAAUACAGUUAUUUAUGAUGAUGUUGUUGUCAAUUCCUAAGUUUGUGUCAAGUUAAUUUGUGACAUCAUAUAUUUAAGUGAUAAAUUUAAAGUUUUAUGUAUUGAUGUGGAUUCAAAUAUCAUCAUAUCCUAAAAUAAUAUAACUUAUUUUAAAUACAAAAAAUGAUUCUAUUCAACACUAAAUCAAUUUUUAGAUUUUGUACAUAUGAUUUAAUGAUGAUAAAAACAUUAUUAUCACUAUUUUUGAAUUAAAAAAAAGUUUGUGAUUUAAUUUAAUUAUAUUUUUUAUUUUUAUUUUUUAUUGUAUACUAAAUAUGGUACAUAUACUUUAAUUAUAACUUGAAAUUUUAUUAUAUAAAUUAAUAUAUUUUAAUUAUAUUCAACCAUUUGAAUAAAAAAAAAACUAAUUAGAAUAAUUUAAAAAAAACAUUAUUUAAAAGCUAGCUAAAAAUCACGUGCAACAGGUGAUAUGAGAAUCUAUGUAUAUAAAUGUAUCCGUAUAUAUCUCGUUGUUUCAUUUUUUUAAAUAAAUAUAUUUUCCACAUUGGUUUCUUUUAUUCUAUAGACAAAGGAUUUCUAAUGAUUUUUAAUUUUUUUUUACUUAUAUAGAAUAGAUUAGUUUAUGCAAUAAAAAAUAAUUUCUUUUUCAAAGUUUAAUGGAAAUUAAAAAAUUAAAAAUAAAUCAAUGCAUAUAAAUCUUAUUGUUUAUUAUCAUAUUAAAAUGACCAAAAUAGAAGAAACAAAUUCAACACAAUGUUUUUGGAGUUCGGAAAAUAUUAAAGUGAAAAACAUACCUUCUAAUUUGUUGUUAAAUAGAUCUAUUUCUUCGAGCGUAGUUGAAUUAAAAAUAUUUGAUGGAAUCUGACCUGCACACAUAGUCGAAAAUUCAAGUGAAAAACAUACCUUCUAAACUGUUCAACUAAAAAUACUUAAAAGCAUAUUUUUUAAGGUUGUUGCAUUUGCCCAUGCCAAAUGGAAUCUUCCCAGAUAAUUCAUUCCUACUCAGGUAAAGCACUUCAAGCUUGGGAAGAUGUUGACAAAUAUCAUUAGGCAAACUACCUGAUAGGCUAUUGCUGGAGAGAGCAAUGGUCUUCAGAGAAGAAAUGUUGAAGAUCAAAGUUGGAAUUUGACCUAUAAGGCCUUUAAUUGCUUGAAUAUUAAGCAGUUCCAAACCAAGAAGAUUACCAAUUUCCUCAGGAAUUUGACCUGUACACAUGGUCGAAAAAUCAAGGUGUCAAACUACUUAUUUUGUAAGCAUAACUCAAAGAGGUUUUCUUUUCUGUUCUACAGUAAUUUGGAGAUGUUAGAUUUUAAUAUAUUUUAGCAUAUGUUUUUCAUCAAAUGAAAUAAAAACUUUUUCCUUUUGUUAUCUAUUACAAAUCAAGCUAUUUUAUAAAAAAAAAUACUUUGAAUUCAAGAAAUCAAGAAAAUUGAUUACCUUCUAGAUUAUUAAAUCCCAAAUAUAAUUCUCCGAGUUGUGUCAGAUUUCCGAAACUUCUUGGAAUGAUCCCCGUCAAUUGAUUCAAGGACAAGGACAAAUUUUUCAGGUUGCUGCAUUUGCCCAUACUUGACGGAAUGUUACCAGAUAACUCAUUGCGAUGCAAGUAAAGCACUUCAAGCUUGGGAAGAUGUCGACAUAUAUCAUUAGGCAAACUACCUGAUAGGCUAUUGUUGGAGAGAGCAAUGGUCUUCAGAGAAGAAAUGUUGAAGAUCGAAGUUGGAAUCUGACCUGUAAGGCCUUUAAUUGCUUGAAUAUUAAGCAGUUCCAAACCAAGAAGAUUACCGAUUUCAUCAGGAAUUUGACCUGCACACAUAGUCGAAAAAUCAAGGUGUCAAACUACCUAUUUUGUUAGCAUAAGUCAAAGAGGUUUUCUUUUCUAUUCUAUAGUAAUUUGGAGAUGUUAGAUUUUUAUAUAUUUCAGCAUAUGUUUUUCAUCAAAUGAAAUAAAAACUUUUUCGUUUUGUUAUCUAUUACAAAUCAAACUCUUUUAUAAAAAAAGUACUUAAAAUUCAAGAAAUCAAGGAAAUUGAUUACCUUCUAGAUUAUUAAACCCCAAAUAUAAUUCUUUGAGUUGUGUCAGAUUGCUAAUACUUCUUGGAAUGAUCCCCGUCAAUUGAUUCAAAGACAAGGACAAAUUUUUAAGGUUGCUGCAUUUGCCCAUACUUGAUGGAAUGUUACCAGAUAACUCAUUACUAUGCAAGUAAAGCACUUCAAGCUUGGGAAGAUGUUGACACAUAUCAUUAGGUAAACUACCUGAUAGGCUAUUGUUGGAGAGAGCAAUGGUCUUCAGAGAAGAAAUGUUGAAGAUCGAAGUUGGAAUCUGACCUGUAAGGCCUUUAAUUGCUUGAAUAUUAAGCAGUUCCAAACCAAGAAGAUUACCGAUUUCAUUAGGAAUUUGACCUGCACAUAUAGUCGAAAAAUCAAGGUGUCAAACUACCUAAUUUGUUAGCAUAAGUCAAAAAGGUUUUCUAUUCUGUUCUACAGUAAUUUGGAGAUGGUAGACUUUCAUAUAUUUCAGCUUAUGUUUUUCAUCAAAUGAAAUAAAAACUUUUUCCUUUUGUUAUCUAUUACAAAUCAAACUCUUUUAUAAAAAAAAGUACUUAAAAUUCAAGAAAUCAAGGAAAUUGAUUACCUUAUAGAUUAUUAAACCCCAAAUAUAAUUCUUUGAGUUGUGUCAGAUUGCCAAUACUUCUUGGAAUGAUCCCCGUCAAUUGAUUCAAGGACAAGGACAAAUUUUUAAGGUUGCUACAUUUGCCCAUACUUGACGGAAUGUUACCAGAUAACUCAUUGCUAUGCAAGUAAAGAACUUCAAGCUUGGGAAGAUGUUGACACAUAUCAUUAGGCAAACUACCUGAUAGGCUAUUGCUGGAGAGAAUAAUAAUAUUCAGAGAAGAUAUCUUGAAAAUGGAAGAUGGAACCUGACCAGAUAAUUGAUUGAGUCCCAAGUUCAGGAUCUCUAGAUUAGAUAUGUUAACAAGUGUUUCAGGGAUUGUGCCUGUAAAGUAAUUAUUUUUCAUUUGCAGCCUUCGAACUCUCUGUAAGUUCCCAAGCCAUGAUGGAAUUUCCCCAUUCAGACGGUUGUAGCUUAAUUGAAGGAUCCUCAAAUGACGCAAUUGGCCCAAUUCUUUAGGGAGAUGGCCAUAGAAAUGGUUGCUACUCAAGUCGAGAGAGAGUAGAAAUGAAAGAUUUCCAAGGUGUGGAGGGAUAGUACCCCUAAGAUUCAUGCUUGUAAGAUUCAAAGCUAUAACUCUUUUAUGGAGGAUGCCACAAGAAACUCCAAUCCAAUUGCAAACAGAGGUUGAGGCCAUCCAAUUGUCUGCCAAGACAUUUUGAGGACCGGCAAUGCGAUCCUUAAACUCGAGAAGUGCAAACUGAUCGAAGUUGAGAUUCCUGACUGUCAUAGCCAAGCAAAGUACGGAACAUGGUAUGAAUAAAGCUAAGAGAAGAUGAAAGCAAGUUUUGUAGUUCAUGAUUGCAAGACGGAAUAUGGCAAGAAAAUAAAAACAGUAGGAAAAGGGAAGUUGAGUUGAUAAAAUAGUUUGGAUGAUGAAGAAAAGCCCAAAGAGCAUGCUUUAAUAUGUUUCAACCCUCGCACACUUGAUAAAUUUGAUAAAAAUAUUUUUAUUUAAUAAAUGUAAAAAACUUUUUAAACAAAAUAAGGUUGAAAUAAUCUAUUUGUCCUUAUAUUUUGACAAAAUUUGAGACUUAGUCCUUAUACUUAAAAGGUUAAAAAUAAAAUUUUCUAGUUUUUAUUUAAAAAUCUUAGUUCUAUCAUUAAUUUUUUGGUCAAAAUUUGUCAACUUUACAUAUUAAUUAGGUUUCCCUUAUAUGUCGUUGCAUAUGACCAACACAAAAUAAGCAAGUUGACAAAUUCUGACAAAAAAUAUCAAAGAUGAUAAUAAUUUGAUUAAAAUUUUUAAAUUGAAUUAAAAACCUUUAACUUAUAAGGAAUGGAUAUCAAAUAUUUAUAGGAAAAAAGGGACUAACAACAUAUUUUAACCAAAAAAUAAUAUGAGUGAUUAGAAUGAAUCUAAAAUUUUAUAGAAAUAAAAGAGACUAACAGAUUUUAUAGAAAUAAAAGAGACUAACAGCAUAUUUAUAACUUUGAAAUCUCCUUCGAUCAUCCUUUUUCUACUUAGAAAAAGAAAAUUAAUUAGCAUCUAAAGUGUCAAUUAAUGAAACCUUAAAAAGAAAAUGUGAAAGUGAUUUAUCAAACAAUAAUAUUCUAACUUAUAAUACAUUUAAUUACAUUUAGUAAUUUAUCAAUCAAAACUUAACUAACAUCCAUCAAUAUUUCAUACAUAAGUAAAUUUUCCAUUUACUCAGAUUUAACUUUGCAAGUAAACUUAAAAUUUUAUUUAAUUUGGUCACUAAAUUUAAUUUGUUCAAUAUAGAUUUUGGUGACUUAAAACAAAAAUUAAUAAAAAGUUAUUCUUUCAGACAUCUUUUUAAUGUUUAGUAAUAAGUUAAUUUAUAAAAUAUACUUUCAUUGGACACAAGCCUCUAAGGCGAUGAACCAUUGAUCAAAUUAAUUUGGAGAUAUCUUUUUUCCAAAUAAAGUGAAUUUACGAGUUUUGUCUUCUUCUUUUUUAAUAUUUUUAAUAUUUUUGUGGAUAUCAAGAGAUACCAAAAAUUAUUUCACUAAGAAAUUUUAAUUCACCCGAAAAGUUAGUGUUUUAUUUCAAGGGGUCAUAAUUAUAAAUUUUGAAUUUUUUGACAAUUGUGUAAUUAAUAAAUACUUAUUUUGAGUGUUGUAGGGCUUGUACAAUCUCCCUUACACAUAACCGACUCUUGAACCUACUAUUUUCUCUAGAAUUUCACGUAGACCUCAAAUUUAUCUUUUGAAAAGAAUUUUAAAAUCUCUGUAAAAAAGGUGUAAAAAUAUAUAUAUUUUAUUAAUUACUAUAUAUUCUUUUAUUUUCAGAAUAAUAAAUUGUUUAAAAUAUGCUACUAGUCCCCAUAAUUUAAAAGUUAAAAGUAUUUGGGAUCUCGAGUGCAUCAAAUUCCUCCUCUUAUUAUUAAAUGUUUUAUUUUAGUUACUCUAAUUAAAUAUAUCCAAAUUGUAAUAGAGUUAAUAUUUAUUAUAUAAAAAAUAUUUUAAUUUUUUUUCAAUUGCAGUUUAAUUAUAGUAGAAAUAUUUCAUUUAUAAUAUCACAAAACUUUAAAAUAUUAAUUUUGUUAAAUAAAAAAUGAUUUUUUUAAACAGUAAAUUUUGACUUUAUUAACACAAAUGGGUCUUUAGGGUUAAACUUCAAUAAUUGACGAGCUCUUCCACAAACUAUGGAUGAUUUGGAGAUAAGAACUUCAAUAAUUCUGGAGUUAAAGUGUAAAUUUACUACUAUAUUAUAAGUAAAAUUUGAAAUUUAUCACUAUAUUUUAAUUGAUACUUGUCUUUACACUUUGAAAAUAUAAGUAUUUACCAUUUAACUCAUAUGUGAUUGAACUUUGCAAGUAAACUUAAAAUUUUAUUUAAUUUUGUCACUAAAUUUGAUUUGUUUAAUUAAAUUUACAACUCAAUAUAGAUUUUGGUGACUUAAAACAAAAUUAAUAAAAAAACUAUUCUUUCAGAUAUUUUUUUUAAUGUUUAAUAAUAAGUUGAUUUAUAAAAUAUACUUUCAUUGGACACAAGCAUCCAAGGCGGUGAACAAACCACUGGUCAAAUUAAUUUGAAGAUAUCUUUUUUUUUUCUAAAUCAAGUGAAUUUACGAGUUUUGCCUUUUUUUUUAAAUAUUUUUAAUUUUGUGGAUAUCAAGAGAUACCAAAAAUUAUUUCACUAAGGGAUUAAUUAGUGUUUUAUUUUAAGGGUUCACAAUUAAACAUUAAAAUUUUCAUUUUUAAAUUUUGAAUUUUUUGACAAUCACGUAAUUAACAAGUACAAAUUUUGGAUGUUGUAGGGUUAUUAUAACCUUCCCUACACGUAACAGACUCUUAAACCUACUUUUUUUCUCUAGAACUCAACGCAAACCUCAAAUUUAUCAUUUUAAAAUAUCUAUAUAAAAGGUGAUCUUUUUACCGAUCACACUUAAAAAAAAUUUAAAAAUUAUUAAUUUAUUUUUUGAAAUUUAAAGUGUUCUAAAAACAUAUUUUUAAGCGCUUUAGACCAUCCGGUGCUGAUUUCUUUAUUGUAUUAAAUGCUUGCAAUCACUUCUGAUAUAUUAUACUUGAGUUGUGACAGAGCUAAUUGUCAAUGUGCCAUAAUGUUCUAUUGAUGUUGAAACUGAAGUUUUUGUUAUAUUAAGAGAGUUUGUCCUUCAACGCGUAUAACGGGUGUUUGUUAUUUUUUCCCUUCAAAUUGUAUGAUCUCAUUCAUUAAAUGAAUUAAUGAAUUUCCCUUUAAAGAUAUAAUUUUAAAAAUUAAAUACUUUAUAAAAUAUUUAAAACUAUUUAAAAAAUUGUAAGUGUUAAAACAAUCAACAAGAUAUAUUUUUCUCUAAAAAAUCAAUAAAAAUAUGUUUGAAAUUUUAUAUGAAAUUUAAAAUUUUUUAACAAUAAUAUAUUUUAAAAUUAUUUACACCAUUUUUAUAUAUUUUUCCUAACAUAUCGUUAUUUUCAACACUAUCGUAAUCCUAUUUUGAUAAUUCCCUUUCCAUACAUCCUUUUUCUACAUAGAAUUUCGAAAGAAAAUGUGAAUUAAUGCAGACUUGAGAAGACUUAGAGGUAAGUCACCCAAUGAAAGUGACCUAAACCGACUUAUGGAACAAUCAAACAAUAAUUUUGUAUCUUAUAAUAAUUACAUUUAUUAGUUUAUCAAUCAAAACUUAAUUAGAAUCCAUCAAUAUUUCACACAUCAAAAACCCAAAGCAUAAAAUUCACUUUUAAAGUAUUUGGGUUGUAUUUUUAUUAUAGGAAAUGUAUUAAAUUAGUCUCUUUAUUAUUAAAUGUAUUAUUUUAAUCUUUGUAUUAGAUAUAAAUGAUAUCUUCUAGAUUAAAGCUAGAGCGGUUCUUAAAUGGCUGAAUUUGGCUUGGGCUAGAGAAUUCAGAUGUGUAGAGAUGGAAAGUGACAACGUAAUGUUGAUUGAAACUAUUCGUAACAGGUUGGCUGCAGUAAGUUGCAUUGCUGAAGUAAGAUUGAUUCAUGAUUGGUGUUCCAAAAAUUGAGAAGUCAAAUUUCUGAAAUAUUCAGCAAAAUGUCAAUAAAGUUGUUGAUUGCAUAACUAAGGUAGACGGAGGCAUAAUUGAGCAGCUGGUUAUCUUGGAAGAUCCUCCGCAUUAUGUGAGAUGCUAGCUUGAAGAAGAUAUUAGACAGUUGCUGGUGACAAAUGAUAGUUUUCAUUUGGACUAACGCUCCUUAAUUUUCUAAGCUUAUGUUCAACAAAAAAAAAAACAAUUAAAUACAUCUAAAUUGUAAUAGAGUUAACAUUUAGUUAUAAAAAUAUCUUCAAAAUUAUUAUUUUCAAUUGUAGUUCAAUUCCACAAAUACCGAUGAUCAACCUUGAAAUGGACAUGAAAAUUUAAAAAAAAAAACACAUCUAUUAUCAAACUAGCAAUCUAUGUCUAAACAUAAAUUAACAAAAUUCGUCACGCAACCCGAUACACUAUUUUAUAUAAUAUAUAUUCUAGAUUUAUUCUAGAUGCACAUAUUUUUAUUAUAUUUAAAAAUUAAAAUAUAUGAUUGACUGAGUUUUAGUUGAGUUAGUAUUGGUAUUAUUAUCAAUGUAAGGAAACGUGAAUUCAGUCAUGCUCAAAUGUGUUUUAUCCUCCAAUUCAAGAGUUGGGAAAAUGUUAUUACUAUUAAAUUAUACCAAUUUUUACAAUAUUUAAAAAGGAUUUAUAAAUAAUAUAAGGAAAAAAAGAGGGAGAAACAUAUUCAUAUUGAUGGGCUCUUUCAUUAUCAGACUUUCUUUCUCCCACAAGAAAAAGUACUUAUGGACAGGAUCAUGUAAAAUAACGACCUGAAUAAUUUUAAAUGUCUCAUCAUUGCAAAAAUGAAAUAAUAGAAAAGAAAUAAGUCUUAAGUGUAAUGGCAACCACGAACCCCGAUUAUAAACUAAAAAACAAAUAUGAAAAUUAAGUAAAAAAAACAUGUCUAUUACAAAAUUAGUAAUCCAUCCUAAGGCUUAAAUUAACAAAAUUCACCAUGCAAUUGUGUAGACUAUUAUAUAUAUAUAUAUAUACACUAUAUUUAUUCUCAUGCAAAUGUUUAUUAUAUUUAAAAAUUAAAAUAUAUGGUUGAUUGAGUUUUAGUUGACUUAAUAUCGACAUUGUUGUCAGUGCAGAAGAACAUGAGUUCAAUCAUAUUUGAACACGUUUUAUUGUUUUAUCUUUCAAUUUAGGAGUUGGAGAGGAUUCUUUAUCUAGUAAAACAAAUACAUAUUCAUAUUCAUCGGCUUUUUCAUUAUUAGACUUUUUUCCCCACAGGUAAAAGUAUUUAUAGACAGGAUGAUGUAAAACUAUGACCUGAAUGAUUUUAAACCUUUCAUCACUGCAAAAAUGAAAUAAUAGAAAUGAAAGAGUAGCCAUUGUAUGAAAUAUAUAAUUGAACUGUCAACAAAAUUGUGAGAAAUUUCCAAAUUUUAUGAAAAUUUAAAAUUAAACUGUCAAUAAUAGAAAAUUGCCUGAGUGACUUGAGAUAAUAGGUUCAAUUGCAUUUAAGAUGGGUCUUUAGGGUUAUACUUUAGUUAUUGAGAACACUUUCCACAAUUUGCCAUCAUUAUUUGUGAGUGAUUUGUGGGGUAAGAGGUUGAACACUUCUGAAUCACAUUGCCUUUAAGACGGGUCUUUGGAGUUAUAUGAUACUUCAACAUAGACUAACUUUUCUAUAAUUAGUCUUUGCUUUACUUUGGGUGGAUUCUUCCAACUAGUCCAAGAUUUAUUGUACAAUCACAAUUAAUCUUUUUAAAUGAGACAAACAUUUCAAAUUUGUCAUCACUAUUUGUGCGUGAUUUGGAGGUAAGAAGUUUAACACUUCUGGAUGACUCAUAGAAUUGUGGGUCUCUAUUUGAGUAUUGACUCAGUUUUCCACAAUUGUAUACACUUUUUUAUAUUUUUACUAAUUAUAUUUGAGUAUUGAAUUAAUGUAGACGUGAGAAGACUUAGACGUAAGUCACCCAAUGAAAGUGACCUAAACCGACUUAUGGAAGAAUCAAACAAUAAUUUUGUAUCUUAUAAUAUAUUUAGUUACAUUUAUUAAUUUAUCAAUCUAAACUUAAUUAGAAUCCAUCAAUAUUUCACACAUCAAAAACCCAAACAUAAAAUUCACUUUUAAAUUAUUUGGGAUAUAUUUGUAUUAUAGGAAAUAGAUUAAAUGAGUUUAUUUAUUAUUAAAUGUAGUAUUUUAGUCUUUAUAUUAAGUAUGAAUGAUAUCUUCUAGAUUGAAGCUAGAACUAUUCUUGAAAGAUUGAAAUUAGGAUUCAGAUGUGUUGAGAUGGAAAGUGACAACACAAUAUUGAUUGAAAUUAUUUGUAACGGGUUGGCUACAAUAAGUAGUACUGCUGAAGUAAGACAGAUUCAUGAUUGGUGUUUCAAAAAUUGGGAAGUCAAAUUUCGACAUAUUUAGCGGAAUGCCAAUAAAGUUGUUGAUUGCAUAGCUAAGGCAAAUGGAGGCGUAAUUGAACAGCUGGUUAUCUUAGAAGAUCCUCCGCAUUAUGUGAAAUGCUAGCUUAAAGAAGAUAUUAGACAAUCACUGGUGACUGAUGAUAAUUUUCAUUUGGACUGAUGAGCGCUUAAUUUCUAAGUUUAUGUUCAACCAAAAAAAAUAUUAAAUACGUCUAAAUUGUAAUAGAGUUAACAUUUAGUGUUUAAAAAAUAUCUUAAAAAUUAUUUUUCCAAUUGCAGUUCAAUUCAACAAAUAUCGAUGAUGAACCUGGACAUAAAAAUUACAAAAAAAAAAACAUCUAUUAUCAAACCAACAAUCCAUGUCUAAACUUAAAUUAACAAAAUUCGUCACGUAACCCGGUACACUAUUAUAUAUAUAUAUAUAAUAGAUUUAUUCUAGAUGCACAUGUGUUAUUAUAUUUAAAAAUUAAAAUAUAUGGUUGACUGAGUUUUAGUUGAGUUAGUAUUGGUAUUAUUGUCAGUGCAUGGAAAUGUGAGUUUAAUCGUGCUCAAAUGUGUUUUAUCCUCCAAUUCAAGGGUUAGGAAAAGGUUAUUGAUAAUUAAAUUAUACCAACUUUUAUGAUAUUAAGAAAAGAAUUUAUAAAUAAUAUAAGGAAGAAAAAAAAAAGAGAAACAUAUUCAUAUUGAUGGGCUCUUUCAAUAUUAGACUUUUUUUUUCUCUCACAAGUAAAAGUAGUUAUGGAGAGUAUCAUGUAAAAUAAUGACCUGAAUAAUUUUAAAAGUUUCAUCAUUGCAAAAAUGAAAUAAUAGAAAAGAAAGAGUAGCCAUUUUAUGAAAUUUAUAAUUCCAACUUUGAAUAAAAUAUAAAUUUUAUGAAUGUGGACAACCAAUUUUAUUUAUGUGUUUUUCGUCUUUUUCUGACCUUUUUUUAAAGUCAUUUUCUUUGUUUCCUAACCACCAUGAAAUUACUUGUCAAAAUUCAUCUUUUUAAAUGAGAAACAUUUUCCACAAUUUGCCAUCACUUAACAUACACUAACUUUUCCAACAAUUAGUGUAUCACGAGUUUUGUUUUCUUUAAAAAAUAUUUUUGUGGAUAUUAGGAGAUAAUGAAAAUUAUUUUAUUAUGAAAUUUUAAUAAAACUGGAAAGUAAGUAAUUUAUUUUAAGAGAUCACAAUUAAACAUUAGAUUUCCAUUUUUUUAAUUUUAAUUUUUUUUGACAAUUGCAUAAUUAAUAAGAUACCAAUUUUGAGCGUUAUAGGAAUGCUAUAACCUUCCCUACACAUAAUUGACUCUUGAGCAUGAUGGAUCCUAGAUAUUCUCCUCUAUUCUCGUACCAUAAAUUGCUUCGAGUGUGGACACAAUCACAAAUUAAACACAAAACUAGAAAUGAUUUAGUACUUUCAAUAGCAAAGUAAUUCUCUCUCAAUAGAAACCAAUAGAAUUGUAAUUCCCAGAAAAUAAAAUUUAUUUUUUGAAAAUAUAUUCUCACUACUUUCUAGUAGAAUAACAAUAUGUAAAACUUAUGUCUUGUGUUAAUAACUUUACCAGUACUAUCUAUUUAUAGGGAGAGACACGAGAAUGCUAGUUGAAUUAGUAAAACACGAAUAAUAUUUAUUUCAUAGAAAACAAUAUUCUAUCCUAAGUAGAUCAAGUUUGGAUGACGCAUGGAUCGAAGCUCAAUCUAGGAGAAAAAAAUAAAGAAAUUUUCUAAAAAAAGAAAAUUUGAGAUUGUACUAUUAUCGAAGUUAUAAAUAAAAUUAUACGCCAAAUUUUCAAGUCAAUUUUCAAAUCAAAUUUUGUAUGUACAAAUUUCUAACACACUUGGUGGGACAUUCUUUGACUUUUAUCUAUUCCCUGAAGAUUUGACUAGGAUCUGGAAACAGUGAAACUCAAGAACUAGGGUCAUCUUCGUUGGCAAAAUAUUUUGUAAUUGACUCUUUUGAUAAAUGAAACGCCAAAAUAUGGGGCUAUCUUGAAAUCAACACCAUUUUUUGCAUAUUUAUACAUGACUAGCAUCCAUUGGUCAUUCAUUCAUUCAUUCAUUCAUUGCAUGUACAUAUCACCCUAAUCAUUCACUAAAGCCAAAACCGUACAAUCCACAAUUGCAACACUACAAGUCUGGAAUCACGUUAUUCCAGAGCUAUGGAUGCUAUUGACAAUGAGAAUGAUGAAAUUAAGAAUGCUUCAAUGAUACGCCCUUGUCCUCCAGGAUAUGUUUUGAACAACUGGACUGCUGAGGACCUCCUUGUAGUUUUUCAGUCCCCUUCAGAGUAAUGCUCAAUGUUAACCCUUCAUUUUGUGUGUCCUUAAACAGUAGGGUUCCUUUUGUAAGAGCUUAUGUUUGCUCUUUAUCAUUUCAAUGAACAUUAAUGAAGAUGCAUUUUGUUUUAUAUUGUCAUAUUCUUUUCAUUAACUUUGCGACUACUCAUUCUGUUCAUAUCCUUUUCUAGGCAUAUAUCUCAUAUCAUCUCAUAUCAUUGUGUGUUGAUUACAAUACCUCAAUACUCUGCUAUAGCCUUUUUCCAUUCACCUUUCAGGUGCUCAGAUAUCAAUGGCAUGAAUAAUCCCGUUAUGAAUCCUGAAAUCAAUUUUGAAAAGGUUGUUUGUUUAGGAGAAUUCGAAGCUGACGAAAAUGUUGAAGAUUGUGUCUCGUCUCCUGACUUACUGAGAAUGGUGGAACAAGAAGAGAAACAAAUCCUACCCCAUCAAGAAUCUGUUGAGGUAGUUAACUUGGGGAACGAAGAAGAGAAACAAGAAGUGAAGAUUGGGACUUCCAUUUCAGAAAACACAAGGCAAGAUUUGAUCGCCUUGCUCCAGGAAUACAAGGAUGUGUUUGCCUGGUCUUAUCAGGAUAUGCCAGGAUUGAACACGGAUAUUGUAGUCCACAAGCUCCCACUGAAACCAGAAUGCAAGCCCGUUCAGCAGAAAUUAAGAAGGAUGAGACCCGAAAUGCUGUUAAAGAUAAAAGAAUAAGUCAAGAAACAAUUUGACGCUGGCUUCCUACAAGUCUCAAAGUAUCCAGAAUGGGUAGCUAAUAUAGUCCCAGUGCCGAAGAAGGAUGGCAAGGUGCGAAUGUGCGUGGAUUAUCGUGAUCUAAAUCAAGCAAGCCCUAAGGAUAACUUUCCUUUACCGCACGUCGACACUUUGGUGGAUAAUACGGCAAAGCAUUCUCUGUUUUCUUUCAUGGAUGGUUUCUCAGGAUAUAAUCAGAUAAAGAUGGCUCCCGAAGACAUGGAGAAAACUACAUUCAUAACAAUGUGGGGAACCUUCUGCUACAAGGUAAUGCCGUUCGGAUUAAAGAAUGCUGGGGCAACAUAUCAGAGAGCCAUGGUGACGUUAUUCCAUGAUAUGAUGCACAAAGAAAUAGAAGUUUAUGUCGAUGAUAUGAUUGCCAAAUCUCGGGAAGAAAGAGAGCAUGUUGGGAGUCUUAGGAAGCUGUUUGAAAGAUUAAGAAAGUUCCAGUUGAAGCUUAACCCGGCCAAAUGUACAUUUGGGGCUACCUCAGGAAAACUGCUAGGUUUCAUUGUUAGUGAAAGAGGUAUCGAGGUUGACCCAGAUAAGAUAAAAGCUAUACAAGAAUUGCCUCCCCCGCGUACACAAAAGGAAGUCAGAGGUUUUUUAGGAAGGUUGAAUUACAUUGCUCGAUUCAUUGCUCAACUUACCAAUCAGUUUGACCCAAUUUUUCGACUCCUUUNNNNNNNNNNNNNNNNNNNNNNNNNNNNNNNNNNNNNNNNNNNNNNNNNNNNNNNNNNNNNNNNNNNNNNNNNNNNNNNNNNNNNNNNNNNNNNNNNNNNUAAUCCGGGAGAAUGGAACGAGGAGUGCCAAGUGGCCUUCGACAAGAUAAGACAGUAUCUAUCUAAUCCUCCUGUGCUAGUACCGCCGACCCCUGGAAAACCCUUAAUAUUGUACCUGAACGUGUUUGAGAACUCAAUGGGUUGCGUACUGGGGCAACAUGAUGAGUCAGGGAGAAGAGAAAAGGCAAUUUACUACCUCAGCAAGAAGUUCACAGAAUAUGAGGCAAAUUACCCUUCAAUUGAGAAGUUUUGUUGUGCAUUGAUUUGGACGGUUCGAAGGCUCAGACAAUACAUGUUGCAUCACACGACAUGGUUAAUUUCAAAACUGGACCCAAUAAAGUACAUGAUGGAGUCACCUGCACUCUCAAGGAGAAUGGCCCGAUGGUAGAUCCUAUUGACUGAGUAUGACAUUGUAUAUGUGAGCCAAAAGUCGAUAAAAAGAAGCGCAAUAGCUGACUUCUUGGCAAGUCGUGCAAUAGAGGAAUACGAGCCUUUGAGAUUUGAGUUCCCAGAUGAAGAUUUGAUGUGCAUUUCAGAAAAAGAGGGCGAGUCAUCAAAAGGAAAGUCAUGGAAGAUGAGCUUUGAUGGUGCAUCAAAUGCAUUAGGGCAUGGGAUAGGAGCAGUCUUAGUAUCACCUGAAGGGGACCAUUACCCACUUACUGCCAGAUUGAAUUUCUUCUGUACAAAUAAUAUAGCGGAAUAUAAAGCUUGCAUCAUGGGACUUCGUGCAGCUAUCAAGAGGAAAAUCAAAAUCUUAGAGGUACACGGGGACUCAGCACUAGUCAUUUACCAAAUUCGUGGAGAUUGGGAAGUGAGGGAUUCGAAAUUAGUCAAAUAUCGCGAUCUUAUUGCAGAAUUGGUCAAAGAAUUUAAAGAAGUGACUUUUAACUACUUUCCACGGGAAGAGAACCAAUUGGCUGAUGCUCUGGCCACCUUGGCUUCAAUGUUCAAAGCAAACAGAGAAAUUGAGAUAAUGCCUAUCCAAAUGAGUAUAUAUGAGACCCCCACACACUGUUUUAGUAUUGAGGAGGAGUCAGAUGGACGACCAUAGUUCCAUGAUAUCUUGGAGUAUAUCGAGAAUCAAAGAUACCCCGAGCAAGCAAAUGAGAAUGACAAAAGAACAAUCAGGAAAUUGGCGAUUGGAUUUGUUCUUGACGGAGAUAUUCUAUACAAAAGAGGAAAAGAUCAAGUGAUCCUAAGGUGCGUAGACGCUGUUGAAGCCAGAAAGAUACUUGAAGAGGUUCAUGAAGGAAUUUGUGGAACACAUGCCAGUGGUUCACCAUGGCCAGGCAGAUUAUGAGACUUGAUUAUUAUUGGCUGACGAUGGAAAGGGAUUGCAUUGGUUACACACGAAAGUGCCACAAAUGUCAAAUUUAUGGCGACAAAAUUCAUGCAGCUCCAUCACCCCUUCAUGUCAUGACUUCUCCGCGGCCUUUUUCUAUGUGGGGCAUGGAUGUUAUAGGGCCAAUUUCCCCGAAAGCUUCUAAUGGACAUCGAUUCAUCUUUGUGGUUAUAGACUACUUCACAGAAUGGGUAGAAGCCACUUCGUUUGCUAAUGUGACAAAGGCUGCAGUCUGUAGGUUCUUAAAAAAAUAAGAUCAUAUGUCGACAUGGUCUGCCUGAAAGAAUCAUCUCAGAUAAUGCUUUAAAUUUGAACAACAAGAUGAUGAAAGAAGUAUGUGAGCAAUUUCAGAUAAAGCAUCAUAAUUCUUCGCCCCAUCGCCCGAAGAUGAACGGAGCAGUAGAAGCGGCUAAUAAGAACAUUAAGAGGAUUCUCGGGAAGAUGACUGAGACAUAUAAAGACUAGCACGAGAAGCUACCAUUCGCUUCGUACGCAUAUCGCACCUCUGUACGGACGUCUACAGGGGCAACUCCUUUUUCUCUGGUCUAUGGAAUGGAAGCCGUUCUGCCUAUCGAAGUAGAGAUCCCAUCCCUACGCGUCUUGAUGGAGACGAAGUUAGAAGAAUCAGAGUGGGUUCGAGCUCGACAUGAUUAGCUAAACGUUAUUUAAGGGAAACGCUUGAAAGCAAUUUGUCAUGGACAGAUGUACCAGAAGAGAAUGAUCACGGCCCAUGAUAAAAAAGUGCGGCUAAGAGAAUUUCGCGAAGGAGAGCUCGUACUGAGAAAAAUUCUCCCUAUACAGAAGGACUUUCGAGGAAAAUGGUCACCAAAUUGGGAAGGGCCAUACGUUGUAAAAAAGGCAUUCUCAGGAGGGGCUCUGAUUCUCACUGAGAUGGAUGGGAAAGAAUUACCUAAUCCAGUGAACUCAGAUGCUGUGAAGAAAUAUUAUGCUUAAAAAAAACAAAAAAAAUAGAAAAAAAACAAAACAAAAAACAAAAAAAAACAGACAAAACAAAAAACAAAAAAACAAAAAAACAAAAAAAAAGAAAAAAUCAAGAUGAAAACCCGAAAAGGGCGUCUUGAUGAACAAAAAGGAUUAGGAUGAAAACCCAAAAGGGUGUCCUAAUGAAACAAGCUCGAGCUUAAGGAGCAAGGCGACUUGAACAGGGAGUCGAAUGGCGAGGUUACAAUAUUUGAAGCAUUCUCAGAAGCUCAAAAUCUUCUACACAAGAAGCCGUGCUCGAAAAGAUCCAGGAUGAAGAAACGUGGAAAGUUCAUGCAUUGGAUAUCUAGAGCAUUUCUGGCCAUUGAAUUCGCUUUCUUUUCUUUAUGACAAUUUAUUUGUUAAACUUUCCUUGUCAAUUUCCUUCGUUUGUUACUUUUAAGAAAAUGAAUGUGAGGUAUUUCUUUCAUGCCUACUUUGUCUUUUGUAUGCAUCUCGUGUUUGAUUCAUUUAAAUGAUAAAUAGUAAGAUGACAUACUCUAAACAAAAGGAAUGUUGAGCAUUACUUGAAUGAGAACUUGAUAAAUACAAGGACCCUAAAGCAAGAAAAAGUUCAACAGGGGGCAAGAGGGUGAUAUACGAAGAAAUGUGGGUUACUCACCAAACUUGAGGAUGAGUACAAAACUAGAGAGAAAAGUCAAGAAUUGAGGAAAUGAAUGCGGACCCUCACAAAAAUCAAAAGUGGGGCACGUGACAAACAACCCAUGGUGCAUUGUAUGAUCAUGUAGACACAAAAGCAUUUAGGACAAACAUGUGCAUAUCGUAAUAACAUCAUACAUCACAUAUACAGGUAUACCAGUAGAGCAAGGAAUACUAGGAGAAAGCUGCACAGAAUCAAUGAAGAAGAAGGCUUUUAGUUUCACCUGAUGUUUUUUCAAACCCUGUUUCUUUCAAGAAAUAUUUUUUAAAAUUUUGCUUUUUUCAAAAAAUCAACUCAUAAUACAGAGGUGAGUUGAGCCUCGGGUCACGCUGAGGUAUUUUUUUUAAUUUCUGCUUUUUUCAAAAAUCAACUCAUAAUACAGAGGUGAGUUGAGCCUCGGGUCACGCUGAGGUAUUUUUUUAAAUUUCUGUUUUUUUCAAAAAAUCAAGUCAUAAUACAGAGGUGAGUUGAGCCUCGGGUCACGCUGAGGUAUUUUUAAAUUUCUGCUUUUUUUUCAAAAAAUCAACUCAUAAUACAGAGGUGAGUUGAGCCUCGGGUUACGCUGAGGUAUUUUUUUAAAUUUCUGCUUUUUUAAAAAAUCAACUCAUAAUACAGAGGUGAGUUGAGCCUCGGGUCACGCUGAGGUAUUUUUUUAAAUUUCUACUUUUUUCAAAAAAUCAACUCAUAAUACAGAGGUGAGUUGAGCCUCGGGUCACGCUGAGGUAUUUUUUUAAUUUCUGCUUUUUUCAAAAACUCAACUCAUAAUACAGAGGUGAGUUGAGCCUCGGGUCACGCUGAGGUAUUUUUUUUAAUUUCUGCUUUUUUCAAAAAAAUCAACUCAUAAUACAGAGGUGAGUUGAGCCUCGGGUCAUGCCGAGGUAUUUCUUUUAAAUUUUCGUUUUUCAAAAAAUCAACUCAUAAUACAGAGGUGAGUUGAGCCUCGGGUCAUGCCGAGGUAGUUUUUUUAAAUUUCUAUUUUUCAAAAAUCAACUCAUAAUACGAGAGGUGAGUUGAGCCUCGGACCAUGCCGAGGUAUUUCUUUUAAAUUUAUGUUUUUUGAAAAAUCAACUCAUAUUGCGAGAGAUGAGUUGAGCCUCGGGGCACAUGUCGAGGUAUUUUCGAUUUUUGUUUUUCGAAGAUCAACUCAUAAUCCAAGAGGUGAGUUGAGUCUCGGGUCGCACGCCGAGCUGUUCUCGAUUUCUGCUUUUCAAAUAAAGAGGAAAAUUUUGGAUGGUCGAACAAAAUUCAGUGCUUUUUAGUCUUUGCUCUAUCCCUGUUUCACAGCGAUGAGCAAAGAGGGGCAGCUGUAAUCACUGAAUUUUGUCCGGGAAUAAUUUUGUGUUAAAAAAAUAAAAAAAUUUUAAAAAAUUGCAUUUUGACCCCUGUACUUUCUCAAAAUUACAUUUCAACCCCUAAACUUUUAUAAAUUACUUUUGACCCCUAAACUUUCUCAAAAUUACAUUUCGACCCCUAAACUUUCUCUAAAUUAUGUUUCGGCCCCAAAACUUUUGCUGUAUUUACAUUUUGGUCCCUCUGAUAGCAAUCAGCCCAACUUGCGCCUGCAACGGCGGCGGCCGGCCUACCUCUCCCUAGCCCACUUGCUACCUGCAAAAAAAGAAGAGAACAUCAAAAUAAAAUGGGUUUUAAAACCCCCAAAGCAAAAAAAAACGGGGGGAAGUAAGGAAGCAAAAAGAAAAAAAACAACAAAAUUUUUUAGAGAAAAAUCAAGCAAAAACAGCAGCACAUCGUCGGCCCUCGCACCAACGCCACCGUGCCCACCGCCGUAGCACUCCCAUCGCCGGCACCUAGCAAAGCAAACAACAACCAAGAAGCAAAAAAAGAGAGCAAGAAGCAAACAACAAACAAAAAUAAAAGAGAAAUACAAAGGAAGAAAAAGAAAAAACAGAAAAGGAAAAGGGGAGGAGAAGAGGAGAUCUCCACCGCGCGCCGUCGCCGACCGUCGCACCAGGUCGGGGAAGCGCCGUCGGGGGCUGAACGAAGGAGAAGAAAAAAAGAAAAAAAAAGAAGAAGAAAGAAGAAGGAAGAAGAAAGGGGGGAAAGAAAAAGAAAAAAGAAAAAAGAAAAAAGAAAAAUAAAAAAAUAAUUAAAUCAGUCGGGUCGAACCGACCCGACCCGAACUAGCAACCCGACCCGGAACAGCCAGCAGACCCACAACACCCAGCAGGCCCAGCAGAUUAGGCCCAAACAGCAGGCUUUUAAAAAAAACUGCAACAAAAAGUAAGUAGCAGGCCAUUCCAGCAAAGGCCCAGCAGGUCUCCAGGCCCAACAGCAGUUCCAGCAGGCCAGCUCCAGCAGCCCCAGGCCCGUUUCAGCAGCAGGCCAGCAUCCGGCCCAGCACCCAGCGGCCCAACCUGAAAAAAAAAGAAAAAAGAAAAGAAAAAGAAAAAAGAGAAAAGAAAGAGAAAAAAGGGAAAAGGCCCAAAAUUGUGCAGCCCAUAACUUUGGGUUUUGGUAAAUUCUUGAACUUUUAAUUUUGUCUAAAUAUUUAAAUGUUGUCUCGUUUUUAAUAUUAUUGCAUAUUUUUAAAUAUUUUUAUUUUGUAUUUAUGUUUUUUUAAUUUUAUUUUAUUUUAUUCGUUAAAUUCGAACAAUUUUGAUGCAUGAGGCCACGAACCGAUUCAGCAUUAAGUCAUUGAUUUCAUCGCUAUGUUGGGUGAAUAUCGAUGGCUCGUGUCAAAUACGGGACGCCCUUUUUUUUAAAAAAAAAGCGAAGAUAUUCAAAAAUUCUCGUUUUUUUAAAAAAUAAAAAAAGUUUCUCGUGUUUUAAUAGAAUCACGAUUAAAUAUUAAGUUGAAUCGAUUUAACACUAAUUCGAUGAUUUCAUCGUCAUGUAUGGGUGAAUAUCAUUGAUUUGUGUCAAUUGCGGUACCUUUAAAAAAAAACUAAUCGUGUUUCAAAAAUUUUCAUGUUUCCAAAAAAUUCCCGUGUUUUAAAAAUUUCCUUAUUUUCAAAAAUUUUCGUGUUUCAAAAAAAUCCUCAUGCUUUUAAAAAUUUUAGUGUUUCAAAAAUCCUCGUGUUUUCAAAAAUUAUUAUUGUGUUUCAAAGUUCUCGUGUUUAAAAAAAAAAGGGUUUUCUCAAGUUUCAAUCAGAUCACAAUUAAAUCUUAAAUUGAACUUGUAUUUUUGAAAAUUAAGACAACGCGCAUUUAACGAGAUUCCAAUUUUGGGCGUCGCGAGGGUGCUAAUACCUUCCUCGCGCGUAACUGACUCCCGAACCCUAAUUUUCUCUGGAUUUUCACGCAGACCUAAAAUUACCUCUUUUUUAGGAAAAUUUAAAAUAAAUUUUUCUUCUAAAAAAAGAAUUUAUUAGGUGUCCGAUCACACCUAAAAAAGAUCGGUGGCGACUCCUUUUGCAAAUAAAAUCGAAACUCUAUUUUCAAAUUUUCAAUAAUUAAUUCGAUUAGCGCCCGUGCCCAAAAUUUUUAGGUCGCUACAGAGAUAACAGAAAAAGAAAACCUGAUAGAUACUCUAACUCUUAGUAAAAUUCGGCACCAAAAAGCAAAGCAAAAACAAACGAUACACAAAACCAAUAUGAGAAAUAUCCCCUCUGGCUGAAUUUUUCCUGAGUACAAAGUUCAAUUUCUGCAUACCCUUUCCUUUCCCCUCACUUCCCUUCGUUUUCUCCAAAAAUCUCUCCCUUUAUCCCUCCUUGAAUCACUCCACCUAUUUCUCCUCAACUCCCCCGACAACUCCAUUCAAAUUCCAUUCAAACUCCCCUUGGCUGUGUUUCAGUCCAACUCCACUUCCAACACAGCUCAAGCAGCAAAAUAAAUAUUCCAUUGUGCAACCCAAUACUUGAACCUCAAACCUCACAGUUACACAACACGCCACUUUACCACUAGGCCACAAGCUCUUUUUAUUUCAUGAACAAGCACUAUUAUUUAUAAGGCCUAUAUGCCAGUGUCCAGAUUCAUUUAAGAGCAAAACUAAAAAUUCUACAAAAGCCAAAACUUAAACCCCUAACUUCUCAGACACUUGCAAACACUCCUAAAUCACUUAACCACUGAAGCAAACAUUCAUUUAUGUCUCUUCCUUGUACAACUAAAUAUUUAUGUGCAGUCUUUUAACUGUCUCCUUGUUCAAAACCUAUUUCUUCUAGGCCCAAAAUUUGGGGUGUUACACAAAUGGGUCUUUAGGGUUAAACUUCAAUAAUUGAUGAGCUCUUCCACAAAUUGUGGAUGAUAUGGGGAUAAGAACUUCAAUUAUUCUAGAGUUAGAAUGUAAAUUUACCACUAUAUUAUAAGUAAAUAUUGAAAUUUAUCACUAUAUUUUAAUUGAUACUUGUCAUUACACUUUGAAAAUAUAAGUAAAUUUACCAUUUAACUCAUAUGUGAUUGAACUUUGCAAGUAAACUUAAAAUUUUAUUUAAUUUUGUCACUAAAUUUGAUUUAUUUAAUUAAAUUUACAACUCAACAUAAAUUUUGGUGACUUAAAACAAAAUUAAUAAAAAAACUAUUCUUUCAUAUAUUUUUUUUAGUGUUUAAUAAUAAGUUGAUUUAUAAAAUAUACUUUCAUUAGACACAAGCAUCCAAGGCGGUGAACAAACCACUGGUCAAAUUAAUUUGGAGAUAUGUUUUUGUCUAACGAGUUUUGCUUCUUUUUUUUUAAAUAUUUUUAAUAUUUUUGUGGAUAUCAAGAGAUACCAAAAUUAUUUCACUAAGGAAUUAAUUAGUGUUUUAUUUUAAGGGUUCACAAUUAAACAUCGAAUUUUUCAUUUUUAAAUUUUGAAUUUUUUAACAAUCGUGUAAUUAACAAGUACUAAUUUUUUGGUGUUGUAGGGUUAUUACAAUCUUCUCUACAUGUAACAGACUCUCAAACCUACUUUUUUCUCUAGAGCUCAACGCAAACCUCAAUUUUUUUUUUACCGAUCACACUUAAGAAAAUUACAAUUUUUUUUUGAAAUUUAAAUUGAUCUAAAAACAUAUUUUUAAGUGCUUUAGACCAUCCGGUGCUGAUUUCUUUAUUGUAUUAAAUGCUUGCGAUCACUCUUGAUAUAUUAUACUUGAGUUGUGACAGAGCCAAUUGUCAACGUGCCAUAAUGUUCUAUUGAUGCUGAAACUGAAGUUUUUGUUAUGUUAAGAGAGCUUGUCCUUCAACGCGUAUAACGGGUGUUUGUUAUUUUUUCCCUUCAAAUUAUAUGAUCUCAUUCAUUAAAUGAAUUAAUGAAUUUCCCUUUAAAGAUAUAAUUUUAAAAAUUAAAUACUUUAUAAAAUAUUUAAAACUAUUUAAAAAAUUGUAAGCGUUAAAACAAUUAACAAGAUAUAUUUUUCUCUAAAAAAUCAAUAAAAAUAUGUUUGAAAUUUUAUAUGAAAUUUAAAAUUUUCUAACUUAUUUUCAAUCAACUUUAUUUCAAUUUUCAAUCACAAUCAAUUGCAUUCAAGAGCACCAUAUCUUUUUGGAUGAAACAAAGCUCUCAAUAUUAAGAUAAACGGGUCUUUAGGGUUAUUAAUUUAGGGCCUUUUCCACAAUUUCCAUCGUUAUUUGCGGGUGGUUCGGGGAUGAUAACUUCAACAUUUUUGCAUCACAUUUAAUUCAAUUCCACAUUCAAUUUUUAAUUUUUAGAGAGAUGAUUGGUUUACAACAAUGGUUUGAAGUGAAGAUAUUUCAAAAGAAGAUGAAUAAUUUAAAAUUCAGGUUAUGUUUCAUUUCAAUUAAGUUAAAUGUUAAGAUUAAGGUUAAACCUUUUAGAGGUUGUUCACAAAAGGAUCAAACAUUUAUAAAGUGCUUAAAUGAAGGCCAAACUUUUUAAAAUAGAUAAAUAAGGCCCUAACCUUUUAAAGGGUGUUCAAAGAAGGGCUUCUCAAAUGUUGUAUAUCAGGUUAUGGAUUUUACUCUAAACAUAUCGGCAUUUACCUAUUUUUUCUACAAAUUAGAUUGAAAUGCGUGAAAAACCCUUAUUUUAGCACUUCUGUAAAGGUUAAACUCUUAUUUGACCAUUUUGAAAGGUUUGAUCCUUAUGUGAGCAACCUCUAAAAGAUUGAGCACUAAUUUGACAAGUUGAGAAAUAUCAAAUUUGUUUUCAUGAAUCAAGAAAUUAAAAAAAAAAAUGUUGAGAAAUAUUUUAGAGACAAGUUCCCUCCACCAGCUCCCUGCAUCCAGUCCCACCUCUUCUCUUAUGCUCCUUCCAGGUUCUUGCUUUUUGUGUGUUGAAAAUUCGAAGGAACAAAAUAUCAACCUACAUCAUAAGGCACGAAGGCCAGAAAUUACUUGAGAUCUGACAACUUUAUUUCAUUUUCAUUUUCUUUGUUAUUUUCUAUGUUUCUUGUCAAAUACAAUGAAAAAAGAACAUAGAAAAAUGUUGCCCAUUUAUUUCCCAAUCAUCAUGAAAUUACUUGCCAUAGACUUAGAAUUUAUUUCUCACCAAUUUUCAAGCAAUCUGACAUGAUUUCUCAAUCACAAUUAAUUGAAUUCAAGAUCUUUUUGGAUGGCACAAACAUUUGAAUUUUAACACAAACCAAUAUUUAGGUUAUACUUCAGUGCUUGACAAGCACUUUCACAUUUGUGGGAUAAGAACUCUAACAUAUUUGGAUCACAUUUAAUUCAAUAUAACGCCGACCAAGUAGACGGCGGCGGCUGUGAAGGAGGUUAAAUCAAGAAAUUAAAUCCUUUUAGAACUCUAUUAUAAAGAAACCAUAUUCUUUAAGGAUUAUUUUAUCUCUAAUUAAUUAAAUUAAUAAGAUAUGAAUAACAAUAAUAGAGUUUAAAUUCUACAAGAAUUCUCUUAUAUCAAAGUGAUUGACACUAUAAAAACGGGUCACCUCCAAGUCAUUCUACACAUUCACAAGUUUAAGAAGUCCAAAAAUUCUUUACAAAAAUAUUUGAAGAAACUAAAGAAGUGGAAGAAAUUCUAAUGAACAUCACAUCAAUUGAGAAGAGGAUGUGAACAGAAGAGAAGAAUCAAAGAAGUUUUGUUUGUAAAGAAAUUCAAAACUUGUACACUCUUCGAAAUUAUAAAUAAAUUUUGAUGCAAAAUUUUCAAAUUAAUUUUCAACUUGAAAUUUGUGUAUACAAUAUAUAUGGGAAAGAAUCCAUUUACAUUAUAUAAAACUAGUGUAUGUAUAAUACAUAAAUAUUUAGUACGUAAUCAAUUCACUUUAAAUGAAACGAGAUCCACGAGUGUUUGGUGUUAUAUUUUUAAAAUGUAUUUACAUGAUUGUUUAUUAAUUUUAUUUGUUUAUAUUUAAAUCAAAUGUAAUAAAUUGUUGAAUUUAUAUACUUCUUAUUAUAACAAUAUAUGGACUAUCUUCCUACUUCUCUUUUUAAUUUAAUUUUUUGUAACUCUUCACAAUUUAUUUUGAACAACAUUGAAAAAAACUAAAUGAUUAAAUUAAGGCUCAACUUUUCACUAACCUUAGUUUAUUUAGUCUCACUUUUCACAAAUUAUUCUACUCAUUUCAUGUUUCAUACCAACAACUUUUCUUUUUGCUGAAAAGAAAAAAACAACUAUACUUUCUUUAAUCCCAAAAUUAAGGCUUUAUGAAUGAAAAUAAUAUUAUAUUAACUAUGAUAAUUAAGUUUUUAUUUUUAAUAUGAUUAAUAUUAUAUAUAAUAACUUUAAAUAUGCUUCCACUAAUGAGAUAUACUAAAGAAAAGAGUAACUUUCUUUUUAGGAUAACUAAUUUCCAAUUAUGUAUUUUAAUCUAUCACUAAGUAAUUAAUUAAGUUAAUGUCACAAGUGAAUCGUACAUCAUAUACCAACUCAAUUGGAAAAUGUCUUUAAAUUAUUUUUAAAUUGUAACAAAUAUUAUUAUUAAGAUGUUUUUCUUUUUAUAUUUUUUAUAAAUAUAAUAAAAAACAAUUAGAAUAAUUUUAAGAGAAAAAAACUCAUACACUGUAGAAUUUAAUGUAAAGAUAUCAAAGUUUUAAAGCCUCAACUUUAACCUUUCAACCGAAAUUCCAUUAGUCAAUAAAUAUUUUAUAAAUAUAGAUUUUAUAAAUAUAGAAUUUAAUCACAAGUGUACCAUAUUUAGAGAUAUUCAUAGCUAGGCAGUCCACUUUGGGUCAAGAAGUUUGUAGUUAGGCAGCCCACUUUGGGCCAGGAUUCAGCUUACGCUUUUAAUCUUGGGCUUUAAAAAUAAUAAAAAUAUAAAAAUAAUGUUCUAUUAAUAUUUAUAAAUUUUAUAAAUUUAAAUUUAUUUAUAUUUUUUAAACAGUAAAAUCAACCAUUUAUAUGGGCUAAAUUGAGUUAAGUUCGGUUUGCAUCAAGCCUUAACUUUGACCAAAUCCAACUAAAAACACCUCUAACCAUAAUCUAGUAUUGUUUUUAUGAAUUCAAUUUUAACUUGUAAUUUUCAAUUCUAUUACAAAAUUUCUUUGCCUACGAUAAGAAAAUAACAUAUUUGUAACUUCUCCAAUCCGGCGUAAACGUUCAGUCUGAAUUCGGAAGAUUACAUCAGCUAUAAAGAUGGCCUAGUAGGGUUAUCGGAGUUUUUGAAAAUAGACAUCUUUAAAACGUUUGUUUAAUUUAGUAAAAAACUUAUUUAAUUUCUAAAUUAUUUAUUACUUGAAAUCUUAAUUACACUUUAAAAGUAGGAAGUGGUAACUAUUUAUUUUUAAUAAAAAUCGGGGUUCAUGUAUAAUUUAUUAAUAACCAUAAUUCGAAAACAAUAAAACUUAAUUAAAUGUCAUGCAAAAUAAAACAAGCUUAAAUCUAAAUCUCAUGCCACAGUUCAAUAUAAUUUAUUGUAGUCUUCGAAAAUAAAAUAAAUCAUAUAAUCAACCUAAAAUAAGUUUGUAAUUUAACAAUGUGUCGAGACCUUCCAGAUGUCACUCCCGCGUCCUAACCUAGAGGGUUAUCUGUAAGGAUGAAAACCUUCCAGGUGCGGCGCUACUGCGGCGGCCAUGGCUGAAGAUCUAGGCCGGAUUUUGGGGAGGGGUUGAGGUUUGAGAGAAUUUUGUUUGAUUUUUUUAGAGGAAAGGAGAAAAUGAAGGAUUUAAAAAAAAAAUUGGCUUUUAUAGCAUUAAGAAACGGCGCCGUUUUGAUCUUAGGGUUCAGAGGCCAAAAUGACGUCGUUUUGACCUCUGACCCGUCACCCGACCCAGCAGCCCACAGGAUUCGAGUGUUUUUGCGGUGAAUGGUCCCUCAGCUUUUGCGCCGUGAUGCAAUCUGGUCCCUUCGUUUAUUUUAUUUUUGCCCCAUAAAUUUUAUACUUGUUUCAUUUUAGUCCACGCUGAAACGUUGUGCUUUAUGGCUGGGAAUAUUGCCCAGUCAGUCCCUAAUUUCUUAAGCGCGUUCCACUUCAGUCCCUAGCCACCCCCUUUUUAUUUAUUUGCGAUUUAAGCUCCGAAUUUUGGGGUCCGUUUUCAAAUUAGUCCUUAGCCUGUUUAAUUUUAAUUUUUAAAAAAAAAUAGAUUUGUCUAAUAUUUCACUUAAUAGUUAUUUAUUUACUUUUUUUUAAUUGUAAAUCAAGCUUACAUUAGUAUUUAUCUAUCUAUCUAUCUAUCUAUUUAUUUAUUUAUUGGCUUGUUCAUCUUAUUUUGCCAUUAUUAUUACUAUCAUUCCAUUAUCUAUUUAUGUGCUAAUUUUCAAAUAUUUUCAAAUUAGUAUUAUAUUUAUUAUUGUUGUUGUUAUCGUUAUUGUUAUAUUGUUACUUGCAUUAUUAUUAUUCAUGCAUGUUAACAUUAAGAUUUAUUAGUAUCAAUGCUAUAUGUGUAUUUUAUGAUGCAUAGUAUGUCAUGAUUAUUUUAAAUGCAUAUCGUAUUAUCGUUAUUAGUCGUGUACGACUCCUCUUUUUAAAAACGAUUUCUUUUCGAAUAUAAUCAAAGUUUGCACACAUACUAUUUUUAAAUAUUCUAUUAGUGCUCACUUAAAUUCAAAAAAAAAAAAUCAAAGAAAGGCAAUACUUUGCAUUUUGGCAAUUUGAGAAAUCGUACCCUAACUUACGGGGUUUCGGCUUUCUCGUUAAACCUAAAUAGCAAAAUAUUCUUUUAAAACUUCAAAAUACAAAUUUUCAAUAAAAUUUAAAGACGAGUUUAUUCUCUAAGGUUCUAAAUAACGUGUCCUAACUUAUGGGACGUGGUAUUUCGUUACCUUGGGACGAGUGGAUCUUUAACUCUCUUUUCGAUUUAUUCAAGCAAUUUUUAAUGGCAUUAAUAAAAAGGGAUUGUAUUUUAAAUUUCCCUUCGAAUUUUCUACUUUAAAUAUUAAGACAUUAAGUAAUCAACUAGGUACCGAUUUUGAGCGUAUUGAGGGUGCUAAUUCUUCCUCGUGAGUAACCGACUCCCGAACCCAUUUUCUGGAUUUUUGUGGACCGAAAAAUUUUGUUUUAGUAAAUCAAACCGUUUAUUUAAAACAAUUCAAUUACGAGGUGAUCCGAUCACACCUCACAAAAAAAAAAGAUUGGUGGCAAUUCCCAUGUUCGUUUUCAUUUACAAAAUUAAAGUCGACCCUCCUUUUUAAAAAAAAUGGUUUCGACACUACGAAUAUGAACCUUCAAGCUUUUGUGGAUAAUGUUACAGAUGGUUGUUGCAAAAAAUAUUUCUUAUUCUUUUAUGUGGCAUGCCACAUUAUCAUAUUAUCAUGUGACAACUUCUGGUGAUUUCUGUCCGUAACAAUUUUUGUUAAAUGAAGAGGUCAAUUGAUUUUUUUGGAAUCAUUGAGUACUCAAUUGGUGCACUUUUUUCGUAAAGGCUAAAUUAAUUUUUUAAUUUGUUACUGUUGAGGGCUAUAGCAAUAAAAAAUUUUGAGGUAAAAUGAAAAAAAAUGUUAGAGCUAAAUUUGUCAUUAUGCCUAAAAUGUAAAACCAAAAUUUUUUGAAAAUGAAAAAAAAUGGAAAAUCACAAAUUGUGUCACUUAUGUUUGCUUAAAAUUAUAGUUUUGGUCACGAAUCUUUUGAAGUAAAUAUAUGGUCACCAAUACAAUCCAUUUGUUACUUUGUAAUAACUCACCUUAAAGUUAUACCCCUACGCAAGAAAGUAUUCAAUGACAUUGGGAUACCAUCAAACUUGUAUCUUUUUUUAUUCAUCCAAUGUCAUUUCAACAUUUUCAUUUAAAAACAUAUCAUUUUGGAUUUGAUCUUUUCAAUGAUGAAACUAUUGAAAUGAUGUUAAAUUAUUGGAAAGAGAUACAAGUUUAAUCUUAUCUAUCUAAGAAAGCUGAUGUAACACACUAAUGACAUCAUUUCAAACAAAGUUUUGGGUCCAAUUGUUCAUCUAGUCCUUGUAAUUGCUUUUAGGUGAAUUUCACUAUUAUUCUUUUAUUUUCUUUGGCUUAAAUACACAUUUACCCUUAAUUUUAUCACAUUCUCCUUCAUUGGUAUUUAUGGUUUAGAAAAUUUUACAAAUAUAUUAUUUUUUAAGAAAUUAUAAGAAGAUUACAUUGUUUUUAUGCAUUGAAUUUUAACUUGUAAUUUUCAAUUUUAUUACAAAAUUUCUUUGCCUACAAUAAGAAAAUAACAUAUUUGUAACUUCUCCAAUCCGGCGUAAACGUUCAGUCUGAAUUCGAAAGAUUACAUUAGCUAUAAUGAUGGCCUAGUAGGGUUAUUGAAGUUUUUGAAAAUAGACAUCUUUAAAACAUUUGUUUAAUUUAGUAAAAAACUUAUUUAAUUUCUAAAUUAUUUAUUACUUGAAAUCUUAAUUACACUUUAAAAGCAGGAAGUGCUAACUAUUUAUUUUUAAUAAAAAUUGGGGUUCAUGUAUAAUUGAUUAAUAACCAUAAUUCGAAAACAAUAAAACUUAAAUUAAAUGUCAUGCAAAAUAAAACAAGCUUAAAUCUAAAUCUCAUGCCACAGUUCAAUAUAAUUUAUUGUAGUCUUCGAAAAUAAAAUAAAUCAAAUAAUCAACCUAAAAUAAGUUUUGCAAUUUAACAAUAUGUCGAGACCUUCCAAAUGUCACUUCCGCGUCCUAUCCUGGAGGGUUAUCUGUAAGGAUGAAAACCUUCCAGGUGCGGCGCUACGGCAACAACCAUGGCCGAAGGCCUAGGCCAGAUUUUGGGGAGGUGUUGAGGUUUGAGAGAAUUUUGUUUGAUUUUUUUAGAGGAAAGGAGAAAAUGAAGGAUUUAAAAAAAAAUUGCUUUUAUAGCAUUAAGAAACAACGCCGUUUUGAUCUUAGGGUUCAGAGGCCAAAAUGACGUCGUUUUGACCUUUAACCCGUGACCCGACCCAGUAGCCCACGAGAUCCGAGUGUUUUUGUGGUGAAUGAGCUAUUUCCGGGCAGGGUCCCUCAGCUUUUGCGCCGUGAUGCAAUCUGGUCCCUUCGUUUCUUUUAUUUUGGCCCCAUAAAUUUUAUACUUGUUUCAUUUUGGUCCGCGCUGAAACGUUGUGCUUUAGGGAUGGGAAUAUUGCCAGUCAAUCCCUAAUUUCUUAAGCGCUUUCCACUUCAGUCCCUAGCCACCCCCUUUUUAUUUAUUUGCGAUUUAAGCCUUGAAUUUUGGGGUCUAUUUUCAAAUUAGUCCUUAGCCUGUUUAAUUCUAAUUUUUUUAUUUAAAAAAAAUAGAUUUGUCUAAUAUUUCACUUAAUAGUUAUUUAUUUACUUAUUUUCAAUUAUAAAUCAAACUUAGUAUUUAUUUAUUUAUCUAUCUAUCUGUUUAUUUAUUUAUUUAUUGGCUUGUUCAUCUUAUUUGUGCCAUUAUUAUUACUAUCAUUCCAUUAUCUAUUUAUGUGCUAAUUUUCAAAUAUUUUCAAAAUUUAGAUUCAUUAGUAUUAUAUUUAUUGUUGUUGUUAUUAUCGUUAUUGUUGUAUUGUUACUUGCACUAUUAUUAUUCAUGCAUGUUAACAUUAAGAUUUAUUAGUAUCAAUGCUAUAUGUGUAUUUUAUGAUGCAUAGUAUGUCAUGAUUAUUUUAAAUGCAUAUCGUAUUAUCGUUAUUAGUCAUGUACGACUCCUCUUUUUAAAAACGAUUUCUUUUCGAAUAUAAUCAAAGUUGCAUGCGUACUAUUUUUAAAUAUUCUAUUAGUGCUCACUUAAAUUCAAAAAAAAAAUCAAAGAGAGGCGAUACUUUGCAUUUUGGCAAUUUGAGAAACUGUACCCUAACUUACGGGGGUUCGGCUUUCUCGUUAAACCUAAAUAGCAAAAUAUCCUUUUAAAACUGCAAAAUACGAAUUUUCAAUAAAAAUUAAAGACGAGUUUAUUCUCUAAGGUUCUAAAUAUCGUGUCCUAACUUACGUGACGUGGUAUUUCGUUACCUUGGGACGAGUGGAUCUUUAACUCUCUUCUCGAUUUAUUCAUGCAAUUUNNNNNNNNNNNNNNNNNNNNNNNNNNNNNNNNNNNNNNNNNNNNNNNNNNNNNNNNNNNNNNNNNNNNNNNNNNNNNNNNNNNNNNNNNNNNNNNNNNNNNNNNNNNNNNNNNNNNNNNNNNNNNNNNNNNNNNNNNNNNNNNNNNNNNNNNNNNNNNNNNNNNNNNNNNNNNNNNNNNNNNNNNNNNNNNNNNNNNNNNNNNNNNNNNNNNNNNNNNNNNNNNNNNNNNNNNNNNNNNNNNNNNNNNNNNNNNNNNNNNNNNNNNNNNNNNNNNNNNNNNNNNNNNNNNNNNNNNNNNNNNNNNNNNNNNNNNNNNNNNNNNNNNNNNNNNNNNNNNNNNNNNNNNNNNNNNNNNNNNNNNGUUACAGAAGGUUGUUGCAAAAAAUAUUUUUUUAUUCUUUUAUGUGGCAUGCCACAUUAUCAUAUUAUCAUGUGACAACUUCGGGUGAUUUCUAUCCGUAACCGUUUUUGUUAAAUGAAGAGGUCAAUUGAUUUUUUUGGAAUCAUUGAGUACUCAAUUGGUGCACUUUUUUCAUAAAGGCUAAAUUAAUUUGUUACUGUUGAGGGCUAUAGCAAUAAAAAAAUUUGAGGUAAAAUGAAAAAAAUGUUAGAGCUAAAUUUGUCAUUAUGCCUAAAAUGUAAAACCAAAAUUUUUUGAAAAUGAAAAAAAAAUUGGAAAAUCACAAAUUCUAUCACUUAUGUUUGCUUAAAAUUAUAGUUUUAGUCACCAAUCUUUUAAAGUAAAUAUAUGAUCACCAAUAUAAUCCAUUUGUUACUUUGUAAUAACUCACCUUAAAGUUAUACCCCGACGCACGAAAGGAUUAAAUGACAUUGGGAUAUAAUAAAACUUGUAUCUUUUUUUAUUCAUCCAAUGUCAUUUCAACAUUUUCAUUUAAAAAAAUUGACAUAUCAUUUUGGAUUUGAUCUUUUUCAUGAUGAAACUAUUGAAAUGGUGUUAAAUUAUUGGAAAGUGAUACAAGUUUAAUCUUAUCUAUCUAAGAAAGCUGAUGUAACACACUAAUGACAUCAUUUCAAACAAAGUUUUAGGUCCAAUUGUUCAUCUAGUCCUUGUAAUUGCUUUUAGGUGAAUUUCACUAUUAUUCUUUUAUUUUCUUUGGCUUAAAUACACAUUUACCCUUAAUUUUUUCACAUUCUCCUUAAUUGGUAUUUAUGGUUUAGAAAAUUUUACAAAUAUAUAUUUUUUAAGAAAUUAUAAGAAGAUUACAAAAAUUCCAAAAAAAUAUAAAAAAGCUAAGAAAAACCUUGAAAUUCAAAAAAAAAUCAUGUUUUUACAAAUUAGGAAAUACCUAAAUUUGUUUUCAUCAAUUAAGAAAUUAAAAAAAUUGUUGAGAAAUAUCUUUUUAGAAAUAUCAUAAUUGCAUUUAAGACCUCAUGAUUAUCUUUUAUAAUUUCAAGGUUAUCAACUAUUUUGAAAACAAAGACAAAAACAGAAACAAAAACGUCGACAUAUCACUUUAGCAUUGACUUACUUUUCUACUCUUAGUCUUCUCCAACAAGUUAAAUAUUUCAAUUUUAACAAUAUUGACAGGUCUUUGGGGUAGGGUCGAGCAAAACUCAAUAGAAACAGAUGAUAUAGGUUGAGUUGGCUCAGUCAAGCCCAUGUCCCUCGCUACACGCCCCUGGUAAAAUCAAUUUUAAAAUUAAUUAUAAUAGUUUAAGCGAAUUGAUUAUUGAGUAAUGAAAUACUUAAUUCAACCAAUUGAUGUAAUCAAAUUAUAAUAAAUAUAUAUUUACUUUUAUGAUACCCUUCGUCUUCUUUUUAGAGUUUGUGGCAAUAUUUUUUUUAUGCUUCAAAUUUAUAUUUUUUUAUUUAUGAGUACAAUGUGUCUUACAAUUACAUCUGCAAUUUAUAUUUUUUAUUUGAAAACAUAUAUUAUAAUAUAUGAAAAACAUAUAUAUAACCAGAUUUUGUCACACCCAUUUUAUGUUAAAAAUAUUUUCAUUUAAAUUGAGUAUAGGUUGGGUGGUAAUGUACUUAUAUUUUAAUACUAGUAAAUACGUGUUCAAUCUUUAGAUUUAUAAUUUAUAAUUCUUUUAAUUAAAGAUGAUAUACAAGUAUGAAAAGACAAAAGUGACAUAGUAAUAAUAUUAAUUAUUAAUUUUAUAAUUUCAUAAUUGAGUUGAUGGCAUGGUUGAAGGUGACACUAACUCUAAAACACUUAAAUAUAAUAAUAGCUUAAAAAUGAGGGGCUUUUGGUAAAUACAUUACUGAGUUGGUGACCUGAUUGAGGGUCACAUCAACUAAAUAAAACACUUAAAUAUUGACUACAAAUCCUAUCACACACUUAUGUGUCUAAAAACCACAAAUUUAGUAUACAAAGAUGUGUUUAAAAUUAACAUACAAUAAAGAAUGAAAUUUAUGGUUUGAAACUAAUUAGUAAUAACACAUGAAAUAUGUAUGAUAUCAAAAUGAAAAAAAAAAGAGAAUAAAUUGUGCAUAAAACAAAAUUUUAUCCUAUUACAUCAAUAAAGUUAUAUUUAUUACCCUCGCCAAUUAUUUGUCAUUAAGAACAUUAAAGUAUCCUUGAAUGAUAUAACUUAUUCUAAAUAGAGUUGAUGUAUGGUUGGCUUGGGAUACCAACUCAGUCAGGGACUUAAGAUUAUUAAAAUAUUCUUAUUUUAAAGGGAAAUUAAUAUUAUCAUAAGUGUAUUUUCACCUUUUCAUACUUUGAUAUAAUCUUCAAGUAAAACGAUUGAAAAAUAUUAUUUGAGAACACAAGACUAAAAAAAUUCAUAUAGAAAACGCUUACCACUCCACUAAUAAUCAUUUGUCAAUGUAUUUUUUGUAAAAAGACCUCUCCAAUCCCUCUUAAUUUCACAAUUGCGCAAAUUAGUCCCUCUCAAAAAAAUUGGAGUAAUUUAAUUCCUAUCAAUUUUGAAAGUGAGUAACUAAGGAUAAUUAAUUAUGGUGUUAAAUUCUUCCAUCAAUUGUACAUAAUUUUGAUUGGUAUAGUAAUAAAUUUAGCCUACAAUGUUUAUAUAUUUUGUCAUUUUGGCCUUAAUUUUUAAAAAAAUUUCAAGAAAUUCAGCCUCAACAUUACAUAUUUACACAAACAUUGCGGGAUAAUUUUGUUAAAGUAAAACCAGCUAAUAAAUUUAUUAUUAUACCAAACAAAAUCAUAUACAUUUUAUGGAAAAUUAACAUCCUGAUUAAUUAUUCUUAGUUACUCACUUUCAAAAUUAAUAGGGACUAAAUUGCUCUGUUUUUUUUUUUGGGGUGACCAAUUUCCUCAAUUUAGAAAUUGAGAGAGACUAUUGAGAUCUUUUACAUAUUUUUUUUAUAAAUAUACCUUUUUAAUAUAAAAUAUAUUUGUUCACACACAUCGUGAGUAUGAUAAAAUAUGUUUAUUGUUGAUUGAGUUGGUGUCAAAAAUUAACUUGACACAAACUCAAGAUUAAUAAUAACAAUAUGAUAAAUAAUUAUUUAUUUAAUAUUCUUAAUUUAAGAUAUUGAUGUAAAUUUUAAGACAUGCAUGUCUUGUAGAAUUGUAAUUAUACUUUUUGAGUAUUGACUCAGUUUUCCCGAAUUGUGGGUCUCUAUUUCAGCAAAACAAUUUAAACAUUUCUUCAUCUCGCUUAAUCCAAAUGCAUUUAGGAUUUUCUUAUGUCACUGCUUCAAAAACGGUAAAAAAAAAAUGUCGACAUUGAAUUUGCUGUUUCACAUUCAAUUNNNNNNNNNNNNNNNNNNNNNNNNNNNNNNNNNNNNNNNNNNNNNNNNNNNNNNNNNNNNNNNNNNNNNNNNNNNNNNNNNNNNNNNNNNNNNNNNNNNNCCAUCAACUUGACUUCAAUUUUCAGUCACAAUCAAUUGCAUUCAAGAGCACCACAUCUUUUUGGAUGAAACGAAGCUCUCAAUUUUAAGAUAAACGGGUCUUUAGGGUUAUUAAUUGAGGGCCUUUUCCACAAUUGCCAUCGUUAUUUGCGGGUGAUUGGGUUACGACAAUGGUUUGAAGUGAAGCUGUUUCAAAUGAAUAUGAAUACUCUACCAGUAAGUCAUAAUUUAAAAUUCAGGUUAUGUUUCAUUUCAACUAAGUUAAAUGUUAAGAUUGAAGUUAAACCUUUUAGAGGUUGCUCACAAAAGGAUCAAACCUUUAUAAAAGUGCUUAAAUGAAUGCCAAACUUUUUAAAAUAGACAAAUAAGGCCCUAACCUUUUAAAAGGUGUUCAAAUAAGGGCUUCUCAAAUGUUGUAUAUCAAGUUAUGUAUUUUACUCUAAACAUAUCAGCAUUUACUUAUUUUUUCUACAAAUUGGGUUGAAGUGCAUGGAAAAUCUUUAAUAUCAAGUUAUGUAUUUUACUCUAAACAUAUCAGCAUUUACUUAUUUUUUCUACAAAUUGGGUUGAAGUGCAUGGAAAAUCUUUAAUAUCAAGUUAUGUAUUUUACUCUAAACAUAUCAGCAUUUACUUAUUUUUUCUACAAAUUGGGUUGAAGUGCAUGGAAAAUCUUUAAUAUCAAGUUAUGUAUUUUACUCUAAACAUAUCAGCAUUUACUUAUUUUUUCUACAAAUUGGGUUGAAGUGCAUGGAAAAUCUUUAUUUAAGCACUUUUGUAAAGGUUAAACUCUUAUUUGACAAUUCUGAAAGGUUUGAUCCUUAUGUGAGGAACCUUUAAAAGAUUGAGCACUAAUUUAACAAGUUGAGAAAUACCUAAAUUUGNNNNNNNNNNNNNNNNNNNNNNNNNNNNNNNNNNNNNNNNNNNNNNNNNNNNNNNNNNNNNNNNNNNNNNNNNNNNNNNNNNNNNNNNNNNNNNNNNNNNCCUGCCUCCAGUCCCACCUCUUCUCUUAUGCUCCUUCUAGGUUCUUGCUUUUCGUGUGUUGAAAAUUCAAAGGAACAAAAUAUCAACCUACAUCAUAAGGCACGAAGGCCAGAACUUUACUUUCUAGCCCGUCCGAUCCAAUGAAAGAAGAACAAAGAGUCUUGAGAUCUGACAACUUUAUUUCAUUUUCAUUUUCUUUGUUAUUUUCUAUGUUUCAUGUCAAAUACAAUGGAAGAAGAACAUAGAAAAAUGUUGCCUAUUUAUUUCCCAAUCAUCAUGAAAUUACUUGCCAUAGACUUAGAAUUUUCUCACCAAUUUUCAAGCAAUCUGACAUGAUUUCUCAAUCACAAUUAAUUGAAUUCAAGAUCUUUUUGGAUGACACAAACAUUUCAAUUUUAACACAAACCAAUAUUUAGGUUAUACUUCAGUACUUGACAAGCACUUUCACAUUUGUGGGAUAAUAACUCUAGCAUUUUAGGAUCACAUUUAAUUCAAUUGCAUUUAAGACCUCAUGAUUUUAUUCUAUAAUUUGAGUCUUAUCAACCUUUUGGGAAAUAAUAAAACAUCGACAUUAAACAUUGUUGUUGAUGCAUUCAAUUUGAUUUUUUGAGGGGUCGUUGGAGUUGUAUGUGAAUUUAGCAUUGAUUGACUUUUUUAGAAUUAAUCUUUUAUACCAAUUUAAUAACAUCGACAUGUUUUUGGGUAGGGUCGAGCAAAACCCAAUUAAAACCGAUGAUAUUGGUUUAGUUGACUCGGUCAAGUCCAUUAGAUGGAGAAAAUCAAUUUUAAAAUCAGUUAUAAUGGAUUAAGGUAAUUAAUUAUUGAGUUAUGAAAUACAUAAUCAAAUCAAUUGAUUUUGUUAGAAACUAAAAGAAAAUGGGAUAAGCUGAAAACUGAUUGCCCUUUAUUAAAAUUAAGGAAUUCGCCUUUUACAUGUUAGAUAAUAUGAACAUCCCAUAUAUAAUAAGAAAAAUUACGUACGAUUAUUUGUUAUCAUAAAUGGUUAGUUUAAAUUUCAAGUAAUCUAAAAUGUGUAUUGAACUUCAACUAUUACAUAAAGUAUAAGCUAAAUAUGUAUAAAUAUUCUAGAAACCAUUUCUAACAGAUGAUAGGCUAAUUCAGAAUUAAGAUUAAUAUAUAAAAACUCGAUAGUAAGGUUAUAGUCCUCAAACUACAACUAAUUUAAUAACAUUUAUAGUUUUUGUUAAUUUGGUCCUUACUCUUUAAAAUUACAUAAAAAUUGCAAAAAUAUUUUAAAAAUAAAUUUUUUUCGUAUUUUUAAUAACAUUUAUAGUUUUUUUUUUUGUGGUUUGGUAACUUAUCAACUCGACUCUUAAUUGUAACCAACUUUUCUGACUUUUUUCGUACCCUUAACCUAAGUCUCGUUACAACUUUCUAAAGACCACUUGAUUGGUGUAUCAUCUUGAUUUGUUUUUAUAGUGGUGGAGAUUUGGUUUUCAAGCAAGCCUAUGAUAAUCACAUUUUUCGUUCAACCGUUGAGCACACAGUACUUGAACCUUAAACACUUUGAGUGCUUUGAGUGAAUCUUAGUUAGGGUAUUGAUUAUUGUUGAGUUUGAAUUUCAGGUAAUUAUUGAGAUAGAGGAGACGCCUAUGUUUUUUGUGCGUUUCAAAUUUCUACUUAGAUUGCUUUUAUUCUUUCGUGUCAUGCUAGUUUCAAUUUCCAAUGCAUGAUAAUCUUUAGAGUAUUCAUAAGGCAUGUCGGUGAAAACACUAAAUUGAGGGAGAUUAACUUGAAUAAGGGUUGAGAAUUUUGCUUAGGGACAAACAAAUGCUUAAGUGUGGGGAUAUUUGAUAAGUGCUAAAAUUGAUAUGUUUUAACAUCAUUCUUAAUGUGUUUUUGGUUGAUUAUUCGAUGUUAAUUAUGCUCUUAAUCCUUACAAUUCGUGUUUUUAUGCUUAAUAGAACAUUUGGGAGGAAAAUGAGCGAAAAAUGAACGAAAGCCUAAAAAUGUGGGCAAACUAUAGGACACGGGUUGGCCUAUUCCACAUGACCGUGUGACCCACACGGUGAUGUGGCAGGUUGUGUCAAUUUCGUAGAUUUGCACUCUGAACUGCAAAAAAAAUGCAAAUUUUAGAUUUUUCGAGAAUUUUAAUACGUAUAUAUAUGAAAAAAAAAGAAGAUAAGAGAGAACCUUCCUAGAAUAUUUAAGAAAACAACUCCAAAAACACUAUUGAAGUCGUCUCUGAAGCAGAUUUUCAUCAAGUUUGAAGAUUCCCAGUUGAUUUCUUAAGAGAUUAUCAUGAGUUUCUUUAUUUCUUUCGGUUAUACUACCCUUUGGAUGUUUUUAUUUUUAAGCAUGAACUAAUUUUCUAAAUACCUAAGAGAGAUGAACCCUAUGAUAGAUUGUGACACCCCAAACCAAACCGGGAUAGACCAGCCCGAAUUCGAAGCAUUACAUUAGCCACCUAAGUGACUCUCCAGCUAACGACCACCCAAGACACACCUCGACCUUAUAACACCUCAAUCUUAUCUAAUUACUAGUUAUUUAUUAAUGAAAAAGUAAAUUAUGAGCCAAUUUUAAACUUUUCCUAGGUAAUUUAACCUAAGGGUAUUUUUGUUAUUUUACCACCUAAUGUAAAACAAACCCGAUUUUAGAUCUAAGUGUUUACCAACCUUCUUUUAGUCAAAUUAUACAAGCCUAAAAUUUUCAACUUAAUUUGAGUCUGUUUACUAUGUCUAAUUCNNNNNNNNNNNNNNNNNNNNNNNNNNNNNNNNNNNNNNNNNNNNNNNNNNNNNNNNNNNNNNNNNNNNNNNNNNNNNNNNNNNNNNNNNNNNNNNNNNNNAAAUACCAAUUUAAAGAGACAAAAAUUCAAAACCCCAAAACCCACACAGGCAUGUGGGUAAGUGACAAGGGCGUGUGGAGACUAGAGCUAUCACACACUGGCGUGUGGGAUUGAAAAAUAUGAAAUAAAUUACUCCACUCAAUUUUCCAACAACCAUACUAUACUACCAAACCAAAAAAAAGGCUUGAAGUUUUGAAUAGGGGUGAAUCUAAAAAAGAAAAUUAGAAGAAUUAGAAUUAAAUUAUAAAAUUUUGAGAAGUUAAAAUAUAAUUUUAUCAUAUAUUAAUUUAUUAUUUUUUAAAGGGUCCUAAUAUAAUUUUUUCCCAUUUUGGUUGGGCCAAUACCCCUGCCUGCGUCUUUAAAUUUGCUCCAACCCUAAACCCAAUAUUCGAUUUGGAUUAACAACAAUAUAUAGGUUAGUAUUUGUGGGAGUUUGACGAAUAAAAAUUUCUUUUUUAGAGGUUUAAAUUAUAAAUUUUUGAAAGAUUAAAAUAAAUUUGUAUUUUUUUAUUUACAAAAUAUAAAAAGAAAAAACAUGUUUAGACAAGCCAAGAGACCUUUGGGAUCAUACGGGUGAUUUUGAGAUGUUAAUGGUUAUUUUGGUGGAGAGGGUAAAAAAGAAACAAAUGAUUCAUUAUAUAUAAUAUAAUUAUGAAAUUCAAGCCAUAUAUUGUAUGUUUCAUCCAUAAAAAUUUCAUGGAAGGUCCAAAGGUAAUUAAAUGACUUGUAGGCUUGCUGAAUUUCUUUGAAAGGCCCAAAGGCAAUUUAACAUUCACAAAAUAAUCUCUAAACACUGUAAAGACAAAUCAAAUCCACAGUAGCAUAAGAGUUGAUUAAGCUAAGCAUUGGCAAAUAUUACUUUGAUUUUGCAUGCAAUAUUGACAAAACCCCCUCCUACAUUAGAAAAACAACAUAAUCCAUGGAACAUUGAUAGACCAAUACAAAUUUAUUCGAGAAAAAAGUCUCUUUGUUUUGUAGAACAUGAUAGUAAAGAUGUGGAGUUUCGUUCUUCUUAUUGGCCUCCUUUAGUUUUCCUUGAUCAACAACCACUAGCCAAAAACACAAUUAGAUUAGAUUAUGAAUGAUACUUUCAACUAUGACAAUAUUAAAUACAAACCACUCUAAAUAACUUUAAAUAAAUGGAAAGCAGCAAAUUACCUGACCAGGCAAGCUAGUUUAAUUAAGACCAUUGUGUUAUACUUGUCUCUGAAUUGAAAAAUUUAGAAGGAAAUAAAGAGAAAGACUUAGAAAAUACUUGAAAACAGAUAAAACUUAUAUGUCAUUUAAAAUAAAAAAAAAUUCUAUUUAAGCCAUUUAAAAUUUUUAAGAUUUUUAAAAUUUUAAAAUGAGAAAAGUAAAAUUGUACUUUGGCACCCAAAAAUGAUAAAACUUUGAUUUAAUUCUUUAGAAAUUAUAAAAAAUAUAGGCUAUUAAAAUGGUGAAAUUACAUUUUUACUAUAGUAAAAAUUACAAUUUAAUUUCACCCCCUAAAAGGAUUUUCUGGCUUUGCNNNNNNNNNNNNNNNNNNNNNNNNNNNNNNNNNNNNNNNNNNNNNNNNNNNNNNNNNNNNNNNNNNNNNNNNNNNNNNNNNNNNNNNNNNNNNNNNNNNNAAGAUUAAAAUAAAAUUAUACCGUAAAUGGAAAAAGAAACUAAGAAAAUCCAAUCUAACAAGGAAAAUAACUUGAUGUCCAAAAGCUACCAUAAAUCGUAAUUCAUGGGAAGGCUUGUUGCUUAUUUUAUUGGUUUCCAUUUUGAUUUUGCAAAAGAAGUUUGAAUUUUGAAGAGAGCCUACUACGUGAGAGCAAAAGAAAAAAAAUAGUUUAUAUGAUUAAAUUCCAGAAUAGAUGAAAAAUGUUGAAUAAAAGAUAAAAUUAAGUGUGAAUUAAUAACCACAAUCUUUACUCACCAUCUCUGUUAACAAUGUUGGAUGUUGUUUACCAACCUUUGUUUGAUUUUCUUCAGCUCAACCACAACAUCUGCAAUUUCUAUCGCUCCUUUAGGCAAUGAACUUUCCAUCCAAUGCCUUAUAGUCUCUUCUUCAACAAAAACAUUAUCAGUUGGCUUUUUCUUUGUGAAAGUUUCUAUAAGGACGAUNNNNNNNNNNNNNNNNNNNNNNNNNNNNNNNNNNNNNNNNNNNNNNNNNNNNNNNNNNNNNNNNNNNNNNNNNNNNNNNNNNNNNNNNNNNNNNNNNNNNNNNNNNNNNNNNNNNNNNNNNNNNNNNNNNNNNNNNNNNNNNNNNNNNNNNNNNNNNNNNNNNNNNNNNNNNNNNNNNNNNNNNNNNNNNNNNNNNNNNNNNNNNNNNNNNNNNNNNNNNNNNNNNNNNNNNNNNNNNNNNNNNNNNNNNNNNNNNNNNNNNNNNNNNNNNNNNNNNNNNNNNNNNNNNNNNNNNNNNNNNNNNNNNNNNNNNNNNNNNNNNNNNNNNNNNNNNNNNNNNNNNNNNNNNNNNNNNNNNNNNNNNNNNNNNNNNNNNNNNNNNNNNNNNNNNNNNNNNNUUAUGUCGACCCUUUGUAUGAUAUCAAGGAAACAAUUUUCAGAAUGUAACCAUUUCUCAAGGUUUCCAUUAGACAUGUAAUCAAGCACCAAGGCUUUGAAGUCAACACUUGAGCUGCAAGUAAUGACCUUCACAAUAUUACGAUGAACUAUAUUACGCAUAGCAUCACAUUCAAUGUCAAAACUCCUAAAUGCUCCCUCUAUUUGCAAAUUGAAAACUUUUAUUGCAACUUCCAUUCCAUCUGAAAGCCUCCCUUUAUAUACAUAUCCAAAACUCCCUGAACCAAGCAUAUUGCUUUCCUCAAAUCCAUUAGUUGCUCGUGAAAGUUCAGCAUGUGAAAUUCUUCUCGGUGUCUUCAAAGACAACAAAUCAUCUUUAAUUGGUAGAGCUGUACGCCUUCUUUGGCAUCUUCUAUACAUAAUAGUUAAGACUAUUAGUACUACGACAAUGCCAAUUGUCGGUAAACCAAUAUAAUCAUUUGGGAGUUUUUGUGGAGGUCGUUUUUUACAAGGUGGGACUAGCAAUCUAGGUGGACCACAAAGUGCAUAAUUCUUCAUGAAUGAUGUGCUAGAAAAGUUUGAAAAACAUCCUUUGCUAGGAAUUUCCCCUUCAAGUCUAUUGAAAGACACNNNNNNNNNNNNNNNNNNNNNNNNNNNNNNNNNNNNNNNNNNNNNNNNNNNNNNNNNNNNNNNNNNNNNNNNNNNNNNNNNNNNNNNNNNNNNNNNNNNNNNNNNNNNNNNNNNNNNNNNNNNNNNNNNNNNNNNNNNNNNNNNNNNNNNNNNNNNNNNNNNNNNNNNNNNNNNNNNNNNNNNNNNNNNNNNNNNNNNNNNNNNNNNNNNNNNNNNNNNNNNNNNNNNNNNNNNNNNNNNNNNNNNNNNNNNNNNNNNNNNNNNNNNNNNNNNNNNNNNNNNNNNNNNNNNNNNNNNNNNNNNNNNNNNNNNNNNNNNNNNNNNNNNNNNNNNNNNNNNNNNNNNNNNNNNNNNNNNNNNNNNNNNNNNNNNNNNNNNNNNNNNNNNNNCCAAACAAGAGGGUAUGGAUCCAUGCAGCUUAUUCAACCCUAAAUACAUCUCGUAUAGUCUCUCCAAAUCACAUAGGCUUUCUAAGAUGGGCCCUUCUAAUUUAUUAGAGGAAAGAUCUAGAGCCUGGAGAUUUCGCAGUCCUCCUAUUGAUGCUGGAAUGAAUCCACUUAAUUUAUUAUGGCAAAGUUGUAAAAGCAAUAGGUUGGUUAAGUUACCUAUUUCCAUAGGAAUAAAGCCUGUAAGCUCACACUUUUUGGCAUGAAAGUAUUGAAGGGAUUUUGAAAGGUUCCCGAUAUAAGUAGGAAGAACGCCACUCAAUGGAUUUCCUGAAACUUAUAUGGUUUUCAAAUUCUUACAAUUCGUCAAAGAAGAAAGAAAGCUCCACUCAUGAUCAGCAGCAGAUCCUGUGAUCAAAUUAUUGUCAGGGAUAUGGAGCACUUCAAGGUGUUUUAAGCUGCCAAGCAUUUUAGGGAUUGGGCCAGAGAAUAAGUUUUGUGACAAGGAUAGAAUCUUAAGCAUGGAAGCAUUGGAGAUAGAGUUGAGAAUGUUUCCGCUGAGUUUAUUUCCCCACAAUAAAAGAAUCUCAAGCUUUGGAGCUUUGGAGAUGGGUGGUAAAUUACCUGUAAAAUAGCAUCUUUUAGUAUACAUAUUCAUUGAAUACCAAAUUCACAAAAUAUAUAAUACAUUAAAAUAAAAACUGUAAAACUUUAAAUCAAUUAAGAAUAAAAUUUUGGCAUAGAAUUAAAAAUACUUGAUGGAAUCUGACCUGCACACAUAGUCGAAAAUUGAAGUGAAAAUCAUACCUUCUAAACUGUUGAAGUAAAAAUACUUUAAGCAUUUUUUUUCCAUGAAAUUAACUAUUUUGCCUUGAAUGAAAUAAAAUGCUCUUACUUUUGUUAUCUAUUACAAACCAAACUCUUUUAUGAAAAAAAAUAUUUUAAAUUAAAGAAAUAAAGAAAAUUCAAUAUCUUCUAAAUCAAUUUUUAGAUUUUGUACAGAUGAUUUAAUGAUGAUAAAAAAAUUAUUAGCACUAUUUCUGAAUUAACAAAAAAUAGUGAUAUAUUUUAAUUAUAUUUAUUAUUUAUUAGUUUUAAUAAUGUUUUUUUUAAUUAUAUGAAGUAAAAUUAUAUUGUCUACUAAAUAUGAUACAUAUACUUUAAUUAUAACUUCAAAAUUUAUUAUAUAAAUUAAUAUAUUUUAAUUAUAUUCAACCAUUUUAAUAACAAAAUAAAAAAAACUAAUUAGAAUAAUUUAUUUUUUAAAGUUUAAUGGAAAUUAAAAAAUUAAAAAUAAAUCAAUUCAUAUAAAUCUUAUUGUUUAUUAUCAGAUUAAAAUGGUAAAAGUAUAUGACAUAAAUAGAAGAAACAAAUUCAACACAACGUUUUUGGAGUAUGGAAAUUAUUAAAGUGAAAAACAUACCUUCUAAACUGUUGUUAAAUAGUACUAUUUCUUCGAGCGUAGUUAAAUUAAAAAUACUUGAUGGAAUCUGACCUGCACACAUAGUCGAAAAUUGAAGUGAAAAACAUACCUUUUAAACUGUUCAACUAAAAAUACUUUAAGCAUUUUUUUUACAUCAAAUUAACUAUUUUGCCUUGAUUGAAAUAAAAUGCUGUUACUUUUGUUAUCUAUUAGAAAUCAAACUCUUUUGUGAAAAAAAUAUUACCAGAUAAUUCAUUCCAACCCAGGUAAAGCCUUUCAAGCUUGGGAAGAUAUUGACACAUAUCAUUAGGCAAAUUACCAGAGAGGCUAUUGUUGGAGAGAUCAAUGGUCUUCAGAGAAGAAAUGUUGAAGAUCGAAGUUGGAAUCUGACCUGUAAGGCCUUUAAUUGCUUUAAUACUAAGCAGCUCCAAACCAAGAAGGUUACCGAAUUCCUUCGGAAUUUGACCUACACACAUAGUCGAAAAAUCAAAGUGUCAAACUACCUAUUUUGUUAGCAUAAGUCAAAGAGGUUUUCUUUUCUGUUCUACAGUAAUUUGGAGAUGUUAGAUUUUAAUAUAUUUCAGCAUAUGUUUUUCAUCAAAUGAAAUAAAAAGUUUUUCCUUUUGUUAUCUAUUACAAAUCAAGCUCUUUUAUAAAAAAAAUACUUUAAAUUCAAGAAAUCAAGGAAAUUGAUUACCUUCUAAAUUAUUAAACCCCAAACGUAAUUCCUGGAGUCGUGUUAGAUUUCCAAUACUUCUUGGAAUGAUCCCCAUAAAUUGAUUAUGGGACAACCACAAAUUUUUAAGGUUGUUGCAUUUGCCCAUAUUUGACGGAAUGUUACCAGAUAAUUCAUUCCGACCCAGGUAAAGCCCUUCAAGCUUGGGAAGACGUUGACACAUAUCAUUAGGCAAACUACCUGAUAGGCUAUUCCUAGAGAGAGCAAUAGUCUUGAGAGAAGAAAUGUUGAAGAUCGAAGUCGGAAUCUGACCUGUAAGGCCUUUAAUUGCUUGAAUACUAAGCAUUUCCAAACUAAAAAGAUUACCGAUUUCUUCAGGAAUUUGACCUGCAGACAUAGUCGAAACAUCAAGGUGUUAAAUUACCUAUUUUGUUAGUGUAAAUCAAAUAGGCUUUUUAUUUUUUUCGUUAUGAAAUAAUAAGGAUAUGUUAGAUUCUAAUCAUAUUUAAGUAUAUAUUAGUUCUUGAAAGAAAGAGUUCUUAGUAUUUAUAUUGCAAAUAUUUUUUUUAAAAUUUUAAAUGGGGGGGGGGGCAAAUGUGUUUAAACUAAAGACAUCAAGAAAAAGGCAUACCUUCUAGGUUAUUUAACCCCAAGUCUAAUUGUUUAAGUUGUGUCAAAUUCCCAAUGCUUUUGGGAAUGAUCCCACUAAAUUGAUUAAUAGACAAUUCCAAAAUUUGAAGGUUGCAGCAUUUGUCUAUACUUGAUGGAAUAGAACUUGAUAAUUCAUUUCUACUCAAGUAAAGCUCUUUAAGGUUGGGAAGAUGGACACACAGAUCAUCGGGCAAGCCACCAGAAAGACUAUUAUCACGAAAAUGAAUCCUUUUCAAAGAAGAAAUGUUAAAGAUGGAAGAUGGAACCUGGCCAGAUAAUUGAUUGAAUCCCAAGGUCAAGAUCUCUAGAUUGGACAUAUUGACAAGUGUUUGAGGGAUUGUGCCUGUGAAGUUAUUAUUACUCAUUUCCAACCUUUGAACUCUGUGCAAGUUCUCAAGCCAUGAUGGAAUUUCCCCAUUAAGACGGUUGUAGCUUAAUCGAAUGAUCCUCAAACGAUGCAAUUGGCCCAGUUCUUUAGGCAGAUGGCCACAGAAAUUGUUGUUGCUCAAAUCGAGAGAAAAUAGAAAUGAAAGAUUUCCAAGGUGUGGAGGGAUAGUACCCCUAAGAUUCAUGUUUGUAAGAUUCAAAGCUACAACUCUUUCAUGGAUGAUGCCACAAGAAACACCAACCCACUUACAAACAGAGGUAGAGUUCGUCCAAUUGUUUGCCAACACAUUUUGAGGAUCGACAAUGCAAUCUUUAAACUCAAAGAGUGCAAACUGAUCGGAGUUGAGAUUCCGGACUGUCAUAGCCAAAGAAACAAUAGAACAUUGUAUGAAUAAAAGUGAAAGAAGAUGAAAGCAAGUGUUGUAGUUCAUGAUUGCAAGACGAAAUAAGCCAGGAAAAGAAAAAGUAGGAAAAGGGAAGUUGAAUUGAUGAAGAAAUAGCCAGCCAACAUGCUUAAAUAGGCUUCAACCCUUGCACACUUCUCAUACAUAAAGUUCACUGCCAUUACAACAAGAAAACUCAUAUCUCCAUUCAUACCUAUCCAUACUUUAUUUGACUAACUUUUCCCUAACAAGUGUUCAGUAAGGAGACAAAUCACUUCGGAGCUAUUCACCGACUUCUCCAACCUUGGUUUCAAACUCCUAUCCCAUCAAUUCACUGUAAUCGAAACGAUAUACACGAGUCUUUCGGCUUAUAUUUUUAAAAUGUAUUUAAAUGAUUUUUUAUUAAUUUUAUUUGUUUAUAUCUAAAUCAAAUAUUAAAAUUUUUAUUUGAUACGGAUUUAAAUCGUAUUAUUUUAUCCUUGUAUCGAAAAAAAUUAAAUAUAGUAAAUUCUUGAAUUUUGUAAUAUAAGGGCUAUGUAUGCUUUUUAUCAUAACAACGUCUGGACAAUCUAGACAUUUUAACUUGCUACUUCUCUUUUUAAUUUAAUUUUUGUUACUUUUCAUACUAUUUUUUGAGAAAUCCAAAAAUUUCAGUCUGAAUUUUUUUUUAUUGCCACGUCUAUCUCCCGGGUAAGUCCGUGGUUAGGCAGCACACUUUGGGGGCAGGAUUGUAAUUUUAAUUCUAUCCGACUCAUUUUACUAUUUAGAAAUAUAAAAGUAAUGUUAUAUUAAAUUUUAUAAUUUUAAUUUUAAUUUUAAUUUUAAUUUUUAAACAAUAAAACGAGUCAUUUGUAUUUCCCUAGCUAAAUUGAAUCAAGAGUGAAAUUUUUUUUAAUCAUAAUUUACUAUUAUUUUAAUUAAUAAAAUUUUAACCUACUGCAACUAGUAGUUGCAGAAAAAAUGUCAUUCCUUUAGAAAAAUGAGAACUUAUGACAAAAUUGGAAAAUCCCAAUAAUAUUAUUAGAGUAAAACCUAUGAUCUAUCUAAACAAGAUAUAGAAGAAUUUGAUAUACAAAUUAAGGUUAGAAUUCAUGCGAAAAAAAAGAAGAAGAAGCUAGUAUGGUCAUUAAUUAUAAAGAUUAAAUCAAAAUAUUAUUUUUUAUAGUUACUUGAAUUAAUCAGGCUAAACAAACAAAAUAUUUUAGUAAAUUUGACUAUAAAUCAAGAUUCAACAAAUCAUGCUAACAGAAAAGUUCAAACUUUUAACGGCUUUUAGUGCACCCAAUGGAUAUUACCAAUGAAAAGUGAUGUCAUUUCAAUUAUGUGAUGCACCACAAAUCUUCCAAAGACAAAUAGAUUUUAUCUUUAAUAAAUAUAAAAAAAUACUAUGUAGUUUACAUAGAUGAUAUUUUGAUAUUUUCAGAUACACUAGAAUUACAUAAGAAACAUUUAAAUAUUAUUUCUUAAGAAUUCAUAAAAUAUAGAAUCAUAUUAAACCCUAAAAAUAUAGAGUUAGAAAAAACAGAGAGAAUUUUUACAAUAGUGGAAAUAAAAAAUUGUCCUCAAAAGAUUGAGGAAAAAAAGAACUUCCGACAAUUUGUAAUAUAUUCCUCCCAAAUUUUCAGUUUCAAUUUUAUUACAGAAAUUUCUUUGCCGACAAUAAGAAAAGAGCAUAUUCACAUUUUCGUCGCAAUUUCAACUAACACCCAAUCUCUUUCCCACUUUCCUUUUUCGGCCAAUUUCAAACGUAGCUGUUUUUCGAUUUUUCCUCUUGAUUUCAUUAAUAAAAUGAUCAAUCUAUUUGUUUUUUAAAUAUAUGAUUUUAUUAAUAUUUUUUAAUUAUAAUAUAAGAGUUGUUGUUUAUUUAUAGUUUUAUUACAUUAUUUACUCUCUUUUUUCUAUCAAGUUUUUUAAAUUACAAUAUAAGACUUAUUUUAUCAAAUUGUAGCUUAUCGAGUAUUCAUCUAUCUUAAUAAUAACUUGAGUUCCAAUCAUUAUCAUACCAGAAAGAGUUCCAUUUAUUCUUUCUCGUAAAUUUUAUAAAAAAUAUAUAUUUUAUUAUAAUACUAUAUGUGUUAGGAAUAAUAUUUUAUUUUGGAUGCCCAUAAUUUUCAAAGUUGUAACCUCUAAUGUAGUAACCUCAAUGAAAUUAUGAGGCUUUUAUAUUGUCAUAAUGUAAUCAAGCCUGUAUUUAUUCUUUGUAACUUAAACAGAGGCAUAUUUUCUAUUAUAUUGAUAUUUUCUAUAGAGAUAUAUACACAAGGAAUCAAAUAAAAAGUUAUUCACCUUUCUAUUAUAUUGAUAUUUUCUAUUUGAUUUGUUCUUUUCUUUCACUAUUCCAUAAUAUAUUAUCAGUACGAUUUUAAUUAAGAGUAAGAUGUUAUUAGAUUGUGUCAAAAUUUUGUUGGACUCCUAAGUAUUGGAAUUUAAUUGUUUAGGUUAAGAAUCAUUAGAAUCAAUGGCUACUUGAGAUAUGCUUGAGGAUGAUCUCAUUCUCUUCAUCACAAAGGUGGAGGUUAGAAAAUCUUUAUGUUUAAACAUUUAUAGCUUCAAAGUUAUUUUAACCUCUUAUUGAGACCUUAUAAUAUUUUGUAAUUUUUUGUCUUAUGGUAUAUAAAAAAAUAUCUAACCAUAGUGAUUGAUUAGUAAUAAGAAUUUGUUAUUUGUUAUGUUUAAUAUAUAUUUUAUUUAUAUUUAUUCAUUUUAUUUUUAUAUGAGUAAAUGAAGUGUUUGAAGAUUCGAAAUUUUUAUCUUCCAUGUUAAAAAUAAGUGCAAAAGUGUAUAUUAUUUAAAAUAAAUUACGCAUUAAUGUUAUAUGAUAAAAUCAUUACAUGUUCGGAAGAACUAAUAUUGCAUCAAACUGUAAAAAGCUCUUGAAGAGUUAAUAUUUUACCUCCUUGUGAUGUAAAAUCUUAUAAAAUAUGAUAUUUUUUUUCAAAUCAAGAAUAUAUAUGUUGAAGGAAAUCUUUAUGUAUUUUACAUUAAAACCAUGGAUAAAAAUGACAUGAGAUACUCAUGUAUUUGUAUAUAAAUAUUCCUUGAAGGAAUACACUUCACUUGUGUGAUUGACAUAUGAGCUCAUGUAUCACAUGUAUACAACCCAAAGUUUACAGUAUUAUUUCUUGAAAUUAUUUGUGUCGAAACCAUUUUUGAUAAGACGGGAUCGACUUGGAUUUUGUAAAAUAAAAAUGGGAGUCGCCACCGAUCUUUUAUUGAGAUGUGAUCGGAUCACCUUAAAAAUGAUUUUGGUAUACGAGUUUUAGAAAAAUAGAUUCGGGAGUCAGUUACGUACGAGGAAGGAUUGGCACCCUCGUAAUGCCCAAAAUUGGUACCGAAUUGAUUAUUAAAUGUCUUAAGGUCAAAUGCCAAAAAAAAUGAUUCCCCUUUUAAAUUUUUAUUCAAAUUUAUUAUUUUGAAAACUAAAAAUUUUGGUCAUCUUGUUUCAAUGAAGAAAUUGAAACCCCGUAAGUUAGGGUACAAUUCUUUGAAGUUCCGAUGACAAUUUACGAACUUGCUUUUAUUAAAAACCUCGUCUCGAGAUAACAAAAUGCCAUAUCCAAUGAGUUAGGACACAACACUUUGAAUUCUCGAGAUAAGAUUUGAUUUGAAAUUUUACGUUUGGAUUGAAAAAAGGAUACCCGGGUACUUAAAUUCAACGAGGAAAAUUGAAGCCCACUAAGUUAGGGCACAAUUCUCUUUGAAAAUCUAAGAUACCGAGUAUUGCUUUAUUUUAUAAAUCCUUGAAUGAAAAAAUGAAAGGUGAUUAAAUGACAAUAUGCAACGCGAAAGGAUAAUUUGUAAAUAAAUCACACAUUAAUCAAAUGAGCGGUAGAUAUAUACAAGCAAGUAAUACACAUAGCAACAAUAAUUUCAUGUAAAUACCCACAUUGGCUAAUAAGAGGAAACUAAUUAAAAUCAAGCAAUUUUCCAUAAACACUAGCGAAAUAUACAAAUUUUAAUAUAAUUUAAGAAAUAAAUAUAAUAUUUAUAAAUUAAAAUAUUAAAAUAAAUUUAAAUAAAUUAACAAUAUUGAAAUAAGUUGAAACAAAUUAAAGAUGUUAAAAUAUUUGAAAGAGAUAAAAUAUCUAUAUAAUAAUACGAAACUAAUAAUAGAAUAUGUAUGUACUCGUGUAUAUUAAGAUUUAUGUAUAUGUAUUUACAAAAUAAAAAAAAAUGUAUAAGUAUGAUAUAUAAGUAAAUUAUGAAAAUGUGUAUAUGCAUGUAUUAAAAUAUGUAUAUAUUUAUAAGUAUAUAUGUAUAUAAAAAAUGAAAUAUGCAAAAAAUGUAUUUACAAUAAUUUUAAAAAAAAAUGUACGUAUAUGUACAUUAUAGAAAAUGUAUGUAUAUACAUAUGGAUUAUAAAGUGUGGAAAAUGUAUAUAUAUUAUAAAAUGUAUAUGUAUAUAUACAUAUGAAAAUUAAAGAAAUAUGUAUUUAGAUAUAUAUAUAAAUACAUAUAUAAAUUGUAUAAUAUAAAAAAAUGUAUGUAUAUAUUAAUUAUAUAAAAAAAUAUGUACGUAUAUUUCAAAAAUGUACGCAUAAAUAUAGUUAUAAUAAUAUUAAUAAAUAAUAAUACAAUAAUAAUGAUGCAAUAUAACAGUAUUAACAAUAUAUUAAAAUACUUAAAAAUCCAAAAAAAACCAGAUUAAGGAUUAAAAGUGGAAAACACAAAAAAGGACCAAAUCACAACGCGCGCAACAAGAAGAGGACCCAAAGGGAAAUAUCCCCACGCUAAUCCCACAGCGUCGUUCUAGUGAGACCUAUGCGCAUGGUCUUUGGGUCAAAUUGAAACAGGAGAGAAAUUUUGUGGCCAAAAUUGCAAAUAUGUGAAAAAACUUCAUUGAAAAUGACACAAAAGCUAGGGACCGAUUACGCAAAUAUCCCCGCCCGUUAAAACACGCGGGUCACCUAGGUGGGUUGGGUCACACUCGCGGGUAUAGGCUUAUACAACGCUAUUUUGGGGCCACUAAAAUAGGCCUAAAACGACGCCGUUUCAUGCCUGUUAUAAAAAUCAAAAUUUCCCUAAAGAAUUCAUCUUUCUGCCAAUUUUUUAAAAACGAACAACCCUAGCUUUCUCUGCUAGGGUUUCUAAUUUUCCUAUAGCCGCUGCCGCCGCUAGGCCGUUCCAAGGGCCCCGAACCCUGCCCGAUUUUCAACGGCGACGGAGCAGACAGAGAUUCAACACUUCAGGUAAUUUCUUUUUUUUAAUUGAUUUUUUCUUUACACACAACGAAUAAAAGAUAAAUAAUAAAAAGAAAUAGAGACAUCAGAAGGGAAAAGAAGAAGAAAAAAAAUCUUAAAAACUCACUGCUAUCUUUUUUUUUUGAUCUUUUGAAUCAAUUUUCGUAUUCCUUUACACUGAUCUUUUUUCUUACACUGUUUUUCUUUUUCUAUAAUUUUUACAAUCUUUUCAUUAUCCUAGCCUUCUCUUGCGGUUCGAUAUUUUGUGGUAGCAUACUGAAAGGAUCGUGUACAACGUGCAGGCGACAUGCUGCGAGAGAGGCGAUAACUACUAGAGGGAGAAUGUGCGGCGCUGGGGGAGAAGGGUUAGGGUUUCUGGAAAUAGUUUAGAAUUAGGUUAAUUAGGUUAGGCUAGAUUUGGGUUUGGAUUAAUGUAAUUGGGCCACAUACAUUAGGUCUUUACUUGUAAAUGGACUGGGCACUUUUAUAUUUGGGCCCGAGUUAAAAUUGGCUAUUACAGCUGCCCCUCUUUGCUUGUUAUUGUGUAAUGAAAACAUAGCAAAGACUUCAGAAAUAGCCAAUUUUUCCUGGUCGUGCUGGACCUUAGCACUCUUCCUCUUCAAGUAGCCUCAUUCCAACCUAUUGCAUCUUCAGAGGUAUAGGAAUUGGUGCUUCGAUCCACUCCACUACAACAUUGGGGAAAUAUAAUUAUUUUCUUCAAUCUGUUUCACUGCAACCUUCAGGGAAACCAUAUUGGGUUAUUUAGUCUGCUUCACUGCAACUUUAGGGAAAUAAGACUAAAUAUGAUCUACUCUCUGCAACUUUAGAGAGAUAAAGACUUGAUAUCUUCAAUCUGCUCCACUGCAACCUCAGGGAGAUAGGAUUUACUAUCUUCAGUCUUCUCCGCUGCAAUCAGGGAGAUAAGACCUGAUGCGAUCUACUCUACUGCCAUUUUAGAGUGAUAAGAUCCACCACUUUAAUUCACACCACUGUAACUUCAGGGAGGUAGGAUUAUUGGCUUUAAUCUACUCCACUGUAACUUUAGGGAGAUAAGAUUCGCCAUCCUAGAGCUGCCCCAUUGCAAUGUUAGGGAAGUAAGAUUCAUUGUUGUAGCUUCAAUCUAUUUAACUGUAAUGUCUAGGAAACAAGAUUCGUCGUCGUAGCUUCAAUAUGUUCCACUACACUGGCCGGGAAGUAAGAUUCACCGUUGUGGCUUCAAUCUAUUUAACUAUAAUACCACAGAGAUAGGAUUCGCUGCCCAUAGCUUUAAUCCGCUCCACUUCAGCUAAUCCAAGUCUUAACGCCAGGGAGAUAAGAUUUGCUACCCUCAGCUUUAAUCUGCUCCGCUGCAAUGCCAGGGAAGUAAGAUUCGCUGUUGUAGCUUCAAUCUAUUCCAUUCAACAUCAAGGCGAUAAGACUGGUGUCUUCGAUUUGCUUCGCUGCUAGUACAAGAAGACAAGAUCUGCUAUUUUCAACCUACUCCACUAUUACUCAGGGAGAUAAGGCUAGUGUCUUCGAUCUGCUUCGUUGUCAGUUUAGGAAGUCAAGAUCUGCUAUCUUCAUUCUGCUCCGCUGCAAACUCAGGGAGGCAAGGCUAGUGUCUUCAAUCUGCUUCGCUGCCAGUACAUGAAGGCAAGAUUUGCUAUCUUCAACCUACUCCACUGCUGCUCAGGGAGAUAAGGCUGAGGUCUUCGAUUUACUUCGCUGCCAAUACAGGAAGACAAGAUCUGCUAUUUUCAACCUACUCCACUAUUGCUCAAGGAGACAAGGCUGAGGUCUUCGAUCUAUUUCACUGUUAGUAUAGGAAGGCAAGAUCUGCUAUCUUCAAUCUACUCUAUUGCAAACCCAGGGAGGCAAGACUGGUGUCUUCGAUCUGCUUCGCGGUCAGCACAGGGAGGCAAGAUCUGCUAUCUUCAUUGAUCUAUUCUCUAGAAACAUGACUUGUAUAAUCCAUUUUAUGAACCUAAUUAUGCCUAGUGAUUAGGAUGACAUGAUUAGAAUGAACCAAAUGCUCCUAGCUAGACGUUUAUGAAUGACAUUUGAAUGAAUGCAGAAUGUCAUUUUUUUGAGAAUGAUCAUUCUUUAUCACUCAGGUUGUCAUUACUCAAAGUUUAUUAAGGAUUUAUCACUGACGUGCUACAAUGCCUUCUUGCUCAGCUGGCAUUUCUGAAUAAACACUUAAUCAAACUAGCCCCACCGUGAACUUCAAAGCUUAAUCUACUGGGACGCAAAAUUUGUAUCAUCUUUCUCCCGUUGUGACCCAAGGGUAGAAAAAUCUGACUUUUUAUCAAUCCUCUCUCAUCGGAAUUUCAAGGAUACAGAAUGUGAAACUCUUUGGUUCUUUACACCAUUCCCAGGGUGUCAUAUCAAAUGCUGAUGCACAAAUGAAGGAUUCUCUUCUCUAAGGAAACCCCUUUCUAUUGCUUGGUGAUUAUUGCUUGCUUGUUCAUUUAAGCCUCAUCACCAACCUUACAUCUUGUCAUUUUGUUCAAUCAAUGUUUUUGACAACAAAAUAUGAAGGGAUAACUUUAAUUUAGAUUUUUCCUUCUUAGAUUUCCAACCUUUAAACUUGGUGCAUUCUAAACAAUAGUCAUGUUUCAAGUUACCGUAUUAUUUAGAAACUUCUAGAGUAAUAUGCAAAACUUCCCUUAUGAAAGUUUUACCAGUCCAUUAAUCAUUAUUCUAAUGCAACACACUUGCAAAAAGAAUAAAACAAUGGAUAAAAUAGAAUUGAUUUGAGAGUAUAGCUUGAAAUGAAUAUAUUAUCAAGAAUAUUGAGAAUAAAAGAAGAAUUUACUUGUAUCUCAAAAAAGAAUGAAGUAUUCCAAGAAUAAGCAAUUCAAUAUAAAUAGUAUGAAGACUAGGUGCCCCAAAUAUCGCAACUUGAACUUCUCUGCACAAACUUGCUGAAGACCAUUUUGAGUUUAACAUGUGUUUAGGAGAUCUACAAUACUCUGUCGAUGCCCCAAGAUGUCGCAUACCCUUUCCUGCUGAUUCAGGUAUAUCAAGACCACCACAUGCCCCACUCUGGUCAAAAUCUGAGCUACUCUAAUCACUUCCUGCCCUAUUCUGAUCAAAAUUUGAGCCGCCUUUUUCGGGUUUUCAACUCAAAUCCCCAUUGGUCUAAGGCGCCUUUUACGAGUUUUCACCUUAGCCUCUCCAUUUUUACUUGUUCAUUUUUCAAUUUUCAUUUUCAUUCCCUUUUUUUUACAACUCAAAGUGCCCUUUGCGGGUUUUCACCUUGGUCCCUUCUCCUUCCUUAAGCAAAGUAUUUAUUAACUGAAUUUGAGUUUAUAGGACUUGGUAGGUUUUUACCAUCCAUCUCGCUCAAAAUCAAAACUCCUUUGGAAAAAGCCUUCUCUACAACAUAAGGUUCUUCCCAAUUUGGCAUCUGUUUCCCUCUAAAAUAUUUUUUGUAGAAGGAGGAUCUUCAACAUUAGGUCACCCUCGUGGAAUUCUCUAGGACGAACCUUUUGUUAUAGGCUCAUAUCAUUUAUUUCUAGUACAUCUGACUGUGAUGAAUAGCUUUUAGCUUUUUUCAUUCUAUCAGGUUCAACUGAUCACAUCGCGAUUGGAUCCGUUCUGCUUCAUCCAACUUGCUCAACCAAUACCCGGAGAGAAAGAAUUUUGACUUUAAUGGAAAAAACUGUGAUAAACUAAAGAGAGAGGCAUUGCCCCCGGUAGAAUUUUCAUUGCAUCAUUCAUGAUAUUAAUCUUGAACAUACUGUAAAUUUCUGAUAUCGUGCUGUUGUUCAGAUUGCAAUGACAAUGCUUAACCCGAGCAAAUCCUGGUAUGACCAUGCGAAGACAUCUUUGAAUUCUUGAAGUUACUCAAAAAUGUCUUGCUUUGUUUCGUCGGUCUUGCAUGUUCCCUCAAGGUCACAAUCUCCAUUGUCUCCGCAUGAGGUAAAUUUGUUUCUCUUCUUGCUUUACCAUCCUCAACAAGUCCGGAGAUAGGCUACAAUCUAUGUCAUUUUCAAAGUCAUGAAAUCCUUCUAAACACAUGUCUCGCUCAAAAAGAGAUUACAAGUCUGUAGUAACGUCAUUCAUGUCAUUGAUAUCCAAGGACCUAUUGUAAGUAUAAGAGAAUAUACAAAGAAUGCAUGAAUUUAUGAAUAAUUAUUUAUACAAUAUGAUUAUGAAUGAAAGAAUGAUGUGAAAGAAAAUCCAAAAGAAUGAAAGAAUAAUUAUUCGAAAAGAAUGAAAGAAUAUUGGCUCAAAAAAAUGAAUACAAAGAUGUAUUUUAUUAGAAUAAUGACGUUCAGACAUGAGCCUAUUUCAAAAAAGAAUUCUUAUUGCCUCUAGGCUAAAAGCAACAAGUGUCCUGAACAUUACUCUAAGUAUGCACUAAAUACUAUAGAGAUUUCUUCUACAAUUCAUUUAUUUAAAACACUCCCAUGUUUAUAAGGGUGGAUAUCUAACAAGGUCCCUUUUCAAUUGUGUCUUCAUAUCUGGCAUUGAUGUGAACGCCUCUCAACACUUCUUCAUAAAUCACAUUCACCACAUUAUCAACUGUGAUUGGGUAGUGAAUUUUCUGCACUAGAUGAAUCGUCAAAUUUGACAACGCCUAUACUGAUAAGCCUUUCAACCACUUUUUUAAAGGCAAUGCAAUUUUCUAUGGAAUGCCCUGUAAUUCCCGCAUGAUAAUCGUAUUGUGCACUUGCGUCGUACCAUUUGGGAUAUAAAGGCUGUGGGGCUUUUGAGUAGAAAGGGGAAACAACGUGCGCAUCGAAUAAGUUUUGAUAUAGCUCCUUAUACGGCAUUGGAAUUGGCGUGAACUAGAGCUUCUUAGUACCUUGCUUCACACCUGAUUCUUGUCUUAAUGACCCCUACUGAUUAGUAACCAUGUUUCUUGGCUGAUUCACCAUAAUCGAUUUACUGUAUGUAUUCACACUGUUCACCUCAUUUUCUUUUUCUUUUGAGGAUUGCCUUCUGUUAUUUCCUCCAGCAUCAAUUUUUCCACUCCUUAUGGCGCUUUCAAUUAUUUCACCAUUCAUGACUAUGUCAGAAAAACUUUUUGUGGCACUUCCUAACAUAUGUGUGAUGAACGGGGCUUUCAAUGUGUUUAUAAAAAGUAUUGACAUUUCUCUUUCCAAGAGCGGUGGCUGAACUUGGACGGCGACCUCCCUCUAUCUCUGUGCGUACUGCCUAAAACUUUCAUUCGACUUCUUUUCCAUGUUUUGCAAGGUGAUUCUAUUAGGACCCAUUUUUGCUACAUGACUAUAUUGCUUCAUAAAAGCCUGUGCCAAAUCUCUCUAGGAGCUAAUCUUGGUACGACUCAUUUGAUUGUACCAUUUAGACGCUGCCUCCGUGAGGCUAUCCUGGAAGCAAUGUAUUAAUAGUUUGUCAUUAUUAACAUACCCAGUCAUUCGCCUACAAAACAUGGUAACGUAGGCUUCAGGGCAACUGGUCCCAUUAUACUUCGCAAAUUCUGGUAUUUUAAACUUAUAAGGGAGCACCAAAUCUGGGACCAAACUCAAAUCCUUAGCAUCCAUCCCACGAUGACUCUUAGUGCUUUCCAUUGCCUUGAAUUUCUCUUCAAUCCAUUUCCACCUUUCUUUUAGCUGCUUUGGAAAUUCUUCUUUUAUUUUUUCUUUUUCAACUGCCUCAUCAAAAUCAGGGAUAACUGGAUUAACAGGAUUAUUCUCGGGACUACAGCCUGAUCUAGCUUGGAAAUUCAUUGAUCUUGAAGUAUCGGUCUGAAACUGCUGAUGCCUGAUUGUGACAGAAAAUUUACGCAGGUAAACUUCAGCUUGGGGCUGCGCAUGUGGAGGAGUAAAGCCUGGAGGAUACAGGGGUCCAUCAUCACCUUCCUCUUCAACAUUGGCCACAGGGCUCUUUCUCUUAUUCUUUUCGUCAGUCAAAAGUCGCGUUAACUGUGUCAUCAUGCUCCCUUGGGAUUCCAUCAUUUUGUCCAUCAUAUUCUGCUGAAUCUUCUCGAGCUGUUCUUUCAUUUGCUGCUGAAGUUGAUCCUGCAUUUCUUUUUGAAACUGUUCGAGCCUUUCCAAUCUUUGGUCUAUAUUUUUCAACUUUGCUCGUGUACCAUAAUUGAGGAAUGAUUUUAAUCAAGUAGAACUUUUUAAUAGUUUUUAAUGCAUAUGAUGCAAUGUAUGAAAUGAAUGCCUAAAGAUAUGUUGAUUCUAAUUCAACUACAUUUAGAAAACUUUACUAGAAAACAAACUUCUUUACAUAAAACGAAUGCAUGUACGGCCUUGCCCUCAUACUCCAAGAAACAACAUCGAUCUUUCUUUAUCCGAAUGUUAAGAUAAAUCUCAUGAAUUUCCAAUGGAUGCCACUACUAGCUCCUUUUUCUUGAUCCUGGUCACUAUCCAUCGUUUGCCCAUCCUUGUAAUGCUCAUCAGCUUCUUUAAGGAAGUUGGAAUGUUGGAAACUCUUAAAUAAUCAACUUGAAUCCUUGAACCACAAAGUAAAGUCAUGUAUUCCUCCAUCACCUUUCUUGUGUUUCUCAAAAUAUAUUCAUGACGCCAUGCACUCAAAACAAAAUGCGACAAGUCAAUAUCAGGUAUAAAAACAAAAAAAAAAAUACCUACUUAGGUAACUACUAGGGUUUGGUAUAGUUCUAUCUAGGGCAAGUUCCUAAGGUUCACUAUAUGAGAUUUGACUUCUAGGGAAAAGGUACCCAAACCAGCAGAUUCCUCGAUCCUCACCCGUUAUAGGCUCAUGCGAUCCGAGUUCGGUUCAGGGGAAUACAUUUCCCUAUGGCUACAUGGAGAUAAAAAUCUCACGAAGACAUAGGUACGGAUGUAUCCGGAAGCGAUCCACUAUCCUGCACGGAGGUAAAAAUCUCACGAAGGACUAGUUUCUCACUCCCACUUAGAGGGGUAAAAUUGACCAACCUAUGCAAUGCAAAAUGCAAAUUUACUAACAAACUCAGACCAAUCAAGCAAAUAUGCCAUGCUGAAAAAUAAUGAAUGAAAAGGGGAAAUCAUAAAUUUUAAAACAAAAUUUGAUUUUUCAACCAAAAGACAAAAAUUAAUCAAUUUACGGCUCGACUCUCUAACCAGUCCCCAGUGGAGUUCCCAAGCUGUCGAAACCAUUUUUGAUAAGACAGGAUCGACUUGGAUUUUGAAAAAUAAAAUGGGAGUCGCCGUCGAUCUUUUAUUGAGAUGUGAUCGAAUCACUUUAAAAAUGAUUUUGGUCUACGAGUUUCAGAAAAACAUAUUCGGGAGUCAGUUACGUACGAGAAAGGAUUGGCACCCUCGUAAUGCCCAAAAUUGGUACCAAAUUGAUUAUUAAAUGUCUUAAGGUCAAAUGUAGAAAAAAAUGAUUCCCCUUUUAAAUUUUUAUUCAAAUUUAUUAUUUUGAAAACUAAAAAUUUUGGUCAUCUUGUUUCAAUGAAGAAAUCGAAACCCCGUAAGUUAGGGUACAAUUCUGUGAAGUUCCAAUGACAAUUUACGAACUUGCUUUUGCUAAAAACCUCAUCUCGAGAUAACAAAAUGCCAUAUCCAAUGAGUUAGGACACAACAUUUUGAAUUCUCGAGAUAAGCUUUGAUUUGAAAUUUUACGUUUGGAUUGAAAAAAGGAUACCCGGGUACUUAAAUUCAACGAGGAAUAUUGAAGCCUAGUAAGUUAGGGCACAAUUCUCUUUGAAAAUCUAAUAUAUCGAGUAUUGCUUUAUUUUAUAAAUCCUUGAAUGAAAAAAUGAAAGGUGAUUAAAUGACAAUAUGCAACGCGAAAAGAUAAUUUGUAAAUAUAAUCAAAUGAGCGGUAGAUAUAUACAAGCAAGCAAUACACACAGCAACAAUAAUUUCAUGUAAAUACCCACAUUGGCUAAUAAGAGGAAACUAAUUAAAAUCAAGCAAUUUUCCAUAAACACUAACGAAAUAUACGAAUUUUAAUAUAAUUUAAGAAAUAAAUAUAAUAUUUAUAAAUUAAAAUAUUAAAAUAAAUUUAAAUAAAUUAACAAUAUUGAAAUAAGUUGAAACAAAUUAAAGAUGUUAAAAUAUUUGAAAGAGAUAAAAUAUCUAUAUAAUAAUACGAAACUAAUAAUAGAUUAUGUAUGUACUCAUGUGUAUAUUAAGAUUUAUGUAUAUGUAUUUACAAAAUAAAAAAAAUGUAUAAGUAUGAUAUAUAAGUAAAUUAUGAAAAUGUGUAUAUGCAUGUAUUAAAAUAUGUAUAUAUUUAUAAGUAUAUAUGUAUAUAAAAAUAAAAUAUGCAAAAAAUGUAUUUACAAUAAUUUUAAAAAAACGUACGUAUAUGUACAUUAUAGAAAAUGUAUUUAUAUACAUAUGGAUUAUAAAGUAUGGAAAAUGUAUAUAUAUUAUAAAAUGUAUAUGUAUAUAUACUUAUGAAAAUUAAAGAAAUAUGUAUUUAGAUAUAUAUAUAUAAAUACGUAUAUAAAUUGUAUAAUAUAAAAAAUGUAUGUAUAUAUAAAUUAUAUAAAAAAUAUGUACGUAUAUUUUAAAAAUGUAUGCAUAAAUAUGGUUAUAAUAAUAAUAUUAAUAAAUAAUAAUACAAUAAUAAUGAUGCAAUAUAACAGUAUUAAUAAUAUAUUAAAAUACUUAAAAAACCCAAAAAAAAACAUAUUAAGGAUUAAAUUGAAAAUAAAUGGAGUUUGGGGGCUGAAUUAAAAGUGGAAAACACAAAAAAGGACCAAAUCACAACGCGCACAACAAGAAGAGGGCCCAAAGGGAAAUAUCCCCACGCUAAUCCCACGGCGUCGUUCUAGUGAGACCUAUGCGUAUGGUCUUUGGGUCAAAUUGAAACAGGAGAGAAAUUUUGUGGCCAAAAUUGCAAAUAUGUGAAAAUAAAACUUCACUGAAAAUAACACAAAAGCGGGGGAACCAAUUGCGCAAAUAUCCCCACCAGCGAAAACACGCGGGUCACCUAGGCAGGUCAGGUCACACUUGCGAGUAUAGGCCUAUACGGCGCCGUUUUGGGGCCACUGAAACAGGCCUAAAACGACACCGUUUCAUGCCUAUUAUAAAAAUCAAAAUUUCCCUAAAGAAUUCAUUUUUUUGCCAAUUUUUAAAAAACUAACUAACCCUAGCUUUCUCUACUAGGGUUUCUAAUUUUCCUAUGGUCGCCGUCCCUGCUAGGCUAUUCCAGGGGCCUCGAACCCCGCCCGAUUUUCAACGGCGACGGAGCAGACAGAGAUUCAACACUUCAAGUAAUUUCUUUUUUUUAAUUGAUUUUUUCUUUACACACAACGAAUAAAAGAUAAAUAAUAAAAAGAAACAGAGAAAUCAGAAGAGAAAAGAAGAAGAAGAAAAUCUUAAAAACUCACUGCUAUCUUUUUUCUGAUCUUUUGAGUCAAUUUUCGUAUUCCUUUACACUGAUCCUUUUUCUUAGAUUUUUUUCUUUUUCUAUAAAUUUUGCAAUCUUUUCAUUAUCCUAGCCUUUUCUUGCGGUUUGGUAUUUUGUGGCAGGUACAUACUGAAAGGAUCGUGUACAACGUGCGGGCGACAUGCUGUGACAGAGGGGAUAACUGCUGGAGGGAGAAUGUGCGGUGCUGGGGGAGAAAGGUUAGGGUUUCUGGAAACAGUUUAGAAUUAGGUUAAUUGGGCUAGGCUAGAUUUGGGUUUGGUUUAAUGUAAUUGGGCCACAUACAUUAGGUCUUUACUUGUAAAUGGACUAGGUACUUUUUUUUUUGGGCCCGGGUUAAAAUUGGCUAUUACAAUUUGAUUCUACACAAUCUUUAUAGUAUGCAAUUUGUGCUAACAAUGUUGGUGCAUUAUAUCCUAAGCUUGAUUUUCGUAGUUUUAGCUAAGAUAAUAUUAAGUUGUCUAUGCCUAUAUAUGUUAUACAUAAUGGUUAGCAAAAUUAUGCCUUCAUUUAAUUGCUUAACCAUUAAUAUAAGAAUAACUUUAAAAUAAGCAUAUGAUUUUAUUUGCAUAGAGCCAACAUGUAAGAAACAUUUAUCCCAUGAGAAUUGGCUUUCAUUUAUAAGCUAAUAGGUUUCAUUUAUGACUGUUUGGAUGUAAAAAUAUCUAUUUUAUAUUCCACCAUAAUGCACUAAGAUGGACCAUCAAGUAUAAAGUUGAGAAAAUUUAGAAUUUUUAUUUGAUGGUGAAAGUUGAAAAGAGAUAUAUAUUUAAAAUUUUGAAAAAACUAGUCAUGUUGCAAAUUUUCUUAGUAUUAGAGGGAGACAAGUUGGAAAAAUAAGUAUAAUUAUGUCAUCACUUUUUGUGAUCCCUCACUAAUAUUAUGUGCACAAAGUUUGAAGGAAAAAAGUAUUUGCUAGACAUGUUUAGUGAUGCAAUUUAGAGAUUAUAUAUACUAGAUGAUACAUAUACCAGCUAAAAUGUUCCAAAUAAUUAUGAGUUCUAGAAGGACAAAGUGAUAAAAAUAAUUUUUGGGCACGCUAGAAGGAUGAAAACUAAUUGAUUCUAUAAAUAAAAAAUUCUUGAAAGAAAAGAGUAAGAAAUGAAGCUGGCCACACGUUAAAGGAGACGAGUACUCAUGAAGAGACCCAAGGCAUAACUUUUAAUAAAACCCCAAAAGAGGUUCAAUACAUGAAAUUAUGAAUAUAAUAAGAUAUCUCGAUUAGUUAUGUCAUAACUAAAGAUGAUGGAGUUGAUUAAAGGAAAUUGUUGUUAACAACGAUAAUCUAUGUAGAAUAUUUCAAUAUUAUGGGAGUAUUUUCAAUGAAAAUAUACUUGAAAGAAUUGAGAUAGGAAUAAUUCAUCAAAAUAAAUAGAUGUUUCUAUUAUAACUUAUGAAAUGUGUCUCUGUCAUGAAGUCCAAACAUCCGGCAGGUGUAAAGCCAAGUGGAGUAUAUGUUAGCAUAAUAGCUAAAAAAUACAAAUCAUAAUAUAUAGAAUUGACUUGUAAUACAAACAUUCACAAGACACUUGAUUUUGAUUAUAAAAAAUGAUUAAUUUGUGAUCUUAUCAAUUCAACAUACUUCGUAUAAUCAACGAAUUAUCAAUUAACCUCAUUUAACCAAUUUCCUUUAACAUAUUUCAAAUCAAAUUAAUAUGUUGAGCACGCCCUUAACCCUUUUUCUUGAUUCAUUGCAUAGUCUAUCUCCAAGUACCAUAAUCAUCAACAUUUCAAUAUAUAAAGUCAUAACACAAUGAAUCAUAGUUAGAAUUUUUUUUAUCCUAUUAACCAAGUAUGGAACAAAAAUAAAAACCUAAUUUGUCAAGCUCAUUCAAUCAGCUUAUAUUUUAUAAGAAGAGCCUGACUACAAAUCCUAUACAUGAUUUCAAAUUCGACUAUUUGUAUUUGAGAUUGAAUUUAAAAUUCAUGCUGAAAUUAUCAAAUUAACUCGCAAAGCUACUCAAGCUAAACAUUAAGGUACUUGAAUUCAAGUGGGUAGAUAUCACAAACUCUUUUAGCUUGUAAAACUAUUUCUAAGGGUCAGCCCAAAAUCAUGUUUGUGCCCAAAAUCUGGUAACAAAUAUUUAAUUGAGCCAUCGGCCUAAAACAAAAAAGGCUUAAAAGGUUGGCACUCGAACUAUCAAAGAUAAACACCACCAUACACUGCUCCUCGAAUCCGAUACAUAUAAUAACACCCUUUGCCAAUUUUGUUCUUCUCAUUUUCUUUAACCUCAAUUUGGAAGGUCCCCUUUCUCUCUUUAGUGCUUUCUAGGGUUUGGGUUUUAAGAAUCCUCAGAGAUGCAAUUCAUGGAUCCCACUAAGAAACAAAAGCUUGACGAAAAUGGUAUUAUUUCAGCAUUAUCGGAACCUGACCCAAUCACCAAACUAACCCCACAAGAUGGGCGCAAGCUAAUCAAACGAUUCACAUUCAAUCAACUCCUUGACAUCCUCCAAGAUGUCGUUUGUUGUCACCUUGAUGUUCUUUCCGCCGUACGCUCUAUUGCCGAUCAAGAUCCAUCUCAAAGGAAGCUCUUCAUCCGUGGGUUGGGUUGGAAUACUACAACCCAACCCAACCCACAUUAGUAUGCUACCAUGAGGUAAUUUCUAGUGAUUUCUGUCUGUAACAUUAGACAGAUUAACAGUUAAAUCGUUCAACUGACAGAUUUCAUUAAAGAAAGAAGUCAAUUGAUUUUUUUUUGGAAUCAUUGAGUACUCAAUUGGAGCACUUUUUUCAUAAAGAUUAAAUUAAUUUUUUAAUUUGUUAUCGCUGAGAGCUACAGUAAUAAAAAAUUUUGAGGUAAAAUUGGAAUAACGGCCCAAAAAUCUAAUACUUAAUUUGUAAAAUUUUAUCAUUAAUAAGUAUUUGUCUUAGUGGUUAAGUAUUUGAGUCGUGUUUAUAAAAUUAAUUUUUAAUUUUUGCGUGGGUCGGGUAGGUGGUUGAGUUUGAGUCCAUUUCGAACUCUGGAAAAAGGUGGUUGGUUAUCUGAGAUGGGGUUAGUGCUUAGUAGAUUUGGAUUUGGUUUAUUUUAAAAUUUAUUAAUCAAUUUGUUAAAAAAAUAAAUUAGUUUUUUCCUAUUUUUUGGCUCACCAUUCUUUCUUUUGUUUUUCUUUAUGCUUUCUUUUUCUUUUCUUUUUCUGUUACCUUUCAAAUCACGUCGAUUUGUUCCUAUUUUGCUUUUGAGUUUUUCUUUUCUUUCCUUUAUUACGCUCCCUCUACGAUCGGGUCUUAAUUCCUUAAUUAUUUUCUCUUUGUUGGCGUUUCUCAUUCGUAAGUGGGUUAGUUUCGUUUUGAUGUGUUUUUACGUGGUUAGUAAAAGAAAUGUGUUAAGUUUUGGAUUAUGGAGUUGAUCGUUUUUAAUCAAUUCUCCAGUAAGUUGACUCGUUUGCUGUUGUAAUGUGCUAGGGUAAGAGAUUAAUUCUGAUUUGGGCCUGUGUGGUGUGUAGAUUUCCCAUGUGAAUUCGUUUGAUAUUUUUAGGAUAAAUCAUUCUUUAAAUCGUAUUGCUGAUGUUUUAAUUUAUGCAUUUAGGAUCUGGUAGUCUUGUAGGUGUUUUCGCAUAAACAAUUCGAACCAUGUGUGUAACGAAAAACCCGACAACAACGAGCGACGAAAGCUAAAAAAUUGCACUGUCGAUGCCACACGGCCAUGUGACAAGCCGUGUGCUGGACCGUGUGCAACACACUAUCUGAGCUAGUUGAGCCAUGUGAAACAAGAAACUAAGAAAAUCCAAUCUAACAAAGAAAAUAACUUGAUGUCCAAAAGCUACCAUGAACCGUAAUUCAUGGGAAGGCUUGUUGCUCAUUUUAUUGGUUUCCAUUUUGACUUUUGCAAAAGAAGUUUGAAUUUUGAAGAGAGCCUAGUACGUGAGAGCAAAAGAAAGAAUUCUAUAAAGAUUUUGAAUUUUGAAUUUUGAAUUUUGAAGCAAAUUUUCAUUAAGAUUGAAGAUUUGUAAUUAAUUUCUUAGGAGAUUAUCACGAGUUCCUUAAUUUUUUCAGUUAUAUUGCCCUUUGGAUGUUUUUAUUUUUAAUCAUGAACUAAUUUUCUAAAUACGUAAGAGAGAUGAACCCUAUGAUAGAUUGUGACACCCCAAAGCCGACCGGGAUAGACCGACCCAAAUUCGAAGCAUUACAUUAGCAACCUAAGUGACUCACUAGCUAACGACCACCCAAAACACACCCCGACCUUAUAACACCUCAAUCUUAUUUAAUUAUUAGUUAUUUUAGAGAUUCUUAGCUUUGACAACUUCUCUCCACCACUUCUCUUACGCUCCUUCCAGGAUCUUGCUUUUUGUCUGUUGAAAACUCAAAUGAACAAAAUAAAGUGAAUUUAUGAGUUUUGUUUUCUUUUAAAAAUAUUUUUAAUAUUUUUGUGGAUAUCAAGAGAUACCAAAAAUUAUUUCAUUAAGAAAUUUUAAUUCACUCGAAAAGUUAGUGUUUUAUUUCAAGGGAUCAUAAUUAAUCAUUAGAUUUCUGAAUUUUAAAUUUUGAAUUUUUUGACAAUUGCGUAAUUAAUAAGUACCAAUUUUGAGUGUUGUAGGGCUAGUACAAUCUUCCUUACACAUAACCGACUCUUGAUCUAAUAAAUAUUUGUCCUUAUACUUUGAUCUAAAUAUUUUGAUCUAAUAAAUGUAAAAAAACCUUUUAAACAAAAUAAGGUUGAAAUAAUCUAUUUGUCUUUAUACUUUGAUAAAAUUUAAGAUUUAGUCUGUAUACCUAAAAGGUUAAAAAUUAAGUCUUCUUGUUUUUAUUUAAAAAUCUUAGUCCUAUCGUUAAUUUUUUUUUGUUAAAAUUUACCAACUUGACAUAUUAAUUAGGUUUCCCUUAUAUGUCGUGGUAUACGACNNNNNNNNNNNNNNNNNNNNNNNNNNNNNNNNNNNNNNNNNNNNNNNNNNNNNNNNNNNNNNNNNNNNNNNNNNNNNNNNNNNNNNNNNNNNNNNNNNNNNNNNNNNNNNNNNNNNNNNNNNNNNNNNNNUUGAAAUACAAGAACUAACAACAUAUGUUAAAAUAUUACUAGUAAAUUAUAUAUCUACAACAAGAAUUGUAAAAUUCUGCACCUUUCGUUAUAAUAUGAUUUAUUAAUUUUAAAUUUUUUACAGAAUAAUAUGCUUUAAACUAUUUUUUGUAUCACUUAUAAAAAUUAUAAUAAACUUACAAAAUGAUUUCAUCAUAUUUAAUUAUUAACGGGAAAAAAUGAUACCAUAUAUAUUUUGUAUAUAUUAAGAUUCCGAAUCAUUAAUUAUAUAUCUACACAUUAUAAUAAAUUCAUCUUUCAAAAUUUUCCUUAUAAUUAAAUCAUAAAUUACAUUUAUAAUAUUAAAAAUAUAUUAUAUCAUAAAUAUUCUUUCAAAUAUUUUUUAAUGUUUAAUAAUAAGUUAAUUUAUAAAAUAUUCUUUCAAGAAAUUAACGUGAUGAGAUCAUUAGGUGCUUGGAUUUGGUGAUGGGGGAUGAAGAGAAAAGGGAUGGAAGUGAAGAAAAAUGUUGAGAAAUGGAAAGGGUUAGCGAGGGAAGCCGCCAUGAAAGUUUAUUGGUUCUAUGGAUAUGAACCUUCAAGCUUUUGUGGAUGAUGUUACUCAAAGGUUGUUGCAAGUAAAUUUUAAAAAAAAUUAGGUAAAAAGAAAAAAAAUUAGGUAAAUUUUAAAAUUUUAAAAUUUUAUCAUUAAUAAGUAUUUGUCUUAGUGGUUAAGUAUUUGAGUCGUGUUUAUAAAAUUAAUUUUUAAUUUUUGCGUGGGUCGGGUAGGUGGUUGAGUUUGAGUCCAUUUCGAACUCUGGAAAAAGGUGGUUAGUUAUCUGAGAUGGGGUUAGUGCUUAGUAGAUUUGGAUUUGGUUUAUUUUAAAAUUUAUUAAUCAAUUUGUUAAAAAAUUAAAUUAGUUUUUUCCUAAUUUUUGGCUCACCAUUCUUUCUUUUGUUUUUCUUUAUGCUUUCUUUUUCUUUUCUUUUUCUGUUACCUUUCAAGUCACGUCGAUUUGUUCCUAUUUUACUUUUGAGUUUUUCUUUUCUUUCCUUUACGCUCCUCCCUCUACGAUCGGGUCUUAAUUCCUUAAUUAUUUUCUCUUUGUUGGCGUUGCUCAUUCGUAAGUGGGUUAGUAAAAGAAAUGUGUUAAUUUUUGGAUUAUGGAGUUGAUCGUUUUUAAUCAAUUCUCCAGUAAGUUGACUCGUUUGCUGUUGUUAUGUGCUAGGGUAAGAGAUUAAUUCUGAUUUGGGCCUGUGUGGUUGUGUAGAUUUUCCAUGUGAAUUCGUUUGAUAUUUUUAGGAUAAAUCAUUCUUUAAAUCGUAUUGCUACCAUCGCUAAUGUGAUGUUUUAAUUUAUGCAUUUAGGAUCUAGUAGUCUUGUAGGUGUUUUCGCAUAAAAAAUUCGAACCAUAUGUGUAACGAAAAACCUGAUAACAACGAGCGACGAAAGCUAAAAAAUUGCACUAUCGACGCCACAUGACCAUGUGACAAGCCGUGUGCUAGACCGUGUGCAACACAGGAUCUGGGCUAGUUGAGCCGUGUGGAACACACAGAUGUGUGUGAAGACGUGUGCCACGCCAUGUGGGCCACACGAGCUGGCCAUUUAGGCCGUAUGGGACCAAAAUUCUAAAUUUUUUCCUAGGGUUAUACAUAGUGUGUAUAUUUGUCUCUAAAUUGAAAAAUUCUAAACAACUCUAAAUAAAUGGAAAGCAGCAAAUUACCUGACGAGGCAAGCUAGGUCAAUUACGACCAUUGUGUUAUACUUGUCUCUGAAUUGAAAAUUUUAGAAGAAAAUAAAGAGAAAGAGUUAGAAAAUACUUGAAAAUAGUUAAAAUUUAUAUCUGAUUGAUUGGAUAAACUACAAUCACCCAUAAUAGACCUUGUACUUGACUUUUUGUUGAGGGAGAUUGACUCGUUUAGGAGAAGUCUUUUGAGUGUUGUUUGCUAGGCAAUCGGUGCUGCCCUCAACAACUAAUGGUAGUGUCCCCAUGUCGGGAUUUUAUCCCUAGCCUCUACGGAAUAAUCAUUGAGGAUAUGUGCGUAGGGAUUCAAACUACCAACCAAUGCAUUUGUAGCCUUUACCUUGCAACCAUCUCCAUGAACCCAUAGGGUUCUUAGCGGAAUCAAGAAACGAAACCCUAACGUGAGAACAUUACCAUUUGUUGAAGGCUUUGUUAAUAGGGUCAUACCUAGGGAAGUUGGCAGGGGUCCAACCCCCCUUAAAAUGAAAAAAAUUCCAUUUAGGCCCUUUAAAAUUUUUAAAAUUUUAAAUUAAUAAAAGUAAAAUUGUACUUUGGCCCCCAAAAAAUGAUAAAAUUUUGAUUUAAUCCUUUAAAAAUUAUAAAAUACAGACUAUUAAAAUGGUGAACUUGCAUUUUGACUAUCGUAAAAAUUACAAUUUAAUUUCACCCCCUAAAAAGAUUUUCUGGAUUUGCCUCUAAUAAAAUCUUUGGAAAAUGAUUAAAAUAAAAUUAUUCUGUAAAUGAAAAAAGAAACUAAGAAAAUCCAAUCUAACAAAGAAAAUAACUUGAUGUUCAAAAGCUACCAUGAACCGUAAUUCAUGGGAAGGCUUGUUGCUCAUUUUAUUAGUUUCCAUUUUGAUUUUGCAAAAGAAGUUUGAAUUUGGACGAGAGCCUAGUACGUGAGAGUAAAAGAAAGAAUUCUAUAAAGAUUUUGAAUUUUGACUUUUGAAGCAAAUUUUCAUUAAGAUUGAAGAUUCGUAAUUGAUUUCUUAGGAGAUUAUCACGAGUUCUUUAUUUUUUCCAGUUAUAUUGCCCUUUGGAUGUUUUUAUUUUUAAUCAUGAACUAAUUUUCUAAAUAUGUAAGAGAGAUGAACCUUAUGAUAGAUUGUAACACCCUAAAGCCGAAUGGGCCAGACCGACCCGAAUUCGAAGCAUUACAAUAGCCACCUAAGUGACUCACCAGCUAACGACCACCCAAGACACACCCCGACCUUAUAACACCUCAAUCUUAUCUAAUAAUUAGUUAUUUUAGAGAUUCUUAGCUUUGACAAGUUCUCUCCACCACUUCUCUUACGCUCCUUCCAGGAUCUUGCUUUUUGUCUGUUGAAAACUCAAAUGAACAAAAUAAAGUGAAUUUACGAGUUUUAUUUUUUUUUAAAAAUCCUUUUAAUAUUUUUGUGGAUAUCAAGAGAUACCAAAAAUUAUUUCACUAAGAAAUUUUAAUUCACUCGAAAAGUUAGUGUUUUAUUUCAAAGGAUGAUAAUUAAUCAUUAGAUUUCUCAAUUUUAAAUUUUGAAUUUUUUGACAAUUACGAAAUUAAUAAGUACCAAUUGAGUGUUGUAGGGAUAGUACAAUCUUCCUUACACAUAACCGACUCUUGAUCUAAUAAAUAUUUGUCCUUAUACUUUGAUCUAAAUAUUUUGAUCUAAUAAAUGUAAAAAACCUUUUAAACAAAAUAAGGUUGAAAUAAUCUAUUUGUCUUUAUACUUUGAUAAAAUUUGAGAUUUAGUCCUUAUACCUAAAAGGUUAAAAAUUAAGUCUUCUUGUUUUUAUUUAAAAAUCUUAGUCCUAUCGUUAAUUUUUUUGGUCAAAUUUAUCAACUUGACAUAUUAAUUAGGUUUUCCUUAUAUGUCGUGGUAUAUGACUAACACAAAAUAAACAAGUUGACAAGUUUUGACAAAAAAUAUCAAAGAUGAUAAUAAAUUAAUUAAAAUUUUUAAAUUGAAAAAGUAAGGAAUUAAAUUUAUAACUUUUAAAGUACAAAGAAUGAACUUAUUGAAAUACAAGAACUAACAACAUAUUUUAAAAUAUCACUAGUAAAUUAUAUAUCGACAACAAGAAUUGUAACCUCUUAUAUUAUAUUCUUGUAUCUAUUUUUCAUCUUUCAUUAUAAUAUGAUUUAUUAAUUUUAAUAUUUUUAUAGAAUAAUAUGCUUUAAAUUAUUUUUUGUAUCAUUUAUAAAAAUUAUAAUAAACUUACAAAAUGAUUUAAUGAUAUUUAAUUAUUAACGAAAAAAUUAUAUCAUAUAUAUUCGGUAUAUAUUAAGAUUCCGAAUCAUUAAUUAUAUAUCUACACAUUAUAAUAAAUUCAUCUUUCAAAAUUUUCCUUAUAAUUAAAGCAUAAAUUAUAUUUAUAAUAUUAUAAAUAUAUUAUAUCAUAAAUAUUCGUUCAAAUAUUUUUUUAAUUUUUAAUAAUAAGUUAAUUUAUAAUAUAUUCUUUCAAUAAUUUAAUGUGAUGAGAUCGUUAGGUGCUUGGAUUUGGUGAUGGGGGAUGAAGAGAAAAGGGAUGGAAGUGAAGAAAAAUGUUGAGAAAUGGAAAGGGUUAGCGAGGGAAGCGGACAUGAAAGUUGGUUCUAUGGAUAUGAACCUUCAAGCUUUUGUGGAUGAUGUUACUCAAGGUUGUUGUAAGUAAAUUUUAUAAAAAUUGAGGUAAAAUUAAAAAAUGUUAGAGCCUAAUUUGUCAUUAUGACUAAAAUGUAAAACCAAAAUUUUUUGAAAAUGAAAAAAAUGGAAAAUCACAAAUUCUGUCACUUAUGUUUGCUUAAAAUAUAGUUUUGGACACCAAUCUUUUGAAGUAAAUAUAUGGUCACCAAUAUUAUCCAUUUGUUACUUUGUAAUAACUCACCUUAAACUUCAGUAAUUGACGAGCGCUUCCACAAACUAUGGAUGAUUUGGGGAUAAGAACUUCAAUAAUUCUGGAGUUAAAAGUGUAAACUUACUACUAUCUUAUAAGCAAAUAUUGAAAUUUAUCAUUAUAUUUUAAUUGAUACUUGUCAUUACACUUUGAAAAUAUAAGUAAAUUUACCAUUUAACUCAUAUGUGAUUGAACUUUGCAAGUAGACUUAAAAUUUUAUUUAAUUUUAUCACUAAAUUUAAUUUAUUUAAUUAAAUUUACAACUCAAUAUAGAUUUUGGUGACUUAAAACAAAAUUUUUUUUAGAAAAACUAUUCUUUCAGAUAAUUUUUUAAUGUUUAAUAAUAAGUUGAUUUAUAAAAUAUAGUUUCAUUGGACACAAACAUCCAAGGCGGUCAACAAACCACUGGUCAAAUUAUUUUGGAGAUAUAAUUUUUUUUUCUAAAUCAAGUGAAUUUACGAGUUUUGCUUUUUUUUUUAAAAAUAUAUAUUUUUUUAAUAUUUUUGUGGAUAUCAAGAGAUACCAAAAAUUAUUUCACUAAAGAAUUAAUUAGUGUUUUAUUUUAAGGAUUCACAACUAAACAUUAGAUUUUUCAUUUUUAAAUUUAGAAUUUUUUGACAAUCACAUAAUUAACAAGUACUAAUUUUGGGUGUUGUAGGGUUAUUACAACCUUCCCUACAGCUAACAGACUCUUAAACCUACUUUAUUCUCUAGAACUCAAUGCAAACCUCAAGUUUAUCUUUUUAAAAGAAUUCUAAAAUAUCUAUAUAAAAAGUGAUUUUUUUACAAAUCAGAUUUAACAAAAUUUUAAUUUUUUUAAAAAAUUUAAAGUGAUCUAAAAACAUAUUUUUAAGUGCUUUAGACCAUCCGGUGGUGAUUUCUUUAUUGUAUUAAAUGCUUGUAAUCACUCCUGAUAUAUUAUACUUGAGUUGUGGUAGAGUCAAUUGUCAACGUGCCAUAAUGUUCUAUUGAUGGUGAAAUUGAAGUUUUUGUUAUAUUAAUAGAGCUUGUCCUUCAAUGCGUAUAACAGGUGUUUAUUAUUUUUUCCCUUCAAAUUGUAUGAUCUCAUUCAUUAAAUGAAUUAGUGAAUUUCUCUUUAAAAAGUAUAAUUUUAAAAAUUAAAUACUUUAUAAAAUAUUUAAAACUAUUUAAAAAAUUGUCAGCGUUAAAACAAUCAACAAGAUAUAUUUUUCUCUAAAAAAUCAAUAAAACUAUGUUUGAAAUUUAAAUUUUUUUAACAAUAAUAUAUUUUAAAAUUAUUUACACCUUUUUUAUAUAUUUUGUCCUAACAUAUCAUUAUUUUCAACACUAUCGUAAUCCUAUUUUGAUAAUUCCCUUUCCAUACAUCCUUUUUUCUACAUAGAAUUUCGAAAGAAAAUGUGAAUUAAUGCAGACGUGAGAAGUCACCCAAUGAAAGUGACCUAAACCGACUUAUGGAAGAAUCAAACAAUAAUUUUGUAUCUUAUAAUAAUUACAUUUAUUAGUUUAUCAAUCAUUAUUUCACACAUAAAAAACACAAAGCAUAAAAUUCACUUUUAAAGUAUUUGGGUUGUAUUUGUAUUAUAGGAAAUGGAUUUAUUCUUGAUGCACAUGUUUUAUUAUAUUUAAAAAUUAAAAUUUAUGAUUGAUUGGGUUUUAGUUGAGUUAGUAUUAGUAUUAUUAUCACUGUAGUAAAAAGUGAACUCGAUCAUGCUCAAAUGCGUUUUAUCCUCCAAUUCAAGAGUUAAGAAAAAAUUAUUGAUAAUUAAAUUAUACAAUAUCUAAAAAGCAUUUAUAAAUAAUAUAAGGGAAAAAAAAGAGAGAGAAACAUAUUCAUAUCGAUGGGCUCUUUCAUUAUUAGACCUUUUUUCUCUCUCAAGUAAAAGUACUUAUGAUGAGGAUUAUGUAAAAUAAUGACCUGAAUAAUUUUUAACGUUUCAUCAUUGCAAAAAUGAAAUAAUAGAAAAGAAAGACUACCCAUUUUAUGAAAUAUAAAUUUUAAAUGAAUUUUAAAAUCUUUUUGUAGAAAGCUAUUUUUUUUAGGUGAUUCACCAAAGAAUAAAAAGAUGGGAGGUGAUUCCUCCUUUUUAAUAAAACCUUGUGCUUUUACAAACACCAAAUUAUUCCUAAGCUUUACAUUAAUAUACAUGAUUUAUUUGUUCGUUAUUAUUAUUUCUAUGAUUAUAAUAUUAUACUUAUUGGACUAUAAUCAUAACCAUGUUUAUUAUCAUUCAAUAAAAAUAAAUAAGUGUUAGGUGUAAUGGCAAUGUACAUUACACUGUUAAUAGGAGAUUAGGGUUUUGGACAAAGGAAGACUAUGAUUCGAAUUUUGGAGGCGACAUUCUUAAAAUGAGCAACCACGGAGCCCAAUUAUGAACCAUAAAAUGAACAUGAAAAGUACAAAAAAAAACACGUCUGUUAUCAAAUUAGUAAUCCAUCCCAAGGCUUAAAUUAACAAAUUUCACCAUGCAACCGUGUAGACUAUUUUAUGUAUAUACUAUAUUUAUUCUUUAUGCAAAUGUUUAUUAUAUUUAAAAAUUAAAAUAUAUGGUUGAUUGAGUUUUAGUUGAGUUAAUAUCGAUAUUGUUGUUAGUGCAAAAGAAUGUGAGUUCAAUCAUGUUUAAACGUUUUUAUCUUCCAAUUUAGGAGUUGGAGAGGAUUCUCAAUAGUUAAAUUAUAUAACUUUUUGUCUAUUUAAAAUUGGUUUAUAAAUAAUAUAAAUAAAAAGAUUUAAAAUAUAUAUAUUAAUAUUGAUCGGCUUUUUCAUUAUUAGACUUUUUCCCUAUAGGUAAAGUAUUUAUGGACAGGAUGAUGUAAAGUUAUGACCUAAAUAAUUUUAAACCAUUCAUCAUUGCAAAAAUGAAAAUAAUAGAAAUGAAAGACUAGCCAUUGUAUGAAAUUUGGCAGGCCGUGUCAAUUUCGUGGAUUUGCAUUCUGAACUGUGAAAAAAAAUGUAAAUUUUAGGUUUUUUCAAACAUUUUAAUACGUAUAUAUAAAAAAAAAAGAAGAUAGGAGAGAACCUUCCUAGAAUAUUUAAGAAAACAGCUCCAAAGACACUAUUGAAGCCGACUCUGAAGCAGAUUUUCAUCAAGAUUGAAGAUUCCCAGUUGAUUUCUUAAGAGAUUAUCAUGAGUUUCUUUAUUUCUUUCGGUUAUACUGCCCUUUGGAUGUUCUUAUUUUUAAGCAUGAACUAAUUUUCUAAAUACCUAAGAGAGAUGAACCCUAUGAUAGAUUGUGGCACCCCAAACCCGAUCAGGAUAAAACAGCCCGCAUUCGAAGCAUUACAUUAGCCACCUAAGUGACUCUCCAGCUAGCGACCACCCAAGACACACCCCAACCUUAUAACACCUCAAUCUUGUUUAAUUAUUAGUUAUUUAUUAUUGCAGAAGUAAAUAAUGAGCCAAUUUCAAACUUUUCCUAGGUAAUUUAACCUAAGGGCAAUUUUGUCAUUUUACCACCUAUUGUAAAACUAACUCGAUUUUAGAUCUAAGUGUUUACCAACCUUCUUUUAGUCAAAUUAUGCAAGCCUAAAUUUUUUAGCUUAAUUUGAGUUUGCUUACGAUACCUAAUUCAAGUUUUAUUAUUAAUGACUAAAUUGUAACUUAAACAAAUUAGAAUAUCAAUUUAAAGAGAAAAAAAUUCCAAACCCCAAAACCAACACGGGCGUGUGGGUAAGUGACACGGGCGUGUGGAGACUGGAGCUAUCACACAUGGGCGAGUGGGAUUGAAAAAUAUGAAAUAAAUUAAUCCACUUAAUUUUCCAACUACCAUGCUAUACUACCAAACCAAAUAUCGCUUGAAGCUUUGAAUAGGGGCGAAUCUAAAAAAUAUUAGAAGAAUUAUAAUUAAAUUAUAAAAUUUUGAGAAGUUAUCAUGUAUUAAUUUUUUAUUUUUUAAGGGUCUUCAUAGAAUUUUUUUUCACAUUUUGGUUGGGCCAAUACCCCUGUCUGCCUCUUUAAAUUUGCUUGAACCCUAAACUCAAUAUUCGAUUUGUUGUGGAAGUUUGAUACAUAAAAAUUUCUUUUUUAGAGGUUUAAAUUAUAAAUUUUUGAAAGUUUAAAAUAAAUUUGUCUUUUUUUAUUAACAAAAUAUAAAAGAAAAAAAAACAUGUUUAGACAAGCCAAGAAACCUUUGGGAUCAUACGGGUGAUUUUGAUGAUGUUUCAUCCAUAAAAAUUUCAUGGGAGGUCCAAAGGUAAUUAAAUGACUUGUAGGCUUGCUGAAUUUCUUUGAAAGGCCCAAAGGCAAUUUAACAUUCACAAAAUAAUCUCUAAAUACUGUAAAGACAAAUCAAAUCCACAGUAGCAUUAGAGUUGAUUAAGCUAAGCAUUGGCAGAUAUUACUUUGAUUUUGCAUGCAAUAUUGGCAAAACCCCUCUUACAUUAGAAAAUCAACAUAAUCCAUGAAACAUUGAUAGCCCAAUACAAAUUUCAUCGACAAAAAAGUCUCUUUGUUUUGUAGAACAUGAUUGUAAAGAUGUGGAGUUUCGUUCUUCUCAUUGGCCUCCUUUAGUGUUCCUUGAUCAACACAAUUAGAUUAGAUUAUGAAUGAUACUUUCAACUAUGAUAAUAUUAAAUACAAAACACUCUAAAUAACUCUAAAUAAAUGGAAAGCAGCAAAUUACCUGAUGAGGCAAGCUAGCUCAAUUAAGAUCAUUGUGUUAUACUUAUCUCUGAAUUGAAAAAUUUAGAAGGAAAUAAAGAGAAAGACUUAGAAAAUACUUGAAAACAGAUAAAACUUAUAUGUCAUUUAAAAUAAAAAAAAAAUUCUAUUUAAGCGGUUUACAAUUUUUAAGAUUUUUAAAAUUUUAAAAUGAUAAAGGUAAAAUUGUACUUUGGCACCCCCAAAAAUGAUAAAACUUUGAUUUAAUCAUUUAGAAAUUAUAAAAAUAUAGGCUAUUAAAAUUGUGAAAUUAUAUUUUUACUAUACUAAAAAUUACAAUUUAAUUUUACUCCCUAAAAGGAAUUUCUAGCUUCGCCCCUAAUAAAAUCUUUGGCAAAAGAUUAAAAUAAAAUUAUACCGUAAAUAGAAAAAGAAACUAAGAAAAUCCAAUCUAACAAAGAAAAUAACUUGAUGUCCAAAAGCUACCAUAAACCGUAAUUCAUGGGAAGGCUUGUUGCUUAUUUUAUUGGUUUCCAUUUUGAUUUUGCAAAAGAAGUUUGAAUUUUGAAGAGAGCCUACUACGUGAGAGCAAAAGAAAAAAAUAGUUUAUAUGAUUAAAAUUCCAGAAUGGAUUAAAAAUGUUGAAUUAAAGAUAAAAUUACUCACCAUCUCUGUUAAAAAUGUUGGAUGUUGUUUAGCAACCUUUGUUUGAUUUUCUUCAGCUCAACCACAACAUCUUUCAUAUCUUUUCUUUCUUCUGGUAACUCAGCUGAACAAUUCAAAGCCAACUCCAUGAUAGAUGAAAUACAAUUUGCUUUAACAACAAUGUACUCAUCCUCUCUUCUUAGUAAAUCAAUAUCUGCAAUUUCUAUCGCUCCUUUAGGCAAUGAACUUUCCAUCCAAUGCCUUAUACUCUCUUCUUCAACAAAAACAUUAUCAGUUGGCUUUUUCUUUGUGAAAGUUUCUAUAAGGACGAUCCCAUAACUAUAGACGUCAGAUUUUAUAGAAACAAUUCCUGCUGAUCCAAAUUCUGCAUUUCAAGUAUAAUUAGAACAUCAUUCAUCCUCAAUUAUUUCUAAAAUGCUUAUUCAAAUAUAUAUCCACAUACACAUGAAACCAAAAUAAAAUGUAAAUUAGGAAAAUAAUCAUACAAAAAUAAAAAAGAAUUCACCUGGUGCCAUAUACCCGGUAGUUGCAAGAGUCAUGGUUUGCUUCAUUACUUCACCUUCUCCCAACAAUUUGGCAACGCCAAAAUCUCCGACAUGUGCAACCAUGUCUUCAUCUAGUAAAAUAUUGCUUGGUUUUAUGUCACAAUGAAUUAUAGGUGUUGGAUGUCCAUUGUGGAGGUGUUCUAUACCUACCGCAACAUCUAUCAUUAUGUCGACCCUUUGUAUGAUAUCAAGGAAACAAUUUUCAGAAUGUAACCAUUUCUCAAGGUUUCCAUUAGACAUGUAAUCAAGCACCAAGGCUUUGAAGUCAACACUUGAGCAGCACGUAAUGACCUUCACAAUAUUACGAUGAACUAUAUUACGCAUAGCAUCACAUUCAAUGUCAAAACUCCUAAAUGCUCCCUCUGUUUGCAAAUUGAAAACUUUUAUUGCAACUUCCAUUCCGUCUGAAAGCCUCCCUUUAUAUACAUAUCCAAAACUCCCUGAACCAAGCAUAUUGCUUUCCUCAAAUCCAUUAGUUGCUCGUGAAAGUUCAUCAUGUGAAAUUCUUCUCGGUGUCUUCAAAGACAACAAAUCAUCUUUAAUUGGUAGAGCUGUACUUCUUUGGCAUCUUCUAUACAUAAUAGUUAAGACUAUUAAUACUACGACAAUACCAAUUGUUGGUAAACCAUACCUAAAAGCAUGCAAUAUAAUCAUUUGGGAGUUUUUGUGGAUGUCGUUUUUACAAGGUGGGACUAGCAAUCUAGGUGGACCACAAAGUGCAUAAUUCUUCAUGAAUGAUGUGCUAGAAAAGUUUGAAAAACAUCCUUUGCUGGGAAUUUCCCCUUCAAGUCUAUUGAAAGACACAUUAAAAUACUUUAGAUAUAAAAGCUUUUCCAAAGAUGUGGGAAUGACUCCAGAGAGAUUGUUAUUGCAUAAAUCCAAGAAUUCCAGACUAAUUAACCCAUCAAAUGAUUCAGGGAUAUGACCAUGUAGUAUAUUAUUUGAUAAAUCUAAUGAAACCAAAGUUUGAAGACCCCCAAAUGUGGAUAAGAUAUCGCCCGUGAGAAGAUUCCUUGAUAAAUUUAGUUUCAGUAGACUCCUCAAAUUUCCAACAUCAAUAGCAUGUGAAUUGUGAAGAUGGUUUGAUGAUAAAUCUAUUUCUAAGAUAUCUUUAAGAUUCCACAAAGUUGAGGGUAUUGUAGAACUCAAUUUGUUGGAAUCUAAGUAAAGAUAUCCCAAAGAAGUAAUAUUACCCAAACAAGAGGGUAUGGAUCCAUGCAGCUUAUUCAACCCUAAAUACAUCUCGUACAGUCUCUCCAAAUCACAAAGGCUUUCUAAGAUGGGCCCUCCUAAUUUAUUAGAGGAAAGAACUAGACUUUGGAGAUUUCGCAGUUCUCCUAUUGAUGCUGGAAUGAAUCCACUUAAUUUAUUAUGGCCAAGUUGUAAAAGCAAUAGGUUGGUUAAGUUACCUAUUUCCAUAGGAAUAAUGCCUUGAAGCUCACAAUUAGAGGCAUAAAAGUAUUGAAGGGAUUUUGAAAGGUUCCCGAUAUAAGUAGGAAGAACGCCACUCAAUGGAUUUCCUGAAACUGAUAUGGUUUUCAAAUUAUUACAAUUCGUCAAAGAAGAAAGAAAGCUCCACUCAUGAUCAGUAGCAGAUCCUGUGAUCAAAUUAUUGUCAAAGAUUUUGAGAACUUCAAGGUGUUUUAAGCUGCCAAGCAUUUUAGGGAUUGGGCCAGAGAAUAAGUUUGUUGACAAUUCUAGUUCCUUAAGCAUGGAAGCAUUGGAGAUAGAGUUUGGAAUGUUUCCGCUAAGUUUAUUUCUCCACAAAAAAAGAAACUCAAGCUUUGGAGCAUUGGUGAUGGGUGGUAAAUUACCUGUAAAAUAGCAUCUUUUAGUAUACAUAUUCAUUGAAUACCAAAUUCACAAAAUAUAUAAUACAUUAAAAUAAAAACUGUAAAACUUUAAAUCAAUUAAGAAUAAAAUUUUGGCAUGGAAUUAAAAAUACUUGAUGGAAUCUGACCUGCACACAUAGUCGGAAAUUGAAGUGAAAAACAUACCUUCUAAACUGUUCAACUAAAAAUACUUUAAGCAUUUUUUUUUCCAUCAAAUUAACUAUUUUGCCUUGACUGAAAUAAAAUGGUCUUACUUUUGUUAUCUAUUACAAAUCAAACUCUUUUAUGAAAAAAAUAUUUUAAAUUAAAGAAAAAAAGAAAAUUCAAUAUCUUCUAAAUAAUUUUUAGAUUUUCUACAGAUGAUUUAAUGAUGAUAAAAAAAUUAUUAGCACUAUUUUUGAAAUAACAAAAAAUUAGUGAUAUAUUUUAAUUAUAUUUAUUAUAUAUUAGUUUUAAUAAUUUUUUUAAUUAUAUGAAGUAAAACUAUAUUGUAUACUAAAUAUGGUACAUAUACUUUCAUUAUAACUUGAAAAUUUAUUAUAUAAAUUAAUAUAUUUUAAUUAUAUUCAACCAUUUGAAUAACAAAAUAAAAAAACAAUUAGAAUAAUUUAUUUUUUAAAGUUUAAUGGAAAUUAAAAAAAUUAAAAAUAAAUCAAUUCAUAUAAAUCUUAUUGUUUUUUAUCAUAUUAAAAUGAUAAAAGUAUAUGACAUAAAUAGAAGAAACAAAUUCAACACAAUGUUUUUGGAGUUUGGAAAAAAUUAAAGUGAAAAACAUACCUUCUAAAUUGUUGUUAAAUAGAUCUAUUUCUUCGAGCGUAGUUGAAUUAAAAAUACUUGAUGGAAUUUGACCUGCACACAUAGUAAAAAAAUUGAAGUGAAAAACAUAUCUUCUAAACUGUUCAACUAAAAAUACUUUUGUUAUCUAUUACAAAUCAAACUUUUUUGUGAAAAAAUUAUUACCAGAUAAUUCAUUCCAACCCAGGUAAAGCCUUUCAAGCUUGGGAAGAUAUUGACACAUAUCAUUAGGCAAACUACUUGAUAGGCUAUUGUUGGAGAGAUUAACGGUCUUCAGAGAAGAAAUGUUGAAGAUCGAAGUUGGAAUCUGACCUGUAAGGCCUUUAAUUGCUUUAAUACUAAGCAGCUGCAAACCAAGAAGAUUACCGAUUUCCUCAGGAAUUUGACCUGCACGCAUAGUCGAAAAAUCAAGGUGCCAAAUUACCUAUUGUGUUAGCAUAAGUCAAAGAGGUUUUCUUUUCUGUUCUACAGGAAUAUGGAGAUGUUAGAUUUUAAUAUAUUUUAGCAUAUGUUUUUUAUCAAAUGAAAUAAAAAGUUUUUCUUUUUGUUAUCUAUUACAAAUCAAACUCUUUUAUAAAAAAAAAUACUUUAAAUUCAAGAAAUCAAGGAAAUUGAUUACCUUCUAGAUUAUUAAACCCCAAAUAUAAUUCCUGGAGUUGUGUUAGAUUUCCAAUACUUCUUGGAAUGAUCCCCAUAAAUUGAUUAUAGGACAACGACAAAUUUUUAAGGUUGUUGCAUUUGCCCAUGCCAAAUGGAAUGUUACCAGAUAAUUCAUUCCAACUCAGGUAAAGCCCUUCAAGCUUGGGAAGAUGUUGACACAUAUCAUUAGGUAAACUACCUGAUAGGCUAUUGUUGGAGAGAUCAAUGGUCUUCAGAGAAGAAAUGUUGAAGAUCGAAGUUGGAAUCUGACCUGUAAAGCCUUUAAUUGCUUUAAUAUUAAGCAGUUCCAAAUUAAGAAGUUUAAAUCAAUUAAGAAUAAAAUUUUGGCAUGGAAAAAUGUGAUGAAAUCAAUUAGAAAGCUGAGACAUAAUAAGAAGUUUUGAGUAGUAAUUAGUCCUUGUGAUUUGUAUAGACAAAACAUAUAAUACACUAAUAAUUUUUUAAAAUAUUGUAAAACUUAAAAUAAAAUAAAAAUAAAAGUUUGGCACGAGAAUGUGGCAUCUAAUCAAUCUUAAAAAUGAGAUGACAUUGAAUAAUAAUUAGUUAUGAUUUGGGAAACAAAAAUGUUAGAGCCAUUGCUUUUAAUAUAAACUGGUAUGAUUUUUAUCUAUUGGGUUAAUUAUUUAUUUUUAUUAAAUUAUAGUGUAAAAUUUAAAGAUUAUUAUUUGCUCAAAAUUUUUGUAUUUUUCGUACAUUCAAAAUUUAAUCUUUAUAUUUUUUAUUUUCUCUAAUUUAGUCUCUCUACUUUUUGAAUUGAAUUUAGGUUCAUUUAUUAACACUAUUAAAAAAAAUUCUGUUAGUAUGGCAUUUUGAAAAAUAAAAUAAAUUUGAUAUCUAUGUUUUUAAUUAUUCCAAAUAUUGUUUUACUAUUUCAAGAUAAUUUUUUUGUGUCUAGAGCAAUAUCUUAAGAACUAUUGUUGCAUGUCUAAUUAUUCUAAAGAAUUGUCGAUUGAGUCUUAGCUUGAUUGCCAUGUGCAUUGUUGCCAAUGUAGGAGAAUGUGGGUUCAAGUAUGCUAAAGUGUAUUAUCUCCUAUUUAUGAAUUGGGGAGUUGAUAAAGUACUAGAUUUUGAUAUAAUUUAAAAUAUUAAAAAUUUAUUAAAAUAUUUUUUAUAAAAAUUGAUUGUACCACAAUAUACAAUUUUAAUAUCAAAAUUUUAAUUUUUUUUAAAUAUUAGCGAAUAUAUACUUUUUUUUCAAGUUACACAAUUUUACUAGUUUUUUACUUCUUUUUUUAAUUUUUAUCGUCUUUUAUAGUUUCUAAUAAUUUUUACAAUAUUUAGCAAUUUUUAACAAUUUUUAAUAAUUUUCUAAAGUAUAUGACCAAAAUAGAACAAACAAAUUCAACACCAUGUUUUUGGAGUUUGGAAAAAAUUAAAGUGAAAAAUAUACCUUCUAAUUUGUUGUUAGAUAGAUAUAUUUCUUCGAGUGUAGUUGAAUUAAAAAUAAUUGAUGGAAUCUGACCUGCACACAUAGUCAAAAAUUGAAGUGAAAAACUUACCUUCUAAAUUGUUCAACUAAAAAUACUUUAAGCAUAUUUUUUUUCCCAUCAAAUUAACUAGUUUGCCUUGAAUGAAAUAAAAUGCUCUUACUUUUGUUAUCUAUUACAAAUCAAACUCUUUUAUGAAAAAAAAUACAUUAAGCAUAUUUUUUAAGGUUGUUGCAUUUGCCCAUGCCAAAUGGAAUGUUACCAGAUAAUUCAUUCCAACUCAGGUAAAGCCCUUCAAGCUUGGGAAGAUGUUGACACAUAUCAUUAGGCAAACUUCCUGAUAGGCUAUUAUUGGAGAGAUCAACGGUCUUUAGAGAAUAAAUGUUGAAGAUCGAAGUUGGAAUCUGACCUGUAAGACCUUUAAUUGCUUUAAUAUUAAGCAAUUCCAAACCAAGAAGAUUACCGAUUUCCUCAGGAAUUUGACCUGCACACAUGGUCGAAAAAUCAAGGUGUCAAACUACCUAUUUUGUUAGCAUAAGUCAAAGAGGUUUUCUUUUCUGUUCUACAGUAAUUUGGAGAUGUUAGAUUUUAAUAUAUUUCAGCAUAUAUUUUUCAUCAAAUGAAAUAAAAAAAUUUUCCUUUUGUUAUCUAUUACAAAUCAAACUCUUUUAUAAAAAAAGACUUUCAAUUCAAGAAAUCAAGGAAAUUGAUUACCUUCUAGAUUAUUGAACCCCAAAUAUAAUUUCUGGAGUCGUGUUAGAUUUCCAAUACUUCUUGGAAUGAUCCCCAUGAAUUGAUUAUAGGACAAUGACAAACUUUUAAGGUUGCUGCAUUUGCCCAUGCCAAAUGGAAUGUUACCAGAUAAUUCAUUCCAACUCAAGUAAAGCCCUUCAAGCUUGGGAAGAUGUUGACACAUAUCAUUAGGCAAACUACCUGAUAGGCUAUUGUUGGAGAGACUAAUAGCUUUCAAAGAAGAAAUCUUGAAGAUGAAAGAUGGAACCUGGCCAGAUAAUUGAUUCAAUUCCAAGUUCAAGAUCUCUAGAUUAGACAUGUUAACAAGUGUUUCAGGGAUUGUGCCUGUAAAGUUAUUAUUUUUCAUUUUCAGCCUUCGAACUCUUUGUAAGUUCCCUAGCCAUGAUGGAAUUUCCCCAUUAAGACGGUUGUAGCUUAAUCGAAGGAUCCUCAAACGACGCAAUUGGCCCAAUUCUUUAGGAAGAUAGCCAUAGAAAUGGUUGCUACUCAAGUCGAGAGAGAGUAGAAGUGAAAGAUUUCCAAGGUGUGGAGGGAUAGUACCCCUAAGAUUCAUGCUUGUAAGAUUCAAAACUAUAACUCUUUUAUGGAGGAUACCACAAGUAACACCAAUCCAAUUGCAAACAGAGGUUGAGGCCGUCCAAUUGUUUGCCAAGACAUUUUGAGGACCUGCAAUGUGAUCCUUAAACUCGAGAAGUGCAAACUGAUCGGAGUUGAGAUUCUUGACUGUCAUAGCCCAGCAAAGUAUGGAACAUGGUAUGAAUAAAGCUAAGAGAAGAUGAAAGCAAGCUUUGUAGUUCAUGAUUGCAAGAUGGAAUAAGGCAAGAAAAUAAAAAAAGUAGGAAAAGGGAAGUUGAG
This 131630-nucleotide long non-coding RNA is filed under the name Gossypium raimondii (Peruvian cotton). RNAcentral's name for it is "long non-coding RNA (GRAI_LNC007582)". The record is from RNAcentral. Lineage: Eukaryota; Viridiplantae; Streptophyta; Magnoliopsida; Malvales; Malvaceae.